AGCAGCAUGAGGUGAAGCAUCGCAGUGCAAUAAUUCGCAGGCAAAAGCGUUCUUGUGGGAUGUAGUCGUAGUUGCUGCUCUCGACCAUCAUUACAGUAAUCAAGACAGAUGGGAAGGCGGGGGUGGAGGGAGAUGCAAAGCAAUGCACGUCUGUCUGCAUGCAUUACUUGUUGCUGUACUCAAAUAAUAUAUAAUAAUAUAUUGUGUGCAACUUUUCCGCCUCAAGUAUUAGAUAGACCAUGUGUCUGAUGAUGCUAUUAUUUUGGUGCAGUCAUGUAAAGAGCUUUCUUUUCCUUGGUUUCCGAUUGACCCACCUGCUUCUUUGGGUUGAAGAAGAAGGAUUAUGAAAUGGCUUAAAAUAUAUGUUCCCAAGUGGAUCCGUCACUUGCAGUGUAGAGUAGUAGAGAGCUAGCCAGAACUGUGGCGAAGUGACAAGUUGGGACAGUUGUCCUCCCUGUCGGUAUGCGACUCUGAAGAAAAGCACUUGUUUUGGCCAUCGGAUCACCACAAACCCUCGAUGACAAGCGCCAGCCUCCCCCCAUAAAUUCUAUGGGUUUUUCGACAGCUUUUCCUUUGGGUAAUAGAACUCCCAUUUUGGGUGCAGCUCUGCUUGGGGUUUUAAGCCUUGUUAGGAGAGGGUUUAGUAGGGUUCAGUGGGCUGAAGAAAAAGUGAUGGUCCGUCUCAGAACACAGAUCCCAAUGGAACGCACGCAGGAGGAGAGUGGAAUUUUAUCCGGCAUUUGCUUGUUGGACCUCAUUCUUUUUGCUUAGUUUAAAGGGGCCUGUGGUGCUCUCUCAUGCUCCUUCCUUUGCUUUGCUUUGCUUUGUGUGUGCGUAGAGAACACACAGGGACGCGCUUUAGGUAUAUCCCACCAUGAGAGCGAGCUCACUUGGAGUGAGGUUUGAACACAUAAACCCAAGUUCAAAUGGUGGGCAGCUACAAGGGGGGUAGAAUGAUUACACUGUGUACUAUCCAAUGAUUGAGCUGCCUCGCCUUGGGUCUUGUUAAAAAUGCCCUAGUGCAAGGAAGGAAGGAAGGAAGGAAGAUGAAGUCCAUGGACAACCAUAAUAGCUGGCUGGGCUUCUCGCUCUCCCCUCACAUGAGCAUGGAGCUUUCUGUCGACUCACACCACCAACCGCAUAACCACAGCCAUCAUCACCAAUCUCAGCCCACUCCUGAUGCUGUCUCUGCACUCGCUGGCAGUUUCUUCCUCUCUGCUACUCAUCAGCUAAGCAGCUCCGGUUUCAGCUUCGGGGUCAGCGAGAAUGGAGGAGGCCAUGGAUACUACUCACAGUUGUCUUCCAUGCCACUGAAGUCUGAUGGGUCUCUCUACCUCGUGGAAGCCCUCAGCAGAUCACAACAACAAGAAGGUCUGUCUCGCAACACUCACUUUGUUUAGCUUCCACACUCGCGAACUAGCAGGUGUAUCUCAAACACUCGCCGCAUCUUUUCCUCAUGUUUUGUUUCAUGUGAAGCGAUGGUGCCAUCUCCAUCCCCCAAACUGGAAGACUUCUUAGGCUGUGGUCCAAAUAUGGGGACCCAUCAUCAGUAUGGGAACAAUGAUAGGGGAGCGAUGGCUUUAAGCUUGGACAGCAUGUACUACCAGCAGAACCCAGAGCCUGAGGGUAGCAGAAGCCAUCCUUCGGACAUCCUCCAUGAACAACUCCCAUACUUGCAGCCACUGCAGCAAGGGAUCUGCUCCCUGCUCACCAGCCAUGAGAUGUACCAGGCUCCAUUACAAGGUCAUGCCGUGAGGAAUGAAGCCGUGCCGAGGCUCAAAACCUGGGUGCCCAUGGAUUAUAAUGGUGGCAACGCCGGUCCGGUGGGUGCCAUGGGAUACGGGGAGUUGCAGUCCUUGAGCUUGUCCAUGAGCUCUGUUUCACAGUCCAGUUGUGUCACAGCACCACAGCACGCCUCUUCUGCUACAGCGAAUGACUACGUCACCUUGGAUCCAACAAAGAAGAGAGGAACCGGGAAAGGAGGCCAGAAGCAGCCAGUUCACCGCAAGUCGAUCGAUACAUUUGGCCAGAGAACAUCCCAGUACAGGGGUGUCACCAGGUGAGCGUCGAGGUUCUCUUGGAACCUACCUUACGUUUGGCUCUUCUCUUAGAUCUUUCAUAGCUUUCCUCUUAAACAAUUUCCCAAGAGUCAUGUUUCUUCAUCAGGCAUAGAUGGACCGGCAGAUAUGAAGCUCAUCUUUGGGAUAACAGUUGCAAGAAGGAAGGACAAACAAGGAAAGGAAGACAAGGUUGGUAGAACAAACUUAAUACAUCAUCAACAUCUUAUUCCUAACAGCAGACUUCGUUACUGUUGUUUCUUCAUCUUGGAAGCAUCCAUAGCUGACUAUUUUAUCAUAUCUGAUUCGUUAUCUUCCUGUCUGGGAUAAUCCUGAAUGGCAAAAAAAAACACUUGUUCGGACACAGUUUAUUUGGGUAUGCUUCUAUCUCUUCAUCUUAUCAUCACUCGAUUCAUUCAUAGAACAAUCUUAUGUAGCAGUUUUAAUUACUAUGGGUUCCAGGGGGUUAUGAUAUGGAAGAGAAAGCUGCGAGAGCCUAUGACUUGGCGGCACUCAAAUACUGGGGAACAAGCACACACAUCAACUUCCCGGUACAUGUUUGAAACCAUCAGUUCUUGAAGAACUUGGUGUCUGUCUAUCCACUAACGGUUGGUAGGUUGGAAGCAGUUGGAAGAUUACCAGGAAGAGCUCGAAGAAAUGAAGAACAUGAGUCGGCAGGAAUAUGUUGCCCAUCUGAGAAGGUGGCUCGGCUUGCUUUCUCACGAGGCCUGCCAUUCAUGUCGUUGUUCAUAACAUCCGAUCCAUUUUGUUCUCUCGUGUGCAGGAAGAGCAGUGGGUUCUCGCGAGGAGCCUCGAUGUACCGAGGAGUGACGAGGUUUUGACUGACUCUCUCUGAAAUCACAGCAGCGAGCACAUCCAUCAACCUGUUAAUUUGUUCUUGGUACAUGUGCAUUUUCCAGGCAUCACCAGCACGGAAGGUGGCAAGCUCGCAUCGGGAGGGUUUCCGGAAACAAAGAUCUUUAUCUUGGAACCUUCAGUGAGUUUGUAGAUGAUCUUGAUGUGGCUCGUUGUGCUCGGUGUCAUCUGCAUGCAUGGUUCUAUCAUCGACGCGUGACCAUCCAUAUCCUCGACUCCUCGAGUCAGAAACCCAAUCAUGAUGCUACCACCAAAUCCUACACACUUUGAGCUCCUUUCUUCUUUCCGGCGACGCAUGCUUUCCACAGCACGACUUACUUUGUUGGCUAACAGUAAUGCAUUACUCCGCAAGGCUGAUCACCGCUCAGUGCCUCCCAAGUCUUUGUUUGACCGAUUCAUUCUCUUUCUUUAAUGAUGAAAGUGAAAACAAAAAAAGCAUUUACCUCCCCAAAAGCUGAUGGUUUGGCAUUUGACAUCAAAUCUCAGGCACCCAGGAGGAAGCAGCCGAGGCGUAUGACAUCGCUGCCAUCAAGUUCCGUGGAUCCAACGCCGUCACCAACUUCGACAUGUCGAGAUACGAUGUGGAGAAGAUAAUGGCGAGCAGCACUCUGCUGUCGGGUGAACAUGCAAGAAGAAACAAGAACAUGGACGCCCCGGGUGUCGUCCCUGUAGCAGAGCAGCCAGCGCCGAUCUCGGAAGAGCAAACCCAGAGACUGGAAUUCGAGCCCGAGAUCUUCACGACGAAUCUUGAUGGUCUGGUCGGCGGUGAUCCGGGGAGUGGUCAGGGCAUGGAUUCUGAGAGGACCGAGGUUUCCAUGCUCUUCGGAAAGGCCCCAUCAAGGUUCAUCAGCACUCCAGCAUCAAACACAUGGAUGGCACCAGCCCAGAUGAGGUCGGCACUGCCUCUGGCUCACAUGCCAGUUUUUGCUGCUUGGACAGAUGCGUAAGCAUCAUCAUCUCUGAGGUCUCAGCAAGCACAGCUGCAGAUAGCAGCAACCAGGUUGUGACAGGGAAAGCUGGGGAGGGAAAUGGUGUGCUCAUGUUAAGCUGGUUCUAGUGGAGAUUGGUGAUCCAUCCAUGAGAUCAGGCCUCAGGCCUUCCUCAGUGGACUGCAAAUGUUUUGUAUCUACUCAUUUGGUCCAUUUGGGGGAGAAUUUUGAAGUGUUGAGGCUUGGGAGCUUGUGGAGAUUAGUUAUCUUUGAUGAUGAUUUGGUUUGGUUCAUUCUAAUCUUUUGGUAUUUGAGCAGCAUCUAAGUUUCUUUCUUUCUUUCUUUCUUUUUUGAGUUAUUUUCCAAAAAAAAGAUGCCUCUAAUCCUUAUCUUAGAGGUAUAACACCAUCUUUAAUCACAAUUAACACUUGGUGUGAUGUUGACCUUAUCAUUUUUCUUCAUUAUUAUUAGAUGCUAUAUAUACAUAUCCACAGCGGUCAAUCUAUUCCCUAGAUCUUGUCUCACUUGCCACGUAAGCAGGUGCGGCCGCGCGCCGCUCCGGGAGCGUUGAUCGCCGGAGUUUGACCUGUGUCGGCGGCGAGAAUCUGCGGCAUCUGAUCUCACGCGGUCCUGUGAGGUAAAGAAUUACUAUAAUGCCGCUGGCUUUAAAUGCCUCGCAGUAGUUUCAACUGCUACCAAGCAAAAAGAUGAACCAAUGUAACAAUGGAGAUGCAUCCACCCCAGUAAGUAGUAAGCGGGAACACAUGCUUUAAAGUCUCGCAAUGCAUCAGCGUGUAGAAAUAAGAUGAAUCUACCCAUGAUGAUAUCUCCUUCUUGUACAAAGAGUAUUAACAAGCAUAUCUAUCACUCGGUUGCUGGUUUUCUUUUUGGUGACCAUUAUGGCUUGAACAGAAUCUACCAAUCACAAAAACAUAUCUCUCGGUUGAAUAAUGAUCCAUUAUUAAUGUCAUAAGGAAUUUGGAGUGUGCCAGUUAUGCACUGUGAUAAGUAGUAGACUGUGAAACCUUAGAAUACUUGCACGAGGUAUCCUAUCUUGCAGCAUUUCCUCGAGCAUUAGAAUUAGCUCCGUCUUCUUCAUGCCUCAGAAUGGGCAGGAGUUGGUAAUGCACUCAGCCUAGCAGUCCGAGAAGGUUGUGAGGCUGGACUCCAUAUCAGAUCACAAAAUAGUACGCUCGUCGAGAGCUCCAAACAAUGUAGCGAAUGAUGCUGAACAUUGAUUCUCAAUUAUUGAUGGAUAAGAAGAAGAUGAUGAAGAAGAAGAAGAAUGUCAUUCUUCUUCUUGUCUCAUAAUGUAAGCCAAUUUGUUGGUCCUUUUCUUCUUUGGGAAAAAAUGUCAUUAGCUUCCUUGCUUAAUAUAGUGAUUCCUCUUCUUGUCAUAAUGUAAGCCAAUUUGUUGGUCAUUUUCUUCUUUUGAGAAAAAAAAAUCAUUAGCUUCCUUACUUAAUAUAGUGAUAUCACUGUAGGAACAGAGAAUUAAUGAUAAAACACUAAAUCAGAAAAUAAUGAAUAUAAAAUUUAUCUGACCGACAUUGUCUCAUGUGAUACAUUCAGUAAAGAACUACCAUCAUUCUAACAAUUGUCCCCUCUAUUCUGCUAUUGUUGGCACAAGUUAAGCUUACUGCUCAUUUUUCACCAAAGGUAUUAUGCAGAACACUACUCUGCAACUUCAAGCUGCAAAAAUUACAGCAUCAUACUUUUGGACUGCAGAAUUGUCCAUGUAAACAUCCAGGUAAGCCACUGUGAGGAGGCAAACUGGACUAUUUGUUGACAGUAAUGCAUUGGCUAUAACAGAGGCUGCAAUUUGAUGGUGUAUAGCUUCCCUUCAAUGCUUGAAGGAUUUAGGAAAGCAGUGUCAAAAGUAUGGAACAUGGCUUACCACCCCAAAAAGACUUUGAGAAAAGAUAAAAUUUUCUGCAGAAUGCUCUGAGGUUCCACUAUGUGAAUUCAGAAUAUGAUGCAUAUUUGGUAAAACAGUGACCCUUGCAAAAUCCAGUUUAGGUCAUGCUAGUUCGAGUCCAGACUGCACAACAUUUUUGCAUUGCUGCACUAAUUUUACACAGUUCAGUAACACACUCUUCGAUAAUGUUUAAGAACAAGUUCAAAAAGUUCAAACACACUUUAGAUACAAGUAUAGUUUGACCAUAAUAUUGAGAAGACAGGACAAAAAUCAUAUAGUUUUAUAAUUGGAUGAACAAGUCUGUAAAGGUAGAUUCAUAGCUGUUACAUGUCCUCGCUGGAGGUCAUCGAGCUCCUUUUGAAACACACGAUGCAGCUAUUCACCAAAGUUUAUUUUGCUAUAAGUUUAUGUAGCUGUUGAAAGAUGAAAUUGGUCUUGCUGUAACUGAAUUCCCCUCUUAUCAUCAUCCUUUUCUUGCAAAUUAAAUGGCUCCUGAAAGAUUGGAGAAUUCGACGGGCUGAGACUGACUAUCUACUUCUCCACGGAGAGGAAGUGUUGUUACUUGGAUCUCUCAUUGGGAGGGCAAUUUAGUUGCACACCCUUCUCCAAACUAAUAUAUUCUUCAAUAUCAUGUGGUCCCUGUGAUCGUUGCCAAUACUAAUAAGCCUUUUCUUACCUACUCUUUCAAUCAAUCUGCUCACCUAUCAGAUCGAGACCCACCAACAAAAAUGAGAUCCCCUGGAAAAGGAGAAAGUAGAAAUGGAUACCCUGGGCCGACAGCAAGCUUCGAGCUGAUGCAGUUAGAAGAAGGAAAGCAAGUGCUAGCUCCUUACGGUAAAUCCUGUUGUGCUUUUUCUUCGACACCUUUUGUGGUCGGGGUUCCUCCUUUGCAAUUGCUUCAAAAUUCGGUACAGAAGCACCUCGUUGCUGCAUGGGUUCCUUCUUCAUGAGAGAAAUAAGAUCACCCUCGGAGGAACGGCCAGACUUCUUAGUUACUACCCACUCGUAGGCACUCCCGAGCUGGAAGAGACCUGAGAUCAUUGCAUUGAACUUGGUCACCGACAUGGUGUUCUCGAAAAGAAGAUACGGGACGAUAAAGGGGAAGGAUCUCGGGGCUGGGAGGAUAUUGAGGAACGACAUGGUUGCGGGAACGUAACAAACCACCCAUGCAGGGAGCUCAGCUUCUGGAACAAACAUCGUCAACGGGAGGAUAAUGCAGAAUAGGGUAAAAGAGUAGAAAGGUAAUAUGAGUUUCCGAAGGAGGAAGAAGAGAAAUAUCAAGUUGGACUUCUUCCAGAACCCAAUCUGAAAUAGGAACAGCACAGGUUAGUGCGAAGAAUAUCAUUAACCUACAUUUCAACAAGAAACAUCAAGUAAUAACAUAAUCGAGACUUCAGCGAACCGCUCAAGUUUAAGUAGCUUUAGCUCUUUUAAGUAUCACUAAUAAUUGCUAUGGCAGUCACAGUGAAGCAUGUUCAAAGGCAGCCAAAAAAGGGAAACAAAGGGCCCCGGUUGUUCUAUUCUUGUUAAUUGCCGACCACAUGUAUGCAUUUUGGACAUUAUUAUAAUUAAAUUGCAAAAUUCUGUCCAUUCAUCCAUGCAUGACAUAAUUUCCACCAAAGAUAUGGCAUCAAACAGAUAAGAAAUGACCAGAAUAUUUACACUAGAUAAAGCAGGGAAACCAAAACUUAAUUUGCAUUUAGUCAUAUUGGCUUCAGUUUCCUUUAGUUGCAGUGCUAAAAUAUUUUCCAUCUUCUGCUAUGCCCUGACAAUCAUACAAUGGCUUACCAUGAGGUCCAUAAAUAUAGCAUGAAUUUGAAUAAGAUAGUGAAUGCACAUGUAAACUUGCACCACCUUUUCAUCAUUUCAACCCCUAUUUAACACAUCUAAUUGUUCAAUCGAUCCUUUGAUGCAAAGAGUACAUCGUCAUUAGGUUGAUACACUGAGAAAAAGGCUUAUAUGCUGAGAUCGUAUCUUCUUUCUGAUAUGCCAUGAUGAUCCAAUACAACUGAAAAUAUAGAGAAUGUGUAUAUCAAGCUUCUCCCAUAUGUUUUAAGCUUCACGGGCCACUUUGUUAACUAUCCAAUUUUUAGCUAGUUUAUGUUAUGAUGCCGAUGUAUGUCAUAUCACAGAAAUGUAGGACAAUCCAUUUCCAUUAUGAGAUAGUGGUAUUAAGCCGGAUAUUUCCUCUUACCAAACAGUUUAUUAGCUUGUUAUUUCUCAGACAAGAUAACUGACAAAACUGGAAGAGAUAAGAGAAGCUUUAAUGUGCUGAAGUAAAGUUUCUCAUGUUCCAUUAAGAAGAAUUUAAUUAAGCCAGUUAUUUCCUCUAUCCCGACAGUUAACCAGCUGGUUAUUUCUAUGACAAGGUAUUUUAUAGACAAGCUUCAAUGCAUUGGAUAAAACUUCUUAUGUUUAGGUUUAUGAAUGGUACCUCAGAUCGGAUGAUGUCUGGCAAACAGAGCCUGAACAGCUGCAUAGGGCCAGAGUGCCAACGAUGCUGCUGCUUCCUGUAAGCCUCGUAGCAUUCCGGCAGCUCGCAUUGACACUGAACAUAGUAUUCAUACAUGAAAGAGAAACACUUCAAUAUCUACAUGCAGUACUGUAAAUUCAAGAAAUUUCAGGCAAUUGAAAGACCUUGUCAUACCUCCACAUCAUUAAGGUAUACGAACUUCCAUCCUUUUAGGUGAGCUCGCACUGCAAUGUCCAUGUCCUCGACUGUGGUCCUCUCCAGCCACCCUCCGGCAUCCUCCAGUGCCUUGAUCCUCCAAACUCCUGCGGUGCCAUUGAACCCGAAGAAGUUGAUGAACGCCCCAUUCACCUGCUGCUCCACCUCAAAGUGGAAGCAGAGAUUAAUGUUCUGAAGCCGGGUCAGCAAAUUCUCAUCUUUGUUCACAAACGACCACCUUGCCUGCACCAAUCCCAGCUCCUCGUUGUCCUGUAAAUAUACCAGCAAAUCAAAAUUGCCAUCAAAUGUCAAGUUUUAGCACUAAAAUGGAGAAAAAAAAGCUCAAGGCAAACACAUACCUUGAAAUGAGGCACAGUCCGUUUCAAGAAAUCCGGAGCAGGCUGGAAGUCGGCAUCAAAAAUGGCGACAAACUCGUAAUCGUUGACAUAGCUACAAUUCAUUGCCGACUUGAGGUUGCCGGCCUUGUAACCAUCUCGAAUAACCCGGUGACGAUACAUGAUCCGAGCGCCAUUCUGCUGCCACUUCUCCACCUCCGCCUUGAUCAGAGUUUGCGUCGUGGGGUCAUCCGAGUCAUCCAACACCUGAAUCAGAAUGUUGGACCUCGGCCAAUCCAAAUUACACACUGCGGCAAUCGAUUGCUGAUAGACCUGCCAAAUGCCAGCGAAAGUGCGCAAAGAUGGUCAUUUUGGCUCACAAGCCUCGUAUCCAACUUGCAGAUAUCCAAGCUUACCUCUUUCUCAUUGCACAUGGGCAUCUGGACUAGAACCAUAGGGCAGUCCUCACCGCCGGAUUCGAGGUCCUCGGAAGCUCCAAUGGCGCCUUUCGGCGUGGGUUUGAUCCCCUUGAAGCGGAUCCAGAAGCAGCCGAGGCAGAGGAUGAGACGGUCGGCGCUUUGGACGAGGAAGAGGAUGACGCAGGCGUUGGCGAGGAACUGGAGCGGCGGAGCGACGUAUUCCACCCGGAAGCGCACCCACCCGGUGUAGAGCGACUCGAGGAAACCCCGGACGCCGAAGGACGAAGGAAGAACCAAGGGCUGAAUCUCCCAGGCGGUCAAAUGCCAGCCUUUGAGGUAAGCGGCGAUCUCCAAAGAAAGCAAAACGACGGAGAUCCAGAGGAAGGCCUUGAUGCAGGAAUAGAACCGCGACCGCAGAACGGGGCUCUCCUCGUCCGACGAGGAGGUCGUGUCGGAGUCCGUCCGCCCGGACGCUACGCGCCGGCGCACGGCGGACGCGAGGCCAACGGCGGCGGAGGCGAGAAACGUGAGGCACCCUGCGGCGCGGUGAGCCUUAAGGAGAAGCACCCAAGUAAUCUGCUUCGCGUUCUUCACCCGGGCACCCUUCCGCGGCCCUCUCCCGGCGGCGGCAAACUCCUCGCCGGCGCCGGCGCCGAUGCCGUACUCAUCCUCGUCGUCAGGCGACGAUAUCUCCGAGAUGGACCAGUUGGGGUUCUCCAUUUUGACGAUCACCGGCGUCCCUCGGUGGGCCUUUUUGUCCCACCACCCGAACGGCGGCGACAUUACUUCCACCACCUUCCGAACACGAUCAAGAUCCAACCUUUCCGAUUAAUCCGGCGUCGGGGGCCGAUUUCCACCUCCGAUCCAAGCUUCUGGCGGUCGAAAGGGAGGGUUACGACGGCAAUGCGGCUUCCUCGGGCGAGAGAGAGCGAAAAGGUGGGAUUUUUACCUCAGAAGGAGAGGGAGGAGAGUGAGUCGAAUGCGAGCAGGCGUCUUCUUCUUUAAAGCGUGCAGCUUUGAGGCAGGCGAGCUUGCCGCUCUCCUUCCCCGCGGUAUGAAGGGCACGACAAAGGCCACCGGAAGAGGAGAAGGGAAGAGCAGCUCAGCACGUCUACCGCCGACCUCCACAGAAGAGAAGAGAAAAUUUAAAGAAAAAGGAAAGAGAGAGAGAGAAAGCAUAAAAAAAGGCAGGUUUUUUAAUGCGUUUCCCACAUUGCUACGGCGAAUUACGAGAGAUAAAGAUGGAGUUAAUAAAAGUAAUUAAUCUCAGAAGAAGAAUUCGGGAACCAUAAUAGAAUGAAUUCCAGCUGAAGAAAUUUAAGCAAACAAACUUGAUUUCCUUGUAUUCCUACCACAGAAGAUGAAAAAACUCGAGAAUGGUACCUUCUCGCUCGCCUACGAUCAAUGCUAAUGCCACGAUGAUUCCUUCUCUCCCAGUUGGGAUGUCUAUUAUAGUAAUACUGUGGAUAAGGACUUGUUUUCCAGUUUGAUGAUGGAAGCAAAAAAUAGUAAAUGGAGUCGACAACCUCAAACAGAUCAAUCCGAAUUAUAUAUCCACCGAAUUCGAUCAAUCAUAUGUCCGCUAAAAAUAAACAAAUGGGAAUCAUCACAGUUGGUUACAGAAACGGAGAAAACGUUGCCGUGGCAAAGCACCGACACAUUUCAGUAAAACAUGGUUUGCCUCACCCGAAUCAUAGAUCCACUGCACUAAUUGCGGAAUUCAAGCCGUCACUUCCAAUGAUUUCCUAAUCUUGCACUCGUCUUCUCACGCCGCCACCUCAUCCAACAAUACAUUUAAAGAUGUCAUGUAAGCAUGUUUCGAUUGGCCAUCAGGAAUACAACAUUGUCCGUGGGGGCCCACUCUUUGGUAAGCUCGGGGGCACGCAUGGGGGUAAUAAAAGAGAAGAAGGUAAGCUUCCUCGUUUCGUGCCGUGUGCCGAUCGGGCUUCUCUCACCCAUCGGGUAAGCUAGUGGGUUGGUGAGCGGCAGCGGGUGUUGCAAAACCAGUUCUGCCGAGACGAGCGGGGUUGGGGGGGGGCGACGAGGACGCGUGGCGGUGUUGUGUCCGAGAUCACGGCAUUCGGCGCGGCCGCCGGUUCGAGCCGGCCGCACGUCGUGGCUCCGAGUUAAACGCGGAAUCCACGGAACCGCCGCGGUCAUCUCGUUCUCUACGUUGACCUUUUUGUUGUGCUCGUUUGAAGGCACUCGUGAGACGAUGAAUCAAUCCAUCGCUGAGACCUAUUGCAUCGUUAUCGUAAGGAUGGAUGAAUGGAUGAAGUCUUCCUCGUUUGUACCUUCCUUUGACUUCGAUGUGUUCUUCUUUCUGUUGACUAGCAUCGUGAAUGUGCAUGCCACGCAUUCGGAUCCCCUUGUAUUGUUGGUGACGAAUGCAUGAUGCAUCCAUCCCUUGUAGACUCAUUGCGGUAGACUUCUCUUUCACAUGGUAAUGUGACAUUAGUUUUGCAUGUUGAUCUACGUUAAGCUCUCGUAUAUUUGAUUGUUACGGACCAUGCUAGCUUCCAAAAGGUUACCAAGUGUUGGAGAUGCUUGUUCAUAAUAUGAUGUUCGACUCGAUGAUGAAGAUGCCAAAUCUAAUGCAGCAAAACUAGCAUUGUUAUAAGGUGCUGCUCUCUCUCUCUCUCUCUCUCUCUCUCUCUCUCUCUCUCUUCCAUAUUUAUCUACAUAUCCAUCUCUUUAUAUAUGUGUACAUGUAUUAUUAACCUAUUUGACCUAAUAGUAUAGAGUUGAAAGUCAACUUAAGAGAACCUCUAUGACGACGUGCUAUGCUAAAACAAUUUAGUUGAAUAAAAAUUGUUCUUUAUCAAAAUGUAUUGGAGUGGUCAAAUCUUGCCAAGUGGAAAUAUCGACCAAGAUGGCGAAUUUGAGCUCAAGUUUCAUAAUUUACAUUUUGGUGAAACAAGUGAAGAAAAUCCAUGUUUGUCACUAUGAUAUGAUGCUUGAUCGUUUGCAUUAUUUGCCCCCUACAAUUAUGUCCCAUGUGUAUAACAUCACUCCUUAAGAAAAAUCACUUAAUUAUUAUCAAUCAUAGAAUGUAGAACACACAUUUUCGGAAAUAAAGCACGCCAAAAUCAAACUCAUAUUUUAUGUGUUGACUUUGAUUGUAAUGUAAUCAUUAUAUAAUGUUCGUAAUGUAACGAGUUGUACUUGGUUCAAAGUCCAUCUAUUUAAGAACAAUUUGGAUCACGUUUUGAAAUAGACAAUGAUGAGUUAUACUUACUUUAGACAUACUUGGAUCAUACUCACUUUUGAAGAAAUUAAAUACAUCUAUUAUAAUUCCCAAUAAUUAGAUAUUUUAAGAAUUAAUCACCGACAAGUUCUUAUUAAAAAAAAUCAAUUAGAAAGAAUGUCAAAUGGAAGGUCUUAAAAAAUUUAUUUUGGUUGGUGGUGGUGGGGGAGGGGGGGGACAGGAAUUGGGUCGGUCAAACAAUGUUGGGGCACCACCUCCAUAAUGAUUUAAGAUUUAGAAACCCUUCAACUCAAAAUGAAGAAAGAAAAUAAAAGAAGAAAGCCAUGAUGCAAUUGGUUAGUAUGGUGACGAGCAUAAAGUAGAAUCCAUGGUCUUACACUUGUUAUUAUCCUUAUGUAUUUACUAAGUGUUACAAUCGAAAUGAUACAAACAAAAGAACUUUUGUAAAACACCUUAAUUUUCCAACGAUUCAUUUAUAUAUUUAAUAAUAUUAUAAUUUACUUAAAAUGGCUAGUCAUAUGUCUUAUAAGCCAAUCACGUGAGUAAUGACACGUGUGACUUGAUACGUAGUCUUUUUGUUUAUUAUUAUAUUUUAAUAUUUUAUUAUUUUAUAUUGUCUAUUGCUUAAAUAUAUUGUGAUGUCCAUGGAUCUGUGCAAUGAGAAUUAGAUCGUGAUGAGAUCAUGAUAAUGAGACUGAUUCGUCUUUAAACACAUAUCCUAAAUAAUCCCGGUCAAAAGUUACUUAAGAGGAACAUCGAGAUAACCGAAUAAACUGAUGUGCUGUAUACCCUUCCAUAUGAUGAAUGUGCUGUAUCUCCAAGUUCACCUUGGUUCAUAAAAAGUAGCAUUAAACAUCUUCCCACGAAGAUUUUUAACCCCUCAGAGAGACCAUGACUACUAUGCCUCCUUCGAUUCAGCUACCUAACCUUCUUAUUAAGCUAAUGUUUUGCAGAAUUCUUUAACAAAAUCAUUGUCAGCAUUGAAAAUAUGUUGAAGGUGCUUUGUCGCUAGAGCUUCAGGUGCUAGGGGAAGAUAUGCUUGCAUCUGUAUAAUAUUUUAUUACUCCCUUUCCCUACCUUACGAAAUGUAAGUUAAAACAGAAGAUACUAAUUUUUUCUAAGCCAUAACUCAUGAAAUUAUACUCAACUUAUAUUUUGCAUAUGAUAUUGUGGGACACAAUAUCAGUGUAGUCGGAGUAAGCUGUUAUUGUGGGGCACAACAAAGAUGAGAAGUCGGGCGUGCUUCAAAUCAAAGUCCAAACAAUGACCUAUUACAAUAAUCACACCACACACAAUGGCUAUACUCCUUCAACCCAUCCUAAUAAGGCCUCCACUCUUGCUUCUGAUAUAGAUUUUAUGAAUGAAGCUUUAACAAUGCCCCAGGAGUCUCAAAUUUAAUCCCACUCAAUGGCAUCGAAGCCUUAGCGCACUCAAACUCGAUCAGACUAGCUCAUCUCCCCCAUUAAUGUAGUUGUACUCAUAGCUAUUGACCUUUGAGGUGGAAGGUUGGAUGGGCAGCGGGUAUCUCCUCACAAAGGUACUCGCAAAGGUCGAGGCACAACUUGGUUCACUCCCGAUUAUGUAAGGUCACCCGCGGGAUUACUUUAAAGGAAGGAGAACGAGCGGAGAGUGAUAAUCGUCUUCUCUUAUGGUGUUCUCUCAGUAAAUCCGUGAGGGGCUUCUGGUCUCGAGUCCCUAUACAACAGGUCAAGAGAGGGGAGUUCUGGCUUGACCCUUUCGAAGAUUAAGUCAGAUUUUUGUGGAUAGUAAAUCUUGCCCCCUAGCAUUUACCUGGGGGUGAUUUUUAUAUAUUAUUGGCAUCCAUCGAUGUUUUCGGUGGAUGGUUUGUCUGUUAUGGGGCCAUCCUCUCGAGCCUAUGCUUUGCGGGGUCGUAUUCUUUUUGGCUGGCCUUACUUAAUUCCUAUCGGCAUGGAUUUAUAGUACACCGCUUCGGACUUGAGAUAUGGUGUCGUUUCUAAGUUAAGCUACGUUGCUCCAGGACACAAUCGUUUCUACGUUGUUUCACCUUGAUUUAAAAUGUGUGUGUUAUUUUAGUUUGAAUAGCGUCACGUGUGAUCUAAGGUGGUUGCCAGCUAGAUGGAAUAACACCACGUGUGAUUUAAGGUGGUUGCUAGUUGGGCGAUGCCAAAACGUCCUCUAUCACCUCUGCAUGAAUUUUUGUUAAUCUAAUACAUUUUUUUAUUUAAAAAUUUUCAUGUUGGGGGUGGAGCAUACGUUAGAAAACAAUUGGGCUUAAUUGGGCCGUGGUCCAAUUGGCUAUACUAUAAAAUGACUUUUUGAAUUAGUAACAACUAAAAAAAAGAGAAUAGUACAAUAAACAUAAUGAGGAUCCUUCUAAACCAUGUAGGCUUAGAGAGUUCAUAUGUGAGCAUCAUGUAUGUACGUCAUUUGAUGUAUUAAAAAUAUCUUUCAAAUCUUGUUUUAAAAAAUUACUCUGCACAUAAGUAACUCAAUCAUAUCUCUUCCAAAAUGUAAUGAGUGUAAUUUUUAGAUGGAUGUCGCCCUACUCAUCCACUUAUUAAGGUAGUGGCGAGAUAAAUGCAUUCAUAUGCAUGUUCAUCUCAACUUUAAUGCACACCAGAAUCCAACCAAAAAAGGACGCUAAUUUGCGUCUGGUUGCAGUGCUUGCAGUCAGGUUCUCCUCGUUUGUCCUAAGAAGCUGAAGAGGGAGAGAGAGAGAGAGAGAGAGAGGGACCAAAUCUGUACCAAGAACACACCUGAUCAUCGUCUUCUUUGCAGCGUUUGUUUCAGGUCCUUUAUUCUAUCUUCUAUCAGGCAUGUGGUUUUCUUCCUCCUCUUUUGUACCGCGACAACCUUUCCUCGCCGUUCACUUUACUCUCUGGGUGGGUGCCGCUGCUUUUCUUGCCGUUGGGCGAAGGUGUUUCAACCACGUACCUAUUUCUUUCAUUACUGCUCCACAGAUGGGACAUGGUAGAUGGAGAUCGCACUGCCCAUUUCCAACAAGAAUUGAAAGCACAGCUUGCCAACCUAAUCUUUUUCUGAGGAAGGAUUUAGUGCACGUUCCUUGUCUCGGAUCAGUCCAAUUGCCAGGUUGAACUAUCAUCUCUCUCUCUCUCUCUCUCUCUCUCACUCAUACACACACCCCACCCCCCCCCCUAUAAAAGCAGAAGCAAGGCAAAGUACUGCCUCUCUCUCCCUCUCCUUGUAAAUUCCUCUCCCUGCAUAAGUCCUCGUAUACUCGGUUCAACUACAUCAAGUAAUGGGACUUCUCCACCCUAUCGACAGUCAGAGACCAUUCCAUCUUCUCCUCUUGGUGCUCAUCCUCUUGAGUUCAUCUCAUGUCAAGCUUUUGGUCGAAGGUAAGCUUGUUCCGACUUGGUUCUCAGCUUCUACAUUCAAGGUUUGAAAGUUUUCGGUGCCUCGGUUGCAGGUAGAUCGGUGUUCAGGCUUCUCGAGUAUGCAGAUGUAAGUCUUCACGGCGAGAACUCAUUUCAUCUCUACACCUGGUAACAUGGCAGUACUGUAUAUAUGGUGAUGCAGGGGAGAGGAGAGGAGAAGCUGAUGGUGAGAGCUUUGAUUGGAUCGAGACCACCAAUCUGUGAGAGGAGGUGCAUGACCUGCGGCCACUGUGAAGCAGUCCAAGUGCCAGUAAUCCCACAAGAGAGGAAUCCAACUCGGCGAUUCUGGGGUAUAGCCACUUUGAGGGGCGAUUACAGCUCCAACUACAAGCCCCUCAGCUGGAAAUGCAAAUGUGGGAACAGGAUAUUUAAUCCAUGACCCAUUGAACCCAGUCAACACCAGAUUGAAUUGUGGAUAAUACUCUUCUCUUCUGUUUCUUCUUUAUGGAUCUCCUUCUUGCCAUUUGUUUAUCCUCCAGGCUUUGCUCGAUCAACCUUUCUAAGUUUUGGCUAUCGGACAUCAUCAUGUACUUACUACAUUUGACAUAAAAAGACUGCCCUGCUUGGCCUCUGGUUGCGCUGGUGUUGAAGACGGGACACAAAGGAAGCUGCUCCCUUGGCACAUCAUGCAGAGAUUUUGCGCUGCCGCUGGACGCCAUUCCACCUCCAUGAAACAUCACGUCCACUAAUCAGUAUCCAGCUGAAGUAUCUGAUCUGAUCUGACCUGAUCUCAAGGUAUAUAUAUAUUGCAAGCAAAUGAUUGAUGAGGGCAAGAUUCUGCCAUCUAGUUUCUCUGCUCUUCCGAGUUCAUCCUAGAUUUUAUGCUCUCUCUUGUUUCGAUCUGUUGGGUUGGCUGCUGUGUCCUACGCCGAAUUGUAUCUGCUACAGCAAGCACAUGAUGUAUACCGUCACAAUAUUCUCUGUUCAUGAUCUACUGCAUGUUGGCCUCAUCCAACUCUUACUUGAAUCAGCUAAAAAACAGGGGUCUGCAAAUAGAGAGACUUCGAUGAUAAAGCAAGUCAGAAAGUUUAAUCCUUAAGAGAUGAAAUAAAAUAAAGUUGGUAUCAGCUCACGCAUUCCGUUUUCUGCUUGAGAUCAUGUGCUGAUUCAUAUGUGGAGUACAUCACUAGCAUAAAUUUAGAUGAGCCUGUUGCAAAUGCACGCAUGUUGUGUACCCACGGAGGAACUGCUCCCACGAAGGAACUCCGUAGAAAGUUUCAUACCAAUCGUACCACUGGAUUGCAUCUCCAUCAAGCUGGAUUGAGGUCACUUCUACCUUAGAUUCUUUUGGGGUUCUGUGAAAACGAAAAAAAAAUUUCGCCUUAGAGAUCCAACUAGUCGGAUCCCCAUCUUCCCAUCGUGGAAAUUCUACCCUAAUGCGUGGGUAGUGUGUGUCACCAUCCUAGGGCCCUUUUCCUGUACCUCCCAAUCUAUUCAACGUAGAACUUGAGCUCUCAUCUUGUUGAAAUUUGCUGAGGCUCUCCAAUAGGCUUUUUUUAAAAUCAUUAAGUGUUUCUUGCAGUCGAUUCUCAAUUCUGGUUUCCAACGCUUCUAUUUGUGCUUUCACUGAAUUAUCGACAGCCAUUGCGUAUGAUUGCAAGUUGGUAAUCUCCAGUUCUUGAUUCUGAUGUCUAGUAAAGGGCAUCCACACUAUAGCUGCGAGGCUGCCGAGGAGGAAGAGGUGCUGCCCUGUGUUUCAGUCGCUGCGUGAGAUGAGAGCGUCACACAUACCCAAUAUAGUGAACGAAUUAAAAUCAUUGCAAUUUAUUUCUCCGAGUACAGCAAACAACUGUCAAUAUUCAAUUUAUUUUUCUAAAACUCUCACUUAUAUCGCUAAACUAGCAUUGUUGAUCAGAUCACUGGUCCAAAAACCUAAAAAGAUAUUGUUUGGCAAACAAUAAUACUCUCCUUGAUCAUUGACAAUAUUAGUAGCCCAUCUGAUGAAUAGUUACAGAACUCAAUAACAGCCAAUACUCUAAUUAAUGAUGACUAUUAUACAGAAAAUACAGCUUACUGCUACAUACAAACAUAAUGGGUUUCUUUAGAGACUGAUGUAAACAGAAAUUAUCUCAAACAAUGAUCCACAUACAAAGAGUAAAUAAAAUGUAGUCCGAGAAAGUAGAUCGAAGUUUCAUUAAACUGUAAACAUCAAAAUUACGUCUUCACAGGCUUCAUUUUUCCGAUGACCAUCAGUUGAAGCCAUCAAUCAUUUGCCAGCCUCAUAUUGUGACAUAUUUUCUUUUUGCAGGUCCACAAUUUUUUUGACCAAAGAAAAGGAAGAAAAUGGAUGUGCUAGUCUUAGUUCAAUGCAGAAAAACAGGAUCCAGUUACUACUUUCCAGAGAGGUCCAUGAGACUACUACAGCUGGUGUUCAGACCUUCUUUGCAUCAUAGAGAUUACCUGCUAUAAUUUUCAUUAAUAUAUACACAUGUUAGAUAAAAUCAUAACAUAGACCUUUUAUGAGAACUCAAUUGUAAAGAUAAGAAAAUAGCAGAAUCUUAAAAGGAACUAAACUCCAAAUGAAUGUUCAGAUAAAAUGGUGGGCUAUGUCAUGUGUACCUUCAUCAAUUAUAGCACAGCUACCAUGAACUUCAUAACCAGUACUAGUAGAAAGAUGUGCAAGAUUUUUAGCACAUUAUAGAAAAACACUUGUAAAACUGUAAUGCGACAACAGUCAUAGGCCCAAAACCAACAUUUUUGGUUUCAAGGAUGCAAUACUGAUUUAAAAUCAAUCUGACGGAAACAAUAUAAGAAAAGCUGCUAACACAGUAAUUUGCAAUACGAUGCCAAAAUAAUUGCUUUCAUGUCAUUCCACUUACACUUCAUCUUUGACUACAAAUGUGGCAGAUAGCUGGUCAGCUAGAUAUGAUAACGAACCAGCAAUAAAGCUUCCCAUCAUAGCUUUCAGGUUGUGUGUCUCAAUCCAACCCCACAAUAUUCAUGUAAUCUGUACUAUUGCAGAGACACGCUAAAAGUUCAACAAGGGCUCCACAGACUCAAAAGAAAGCAUGUGUCCACAAGCCUAAUUAGAAUGAUUCAGUGCUCCUGCCAAAUUCCAUAAAACAAGGUACAAACUGAACACAAAAGUGAUUAUGGAUCUGAAUUAUUGUUGGGAUAAUAAGCCAAUGUGACUUGCAUCUGUAGGAAAGGUAUUGCUUAUAAAUAAAGCAUCAUUAGCUAUUUCAAUCCAUGACUCCUAAAAAUUUGACUUUAUGUUCAGUUUCUGCACUCUGUUCUUAUCAAGACUAAGAAUCACCAAGAUCUAGAAUCAACAUUGGCAUUUAUUCAAUUCUUUUUUCUUAAGGAGCAACAUUUAGUUUCACAUUGUUCAUCAUAUGCAGUGGAAAACUAAACAUUUCAAAUGACAUAUUUUAACCAACAGAGUGCAUCAGACAGCAAUGAAUUUUAUCUUUAUGCAGGCACAAGGAUCCUUCAAGUUGUAAAAUGACUUCUCAUCCAAAAUUAUGAAAAGAUGUAUCUAAAUUUGAAUCAACAAUCUGCUUCCCAGAUACUGAUGCAAGGUAUAUCACUUCAUAUCAUCCCAACUGACAAACAACCCCCUUCUUCCUUUUCUCUCCAAAUACAAAAACCAAAAGGAGGUGCAAUAUGGUUUAGAAAGAAAAAUUAGAAGCUUGUUAUCACAAAGCUCACAUGUAUUAGAUGAACGCUGGCACCAAAUAUGUAAACCCCACCUGAAAUACCACACUUUAUUAAAUGCAGAAACAGCCAAUGAUUGGCAAGUUAGCUAAAUCAAUCUGAGAUGUGAAAAUCUUAGUAGAUGAGAACUUAUGUUUCAUCUCGAUUCUUGAUUUGUACUAUAAAUAUAUUGUCUUAGCUUACUGUCCUUCCAGCAGUUUCAGCACCGAAUAGGACAUCAAAUAUGUCCUAGAAUUUUCGGUGGAUAAACGGUUAGGCCAUAUCUUGCUAACCUAUAUGGCCCCCAUCUAUCUUAAUUUAACAAUUCAGAGCAGCUUAAGAAGUGGAAUAUGUUUUUUUUAAUUUUUUAUUCACGAUUAGAAGCCUGAACUUGCGGUUUCAAACAGAAUUCCAAUGACCCUUAUAAACUUUGAAGUAAAAUAAUAGUUGAAUUGUAAUUAUAGAGAAAAAAACAGAAUGUAUAUGUAUGUGCAAGAAUUAAGUAUGAGAUGUACAUAUUGAAAUAAUAUUUCAUCACAAACUUAUCUAAAGCAGAAACAAGUAGAGCUGAAAGCAUAAACAAGUUCAAUUAUCAGAGUUUUCCUCAACAGAAGACUGAUUGGAAAAAAAAAAUCACUAAAAAAUGUGCCUGGAGUACAACAAUUGAGCUUUAAAUUCUAAAACAUCAUACCUUUCAAGGUUCAAAGACCUCUGACCAUGCCUUAGAAGCCAUAAGGAUUUCACUUUCAUGUCCUGGCUACCCACAAAGAUGCAAUGUGACUUCUUUAGUGGGUAGGACCAGUGAUUUAAAAAGCGCUAGGCGCCAAAAGGUGCCAAGGUCCACAAACGCCCGAGGCGCUAGGCGCUCGCACGAGCGAAGCGAGACGCUAAAAUAUAAAAAUAUAUAAUAUAAUUAAUAAUUUCAAAUAAAUAAAAAUUAAUAACAUUAAAAUCAAAAUAAUAUAUUAUUAAUCUAUUAACAGAAAAUUAAUCAUUUCAAAAUUCUAAUAAACUUAAUAUUAAGAGUAUACUGUAUACUGAGCCUGAUGGAGAAACGAGGAAGCAGCGGCGAGCGACGGUAGCAACAGCGGCGAGCGGCGACAGCAGCAGCGGCGAGCGGCGGCAGCAGCAACGGCGAGCGACGGCAACAGCAGCGACGAGCGGCGGCAGCGGGAAAGGGAAAGGGAGCGGAAGGCACGAGCAGCGGGAGGGCUCGCGGGAGGCGUGAGCAGCGGGAGGGCUCGAGGGAGGCGCGAGCAACGGGAAGGCUCGAGGGAGGCGCGAGCAACGAUAGCGGCGAGCAGCGGCAGCGGGAGCAGGAGCGACGAGCAGCGAGAUCGCGAUCGGGAUCGGGAUCGGCAGUAGGUUAGGGUUGGGUAAGGGUUAGGGUUGGGGUUAUAUCGGUUUAGUUGGUUCGAUUGAACCAACUAACAACCGAACCAGGACCGAACCAGACCUAAAAUUCUGGUUCGGUCGCCUUGGUUUACCCAGGCGCUCGCCCGAAGCGCCCAACGCCUGGGCUCGAGCGAGCGCCCAGGCGGUGCCUGUUUGAAGCGCGCCGCCUGGGACAUUAGCGAGGCGCUCGGGCCUCGCCUCGCCUCGCUCGAGCGCCUAGGCGAGCGCUUUUUUCAAUCACCGGGUAGGACACUACUAGAAAUUCAACAAAAUAUGAAGUAAAAGCAUUUUGAUAGCAGAAACAUAUAAUAAACACAAAAGUUUCUGUGAAAUAAUUAACAUCAGUUUACAAAUCAAUCAGCAACAUUAGCAUACAAAUCAAUCAGGAAAAACCAGGGGCAAGAGCCUUCAAUAGAACAUUUGUGUGAUGGUCAAGAUGAUCAUUAUAUAGCUUCAACCCAAAAUAUUUACACCAUAAAUGCACCAAAACAAGUUGGUAACGGAUCCAUCCAACAGGGAUGUUACUAGGAACCCUAUAAUUUUUACAAAAAGACAGAGAAGCAGAACUAUGAAGCUUCAGCAUACUUACUGGAACCCUUACCAUAUGAAGCCGACAAUAUAACUGAAAUAGUCAUCAAACAAUGUGAGUAAAUGAUAUGUUCUCUGUGUUGAUGCUCAAUUUCAUGGGCAUUGGUGGGCUGGUAGCUAAAAUGUUUUUGCUAAAAAAGUAAGAUGUUGGUCAUUUUGAAGCAAAAAACAAGCUGCAGAUAUGUUGCUAUUAUUUUGUCCAAGAAAUAUGCACAUCCACUUGAAAUGAUGACCAAAAGGAAACCAGUUUUGCUGUCUUCAUCCAUAAAUCCGCAAGUCUAUUUGCAGGUCCAUUCAAAAAAACAGAAACAUAUACUUACUAAUAAGAAGCACAAGUGUGUUUUUAAAAAUACUCUUCCAUUAACAUUUGGAUCUCAUCUGGACAACACGGUGUUGGGAAUGUAUGGCAUUAAACAAAAAUUGCAUCAAAGCAGAUGUAGAGCAAUUUAAGGAAGCAAAACUAGUAAGAAACACCAGUCUACUAAGGUAUAUCUUUUACAUUCCAACAAAAAAAAAAACCCUUUUGCCUUCACACACAAACAUUAUUCUGCAGCUUCAUCUUCUAUGUUCUUUACAUCAAUUUGGACAUCAGGUAAGGUCGAUAAAUCGAUACGUGCAUCCCUUUCUUCAUCAAUGACCAUUCUAUGCGAAGAACCAGCUGAGUCUCCCUCAACUGCAUCUCCAUUUUCAUUGACAGCAAGAGAAACAGUUGAGAGUUCCUCCAAGUUAUCUUGCCCAAUGUUUGUGUUGGACUUCUUAGGUUGUUCCUCCACCACACUUUUCAAGUUGGAGUUAUCCUCUUCUGGACUUCCCAAUCCAGUUGUUAUAUUUUGAUCAUCAUUUGAGCUUCUUAUAAGAGUUCCAUUCUCGAGUAACAGAGUGUAAGUUUUUCCUUCAGCUGCAUUGUCAGCAACGUCUAUUGGUGAAUCAGUUUGAAGCUUCACUUGAUGGUAAGAUGCACUUUCUAUCAUAGAGUUGGCCUGCAGCCUUGUUUGAUUGUCAGCAGAAGAAAGCUCUUGCACAAUUCUUUCAGCAGCAGCAGCAGCACUAUUUAUGGUGAGGCUAUUAUUCUGAAUGGUAUCAUUGCUUAUGGCAACUACAAGAGCAACACUCAUAUUAUUAUGGUCGUUGAGACCAUCAUCCUUUCUGCUAGUAGUAUGUAUUGUCUCUACUUCUAUUUCAUCAUUCUUCAGUUGCUCCUCGUCCACACUGUCAUUUUUAUCUUCUGUUCCAGUCACUAGGUUUUCUCGAUGCACAGCACUGGAAGCAUCAUCUCUUUUAUAACUUUCUUCAUGAGCCUCCUGGGAAGAACCUUCCUCAUGCUCUCGGCCAUCCAGGAACUCUGCUUCAUCAACUUGGUCUUCCUUGUUUUCUUCAUUCAUGGAAUCUUCCCCAUCCUCAGUUUCCUCAUCUCCUCUCUCUUGAUCAUCCUGCUCAUCAACUUGCUCAUUAUCUUCCUCAUCGAUCCCAUCAUCUCCAACCCCUUUUGCUUCUUCAUCCUCCAUCACUCGUUGAGCAUCCCGAUCUUCAUCCUCUUCAAUUUCAUCAUUUUCUUCUUCCUUGUUAUGGAUCUUAUCCCCAGAGAUCAUCAUCUUGUCGCGAGGGAGGUCCUUCCUACCAAGGUCUAUAAAACCCGGCUGGCUGUCCUCUACAUUGUUCAAAAUCCUCGGAUUCUGUUCAUCCAGUGCCUUUUUCUUGUCAUAAGAAUGCUUAAGCUGAUAAAGCAACCAGAAGCAGACAGCAGCCAAGAGGCAAAUCUGAAGAACAUUUGUCAAUCUUAACCCUUUGUUCCUCUGGUUCCUACUAGAUGCCUGCCUCAUCAUGAUGACUAUCUCCAAAGACAGCUCCUUGAAAUCGUACAGGUUGUCCAAUUUCAGGAUUGCCCAAACCACAAAGAGAUAUAUAUACUAUAGUACCUGAGGACACCCCACUGUAUCUGCACCUAGAUAACCCAAAGAAAAAUCAAGAAAAUAAAAAUCAACUAGGUCAAUAUUUCUGCAGCUUCUCGAGCUGAUUAAUAUAGAUGAGCAUAAAAAAUCGACGUCUCCGUGAACAUGAUGCGGGUAAUUUUGGAAAACCCCUAACAAGAGCAAGAAAAAUGACUCCUUUAUUUCGCUUACAAAAGGAAUACCCUAAUCACUCAGAGAAUGACCUGUGGUUCACUUCAAAAGGCAAAAUAAAAGGGAAAAUAAACCAAGAUUCCAGGAGACAAAAGAACAACAGAAGGGAAAAUAAGUAGAAGCCCAUCCCUCUUUCACGAGCAUCCACCACCUCAAAAUCCAAUCCCAAACACAGUUUCAUACAUUAAGAAGAGGAGGGGGGAAAGGCUUCUUUUCCGUCUGCAAAAACAAAUUUGCUCUCCCAAAAUUCCAAGAAGAAGCUCACAAGAAUGAUGUGCGAACAAAGAGGAAGAAAUCAACAGAGGAAGCUUCUCGAUCAAGGCUGCAGUAAAAUCUGAGAAGCAGAUGAGAUUGGAAGCUACCUUACCUGGAGGGGGAUGCUCCUUUUCCCUUACUGUGGGUGCUUCGCGGAUGCAGGGAGAGAGAGAGGCAUGGUGAAGGGCGGAGGAGGGAGGAAGGAGGGCGGUCUUCUAUCAGCACACAUGGACACAGAGAGAGGGAGAGAAGACGUCGUCGGACUAAAACUAUUCCGCGUUCAAACACAUUGCCAUCGAAUCAGACCCGAUCGCUACUUAUAAAGAAGAGUGGGGUCCACAUGGGACCCUGUUUCAGCUUCCGGUUAUAAUAUAGGAAGUUUCUAGAUUUUGUAUAUGGAAAAGAAAAUCUGAUGCAUAUUAUUUUAAUACAAAAUACAAAUUAAUAAAUCUGAUAUGAGAGUAAAAAAAAAAUCAUGUAUUAAGAUCAAAAUUUUAAAAUAAUAAAUUUUAUUUUAAGAAUAUAUAAAAAUAAAAAUAAAUUAAAUUAUGUCUCAUUAUCAAUUAAUAUUGAUUAAAAAUUAUAAGAAUUUUGCGUCUGGACUCGCUGUUGGCUUUAGACCAGAUCAUGUGUAGGUGACAUUGCCACUCACAACAUGAGUUGGGUGAAUUGGCACUUGAAGAAAAUAUAAAUGGAUGAUGAGGUGAUCAAAGUGGAUUGGGUUAAAGUGGAGACCAUCAGCCAAACAUUUUGUCAAGCUCUGUUACCAAAGCAGAGAGAGACUAUAUUAUAUGGAUUGCGUACCCCUAAUUCCACAGUAUAAAGAAGCAUUGCACCACCGCAGCACAGGCAAGAGAAGAAGAAAAAGAAAACACACAAGAGUCGUCUCAGGCGCCCACCACUUCACUACUCUGUCAUCACCAUCACACAAGUUUGCUUUUGUUUCUGCAAGAAAAGGAUCAACCCACCCAAUGUAUACAACUAGUGUAUGAAAUCAUAGUUACCCACAUCGCAUCAUAAACCAGAGAAAACAUUAGAGGUAAGACUUCAUCAUCAAGAGACAGCAAGCAAACAAAGGAGCUCGAAUGCAGGAGCACUUCAGUUUUAUACUAGUUUGAUCUUGCUUUUCCACAGCAUUCACGCAAAGGGACAUCACAACAGGUAACACAAGAUCAUAGCGCAGGCUGCAGGUUACUCUCUCUCUCACUCUCACUCUCUCUCUCUCUGAUGUACUACUAGACUUCUAGCAUUAAAAAAACACAUCUAGAAGACUCAAUAAAUGUAAGCAGAGCCGCACCAGCAGAUGAGAAACAAAACAGAAGUGCUUGGGAAACACUUCCCGCUUGUACAAAGAGAGGAAGAAAUAAGGAGAUGAUGGCUUUGUUGGGGACCUGUCAACGCGACGAGUCUGGCGCGCUCAGCUCCUUCCGGAGAUUGUGGGAGAAGAGGCGGCAGGCGUCCAUGCUCAGGUCGACGGCGGCACCGAGCGCCACGAAGGCGGCGGCGUCCUCGCUGCAUCCCACGUGCUGCACGCCUACCUCCACCGUCGGGCGUCCGCUCCGCCUCUCGCCGGAAACCGUCGAGGACAUCACGAACCCGCGGUAGCUCGAGCAGGGCCACAGCGCGUAGCCCAAGUCGCCGCCAACCCUGGGGCUGCACCCCGGCGAGACCGACCGGCUGACGGGGGUGCCGGAUACUUCGAUUAGGUCGAUGGUAAACUGGCCGCCCUUGGCUGCGCUGAGGGUGGACUCGGCGAGGGUGACGCCGGCACCCAUGGCGGCCUCGGGGAGGAGUUCGAAACGGUAACCGAGGCCAUCACCGGAGCCGGCGCCGCCGCGCUCGCGCCAGGCCUCGAGGCGCCCCCACGGCUUCCAUGUGCCUUCCCCGGGCCGGAGCACCAGCCAUGCGCCGGGAUUGGAGCGGCUCACCCGGUCGGUACCAGAGGAGGGGACGAAGGGGGUCACCAUGGAGGCAAGGGCCACCGGCGAUCCGGAGAGAUCAUGGACCGUCACCGACCACCCCUUCCGCUCUUUCACCGGCCGCUCCCGCUCCGAUCCGAACGAUGUAAGCCAACUCCUCGAGUUCCCUGGCUCCGAAAGCACCGAUCUGCAACAGACAAAAAAAAAAGCUCAAUUUUUUGUUCUCCGAUCAUAUGGAAUACGUUCCAUCAAUCGAACGAAUACCCAUCUUUCUCCUAAAAUUACAAAGAUUUGGUUCAAAAUCAUCAAGGAUAGGAAGAAUAUAACAGAUCAAAUGCUAAUUAUCCUCCAAAUGGUAAUGCACCAAGAAUAGAACUAAAUUCCAGCGCUGACGAAGAAACACUGGGAAAAAGUCAAGGGGAUAAGAAUAGAAGGGGGCUGAGGACAAACCUAGUGCUCGAUUUGCCGUCGCCGGCAAUGCGGCAGCUGAACUUGCAAGUGAAUACUGGCUGUCUCAUAUUGCCCUGCACCUGGAACACCUGAGGGCUGCACUCCGGUUCACCGUCGAACUCGAACACGAACCGAGGAUCCUGCUCUGCCUUCACCGUCAGAUACAAGUGCGCCUCCGAGGACGAUGGCGAGGAAGAGGUGCCUUUCGCAAGCCUGAAUUUAUUCUUGCCAAGGGAGACCCAUCCGCUAUGGAACGCCACAGGCUUGCCCGCUCCGCUCUCCGCCAAGGCCCCCUUCAGGUCCAGCGGCAUCGUGACCUUACCCAGGAGCCGCCCAGAGCUCACCCCACAUGUUCUGCCCCUCCUGCCGGUGUAAACGGAGACCUUAAGCCUGGAGCAGCCGCCAUGGGAGGCGAAGAAGGACGGCUUGCCCGCGAUCCGGGCGAGGUCGUCCUUGGAAAGGUGGAACCGGGCGGCGACGGAGGCAUCCGAGGUGGGGGUGGCGGGGGGUUCGUCGUGGGGGACGAGGGGGACGGCGAGGGUCUGGCGGGGAAACUUGUCGAGGCGGAUCUUGGCGAAGCAAGGGGCGGCGGAAGGGUGGACGCCGGCCCCGGCGGGCGGCGCUGCCACAGCUACCUUCAACGCCAGGUUACCGACGACGACCCGAACGAACGGGCACGGAUCCAUCUGACACUAAUCCAACCCGAUCUUGAUCCUCCUCUCGGUAAUGUCGUCGUGUAUGGGAGUGGAAAGACGAGGAUAAAGAGGAGAGGGAGAGGAGGGGUGGCGGUGAUGAGGGGGGAUGGACUCGGAAGCAGGAAAGCUUAAAAGGCAAGGUGUGAGAGAAAGAACAGACGACAGGCUGGCGAAAUGGUUUCCAUGGCAGAUAGUACGGUACUGGGCAACAAAAAGAACUGAUUUUUAUCAUAAAAAUAGGAUAAUCGAAAAGAAAAAAAAUUAUUAUUAUUAUUAAUGUUAAUACCUUUUUCAGAAAAAGAAAAAAAAUUACCUUCUCACUUGUUAAAAGAGUUAUUAUUAUUAUUAUUAUUUUUGGCGAUACAUUGGUGCGAUGGACACUUGGGUGGAGAAUAACUAGAUUUUUUUUUUGAAUUAAAAAAAAAAAAAGAAAUUGGAGGACAGCUGUGGACAGGUUGUCCUCGGAACUGAGACAAUUUGGAAUCCGAAGUCGACGCCGUCGUGGCCUUCCCCCUCACGCCGCUUGUGUACUAAUUGGAGCUUCUCAUCCCCGCCGGCCUUGAUUUAGACCUUAACAACAGCUUUAACAACGACACGUCUCUCACCCUCAGCGACCCGCGCCCGGGCUCCGAUCUGCUGUCCCAGCUCCGUCAGGGUUCGCCAGGAGCCAGCACAAGUGUCGUGGGCCCCACAUACAUUCGAAUCCUGCUGAGAGUGGACCCGCCUUGCAGAUUGGAUCUGCGAGCGAGUCGGAUCGGGUCAUCGGCGCGGGUCGAGGAGGCUCCGAUUGGGUUAGUCGUGCGGUGUAGAACGUAGCGGAUUCGGGUGGCGGGGCCAAAUGGAGCCUACCCGAUUCGAUCCGCGUGGGAACAAGGCACGACGGGACCCACGGGUGGCCGGGCACAUGCGCAUUCGAUGCGGAUGCGCUUUUUCGCGUACGGCCCCGUACACCGACAACAAAUGACGACUUUGUCGCCCACAGAGACGAUGAGCACGAAUCACAAAGCGUCGCAAGUCCAUGAUUGAACGCCGUUGAUCGGUAGAGUCGAUAACUCCUCCUCGUUUUUAACUACCGAUUACUGUCUUCUUUAAUGUAAAUAGUAACAGUGCCAUAGCUAUACAAACAGUCGAGCUUAUUACUACUAUUUAUGGUAUUUCAGUAUAAUAAUCUAAACUGUUUCCAUUUAAUAAUAUGUCGGUAUACGUACACAUAUUCUCAGUUACAAACCAAGUGGGUUUAUUAUUAUUAUUAUCUUUUUGCUUUCUUUUUUCGGUGGUGGUCAGUCCAUAAUGAGUCGGUCAAUAUUUUUGGACAAAAAACUUUCAUUAAAUCUCAAAUUUAAUCUUUUAUUCUAUUUUUUUUAAAUUAAAUCAAUUCGUAUCGAUGAACAUAUUCGCGUCAACACAAAGACGAGUAGAAGAAGGGUAGAUGAACAAUGAUGAAAGAAUAAUAUAUGAGAAUAUGUAGUAAUAAUAAUAAUAAUAAAAGAUAAAGGAUGACGAUAAAAGAAGAAAGAAUACGAGAAGAUCAAAUCCAGUUUACUGUUUCAAUUUGAUAAAAAAAAAAUCUAAAAGAUUGAUGUAUUUGAAAAUCAAUUAGUGGAGAUUUUUCUAGAUACAUUGCCCGAAUAUUUUCUUAAUACUUUUAUGCUAAAAAAUAAUUUUUAUUUUUUUGGAUAAAAAAUUUAUGAAAAGAUUUUAUUAAUAAUUUAUAAGGGUAGGUAUUAGGGUGCGCUAAUCUUCUCAAACCAUUAUCUUUAAGCAACAAGCGUAAUGAAACAAAACAGAUCAACUCAUGCAUUUCAUUUUGUUGUUAUAAUUUAGCCUGAUUGGUAGGUGCUGUCAAUCGGGCAGGAAAUGGAUCGAUUUGGGCCUCUUUUGAUUCAAUAUAAAUGAUCCAUAAGGGAUUAGGACCUUAUAAAAUUUUGAUUUCUUUUUGUGGGGGUUGAUUCGAUGAUCAUUUUUUAGGUUUCAGUAUUAAUUCAUACUCUGGAUGUUGAAUCGGAGCUAAUCGAUGUCCAUCAACUAGUGAAAAUGAGUUCGAGUUAGAUAUUCUAUAAGAUUGCGUUAGAGGCUUACUCAACAAAACCUGCUUAAGUUAAUUUAGAUACAGAGAAUUCAUCCGACUGUCUAAUAUGUAUAAACACAAUUAUGUUCAUAGAGAAUGUACUUGGAGUAUUUUAUAUUAUAGUUUUGGAUCAAGGUCAUGAUUAAUUGUCCGAAAUAACUACGUACUUCGUCUAACUAUAAAUGAGAUCAUGGGAUUAUGCGUUAAAUAUGAGAAUCAUAAAGUAAUUAAGUUAUCAAUUAUUUAUCUACGAGGGGUUGGCAAUCCUUCGAGUGGCUUCAACCACAUAUCAAUUGGCUUUCCGACACCAAAUUAACUCUAAUUUCUUAAUCAAUUAAAUACAUCUAAUUAAUAAAUUAAGUUAAGCAAUUGCACAUAGUUCAAGGUUAUUACCAUUUUACCAACCAACUUAGUCUAAAUUAACCAAAGUUAACUGUUGAUGAACUGAUACGUCGUGAUCGAUGAGCCGUUUGGUCCACGAAUCGAUGUUGGGAGUUCAUGAUCAAGGACAAAGUGCCGAAGCCGACUUUAUUAGGAUGUUGGGAUGCUGACGUCGUCUAGGAGAAGGUGUCUCUCCGUCGGACCGAGCUAACACCAUCUUCCGGAGGUGGUCGAGCUCCUGCACAAAGGCUCUCGUCGGGGGGUUCCCGACUUUGGCCCCUAGAAGAUUAAGUUAGUAGUUACCUUUUCUUGCUCCCCUAGCUAGAUGCUGGUCAGGGGCUUUUAUACUACUGCGCGAAGAUCGGUUGUACGCAGAUUUAAUGCGACGAUCGAUCCCCGAGUGGCGAGACGGUACCUCCGUGCGAUCGCCACUUGGAACGGCGCCAUACGAUGUCGUCCCGAGCUUUUCGGGAUGAGACUUGCAUAGGGUCACCUUUGGUACGGAUCUCGAUUCGACGCGAGGAAAUACUCCCUCAUGCUAAUUUGGUAUGAGUGUGAUGCGACGCGAGUUAUGAUAUGGAUCUCAUCUAUAAUCGUUUGAGACAGAUAUGAGAUCAAACAACUAACCUUGCAUUAUAUAUAUAUAUAUAUAUACUAUUGAAUGUGAUGAUUCCUUAUAACAUAGUAAUGAAUUAAUAUGUACAUUAAAAUUAUUUUCGACGUCAAAGAGAUUAGUAUGCAGAUGAAUGGACAUUUGGAGGUACCAUUUAACUUGUUUUGUCCAUGUGUUCAACGAGAUUAUUAUGCAAUUUGCUCAAUGGAUAAAUGGAUAAUUUAUCAAUCAGUAUAUUUCAUUUUAUGUUAUCGAGUGAAGUCCAAUUGUUUUCUUUGAAAAAAAAAAGAAGAAAGUUGAGACGUCUCUCUACUACAGGCAUUUAUUAAUUUGGCAGGAAGAAAGUCAAUGGGAACAGUGUGAGUCACCAAAGUAGUCUGACAGUGAGACAAGGAAGAGGACACUUCACAUGGCCUGUGUCCUGUUGCCAUUGACAGCACCUCUGUCGUGGCAUGUGCAUGGGGUUGGAUCAAACCGGGGAUCUCGAGGGGUCGCAGUAGCAGCUCAUCAUCAUCAUCAUUGCGGUGCCUGGCAAAAGCUGUAGACUUGGAGUAAAAGUUUGUUUCUCGUUUCCAUUCAACUAUAAAUCGAGUAUCAGAGCCAAUCCAUAUGGACGGUGAAGUCAAGACAGUAUAAACCUCAUACCGGCAUCAAUGGAAUCCAUUGCCGCGGAGUUGAAACACUGGUUCAUCAGUGUGUGAUCAUUAACCUGCAUUGUUUUGACGACAGGUGUGGGUGACACUUGCAUGCGUGGAGGUCGUUGGUCAACCCUGGGGCAGAAACGAUGGCCUCUCCUGCCGGUGCACGGCUCCACAGAUCGUGUCUCACUUGUGGACACGAGAGAAGAGAUGAUGAUGAAGUGGUGGUGGGCUUUCUUUUCUGAUGAUGAACACAGGCUGACAGGAACUUGCUACCGCUCCAUGAGUCAGUAACGCAAAGCUGGCCGUCUGCUGUUACUAUGGAGAAAUCUACCCACUGUUUAUUUACUGUCUGGUAGAUGCAGGAAGAAUCCAAUGUCCACAAGUAUCUUAUCUGAGUUGUGAUUGCUGCCGAGGCUCAACAGAGGUCAAUUCACUUUUGCAGGCAACUCUCCUGUCCGAAACCUUCUGAAUGCAAACUUUAAUUUGGGUCGGCAUGUAAUGGAUCUUCCCUGCCAAAUUUGUAGGACACAGAAAUGAAGUUACAAUUAUGAGAGAUUGUUUGGUUUCUAUGUCUCAGUGAAUCUCCAUCAUCCAUUUCAGGUGAGAGCUCUCCAAGUACUUGUAAUGGAUGGGGGAUUCAUUCACCAUUAGAUAGAUAGAUAGAUGGAUAGAUCCCCAGGGUCUUCAGCUAUAAGAGGGCAGCACCUAAUCCUUGAGAUUGAGCUCAGAACAGAGGAGGAGGAUCCCAAUCCAAACCUGGAAAACAUGAACAAGCAUUUUGGCAUCAACCAGACACCCAGUACAAGGGUUUCGCUGUCCUUGUUUCAGCCUGUCAAAUCAGAUAGCAACAGGCGAGCCGAUGAUGGUAUCUUUGGUUCUACUGGAUCGCUUUUAUGUCCCUGCAGAGAAGAGGACUCGAGCACAUUUAAUUCAAAAUUUCAUGUCUGGGGAAUCUCUUCUCUCUCCAGUAAUUGAACUUUUAAAUCAAGAAACUGCACUCUCUCCUUUGCCGACUACCUCAUUCAAGUUUCACUGGUGGAGUUCAGACAGUGAGCGGCAAGCAGGAAAGUAACACCACAAGAUUGGAUCAUAUAGAAGGCAAAAUAACUCACCAAUUCAGCUGUACAUGCAUUGCAACAACCUAAAUAACCUUUCUUAUAGCUACAGAUCAAGCAAUUGAAAGCCAAGGAAACGAGACUCGUGAAGCAAACCUCAAACUUCUGGUGCAUUACAUGCUAAGGAGAUCUGAUGGGAGUGAAUCUGAAGCUGGUUGCUGUUGCUGCUCUCUAGUUUCGGGGAUGAUAUAUCGCGGCGCCGAUACAUCACCUCUGGGAGUGGGAGUGUCUCCUCCCUGCUUUGGUGGUGGUUUUGGGAGCUCCGUUAGGAUUUGAACAACUUCCCUCAUCGUAGGCCGCUCGACGCUCUGCUCCUCCACGCAGAGCAUUGCGACACAAAACACAUGCAUCACCUCGUGGAGGGGAACCGUCGGAAGCCUCGGGUCCAAGAUCUUGGUCACCUCUCCCUUCUUCAAGCCUGUCACCUCUCUAACCCAUUGAACAAUGUCAACCCCAUCGCCAAAUUCACCAACGGGCUUCCUCCCGGUUACCAGUUCCAGAAGCACCACUCCGAAGCUGUAAACAUCGCUCUUCUCAUCCACCUUAAGGGUGUAAGCAUACUCUGUGUGCCAAAGUGUGACAUAAAGAAUAAUUACCAUUUCUUCAAUCAAAUAGAGGACGAGAAACCAAUAACGUAGAUGUAGGAGACUGCAAAUUGAGCUGAAAUAUCUCAUUGUCAGCAACUCAUUUCUCGGAUGCCAACUCCGUUCUACUAAGACAACGGAGGCCAAGUAGCACAAAAGAAGGAACUACGACAGGAAAAGGUGGUAGAAAAGAGAAUUCAUAGCAAGUUAUUCCUUAUGUUUAAUAUCUAAGCGGUUCAUUGAACUCUGUAGAAGUAGUCUUAUGAGGCAGAGAGUUUGAAGCAUGACAAAGCUUUAACCAGAAAACUACUGUAGGAAAGAUUGGAAAGCCACAAACAAGUUUAUCUGUUAUCAAUUAUAUAUCACAAUAAAUUUUACCAGGAAAAGAAAUCUUAGCUGGAUAAAAAAAAUAUAAAAGCAAUCUAUUGAUCAUUAGAUCAGAGAAAGGAAGAUCACCUGGAGCUAUGUAACCAUAAGAACCGGCAAUAGCAGACAUGCAUUCGGAGGUGCCCGAGUCCUGCAAGAACCUGGCCAGUCCAAAAUCAGCCACAUGAGCUUCAAAGUUGGAAUCCAAGAGAAUAUUGUUGGACUUGACAUCCCGGUGGAGGAUCAAUGGCGAGCAAUCAUGAUGGAGGUAGCAGAGACCCUUGGCAGCCUCCACCGCAAUCUUAUACCUUGUGUCCCAAUGCAAAUGCCCACCCUUCUUCCCAUGGAGAACCUCCCCAAGGCUCCCAUUAGGCAUGUACUCAUAGACCAGGAAAUUGGUCUCGUGGUUCGAGCAAAAGCCCAGCAGCCUUACAAUGUUCCGGUGGCGGAUCCUCCCCAGAGUCUGUAUCUCCGCAUUGAACCCAUGGUCGUGCGACAAUCCUCCCCUACUCAUCGCAGGGAGCCUCUUCACCGCAACCUGUUCACCAUUGGGCAUGACACCCUUGUAAACUAUCCCAGCCCCUCCUUUGCCUAUGAUGUUUUCCUCCUUCAAACAGUUCAACACAUCAUCGCAAGUGAAUUCAAGCCGCUGGAACGCGGUGAGCUUCCACGCACGAGCCUCGCUCGCUUUCUUCAAAGAUCGGGCCUUGAAGAGGGCAGCGAUGGCAAAAGCAGCAGAACAGAGAAGAAGGCCAAUGACAAGCAGAAGCUUGGAGGAGGCUGAGAGGGAGCCUUUGGCGCCAGCCGAAUGUCCUGCAUUGGAGAUGCCAGGUCGGCAUAGCCCGAGAUAAGCGCCACAGAGGUCCGGGUUGCCGACGAAGGAAGUGGCGUUGAAGUAGCUAAACUGGCCGGUGCCUGGGACGACGCCGGAGAGGUUGUUGUAAGAGAAGUCCACCUGCGUCAGGCUCUGCAUUGUGGAGAUGGCCGCCGGGAUUUGGCCCUCGAGAUGAUUCCUCGACAGAUUGAGGUAAUUCAAGAUGCGCAUCGCCGCAAUCUCUUCGGGAAUGUCGCCAGACAGUUCGUUCCUGCUAAGAUCGACAAAAGUCAGCAGCUUGCACUUGCUGAUCUCGGGAGUGAUUGGGCCGGCAAACCGGUUGCCACUGAAGUCCAGCUUCGAGAGCUGCUGCAACCUCCCGACCUCCGGUGGGAUACCGCCGGUGAACGAGUUCUGGUUCAGCAGCAGCUUCUGAAGGCCGAAAAAGUUGGCGAUGGACGGCGGCAGAGGGCCGGUGAGCCGGUUGUUGGACAGACAAAUCUGCCCAAGAUUUGGAGAUAUUGGGGAACGCCCAGUAUCCGGGAAGCCGCCGGUGAGGAGAUUGUCCUGGAGCUCAACCUGAGACAGAUUGGGCAAGCUAAAGAGGCCUCUCGGAAUGCUUCCGUUGAGGUAGUUCUCCGCCAUUCUGAUGCGGCUCAAGGAUUUGCAGCGGCCAAGGGACUCCGGUAUCGGGCCGAAGAGGAAGUUCCCCAGCGCGAUCAAAGUUUGGAGCUUGUUGCCGUAGCAGAGAUCCGGGGGGAGCGAUCCGGUGAGCUUGUUCGACGAAAGGUCUAGGGACUGAAGGCGGCCGUUCUUGCCGAGCCGGCGAGGGACACUCCCGGUGAAGUUGUUCUCCCAUAGCUGGAGCACCUCGAGCUCGGGGAGAUCGCCGACGAACUCCGGGAUGGCGCCGAAGAGCUUGUUGCGGAAGAGGUUGAGAAGGGUGAGGUUUCCGAGGUCAGCAAAGCUCGGCGGGAUCUCUCCGGUGAGGGCAUUGUUAGAGAGGUCCAUCGACUUGAGGCUCCUGAGGCGGCCGAGCUCCAGCGGGAUCUCGCCGACGAGGCCGUUCACCUGGAGGAAGAGGGAGUCGAGGAUCCGGAGGUUUCCGAUCUCGGGCGGGAUGCGGCCGGAGAGGCCGCAGUUGGCGACGUCCAGGCGCAGCAGGGUGGACAGGUUGCCGAUCUCCGGCGGAAGACCGCCCUCGUAGCUGUUGUAGUAGCCGAUGUACAACUCACGGAGCGAGGAGAGGUUGCCGAUCUCCGGCGGGAUCGGUCCGCCGAGCUCGUUGCCGGAGACGGCGAGGUACUCGAGGAACUGCCAGCGGCCGUACUCCGAGGGGAUGGAGCCGGAGAAGAAGUUGCCACCGAGGUGAAGGUGGCGGAGCUGGUGAAGCGCCGCCACCUCGCGGGGGAGGGGCCCGGUGAGAUUGUUGUUGUAGAGGUCGAGGACACGGAGAUCAGCGAGGCCGGCGAGGGCGGGGGGGAAGGAGCCAUCGAAGAGGUUGUUGGAGAGGUUGAGGUGGCGGAGGACGGUGAGGAGGGCCAGAGCCGGGGGGAUGGGGCCGGAGAGGGAGUUUUCGGCGGCCGAGAGGCGGAGGAGGGAGCGGAGGCUGCCGAAGGCGGGGGAGAGGGGACCGGAGAGGUUGCGCCCGGAGAGGUCGAGCUCCACGACGGCGGCGCGGUCGCAGGUGACGCCGGGCCAGGCGCAGUGGUCGGUGGCGGGGUCCCAGGCGGUGAGGGCGGCGCCGGGGUCGGAGAGUUGGGACUUGAUGGAGAGUAGGGCAUGGUGCUCCUCGGCGUAGACGGCACCGGCGGCCGCCGCCGCCGCGGAUGGGCGGAAGAGGAAGACGAAGAGGAGGUGGGAGAGCAGUAAUAGCAUCUCUGUGUGGUCGUGAAACUACUACAGCUCACUCUCUGAGUGGCGCGUGAACUAAUUUGGCUCUUCUUCCGCCUCUCACACUCGAACACUCACUCUGUCUUCGAGAGAGAGAGCGAGAGAGAGAGAAGAGAAGAUGUGGUCGUACACCACCAACCUUCACAUUUACACACACACACAUGCGUUGAGUUUGAAAUAUCAAAAUCGGCACAUAGUACUGUCGAUGCCAGCCGUUUUCAUUUAUGAAACGUCUAUUUUUCUUAAAAGAAAAGUCCAAAAUUUUUAUUAUUUAUAUUAAAAAAAUCAGCCAGAUAAGAAUUUUAAAUACUCGAUCUUUAAUAAAUAAAUUUAUUAUAUCAAUAAUAUUUUCAGAUAAAAAAAAUUAUGAAAUAAAAAUUCAAAUCCUAAGCUUUAACAAGUAAAUUUAUCAAAUUAGAUCUUGAAUCAUCGAUCUUCCUCAAAUGACUAUAUAUAUAUAUAUAUAUAUAUAUAUAUAUAUAUAUAUAUAGUAUAUUAUAUUUUUAUAAAUUUUUUUUUAAUUUUUCUCAAAAGGUAUUCUCAUUUUUAUUUUUAUCAAAUAAUGCCUUUCAAUUUAAUAAAUACCCGAACAUUCCCUAAAAAAAUUAUUCCAUGUCACAUUGUUCUCAUCAUCUCAUUACUUUCGCUAUUCAUUGUUCCUUGCCCAUCAUCUAGAUUGACGAGGGAGGAGAAAAAAAAAAAUGAAAGAGCAUACGAUAAGGACAAAGAGGGAAGGAGGAAGGUGGAUUUAUAGGAAUACUAUAAUACGAGAAAUGCGAGACGAUAAAUAGUAUGGUCAUAGAGAUAGCAGUGCCAUGAUAUUAUAGAUGUGAAACUUUCAUGGAGUCAUUGAUCCCUUGCUCUCAUAGAUGGGGGGCACAUAGUCAUGAAAGGAGUUGAAGAGGUGGAGAACAUAGAGACAAAUUCUAAGCAUCGAGAUAAAGUUGAAUGGUAGAGACCAAGGAACUUUGUAAAACUGAUGUUGAUGAGCUUCUCAUUAAGAUAGUGAAAAAUGAGGAACUUCGGGUCGAUGCAGGAGUGCUUAACCAAGGAACAUUGUAAGAAAUAUGUGGUGCUAUUCCUUUUCUACUUAUAGGAGUUGUGACGAAAAUGAUAUAGAAGAUUGUAUAAUCCCAUAUGUGACCAAAACUAUCAAAUAGUUGCUCAAGGUCGAGGUGAAAUUUUACUUUCUUCAAGUAAAACUUUUUGCAUUCUAGAAGUUUAAUGACAAGAAGGAGCUGAAUUGUAGUAUUUAAUUUAAUGCAAUGAGUACAAACACUUCGAGUACUUCAUAAAUAUGAGCAAAGAGUAAGUAAAUACUAAUAAUCAACUUGAUAUAUGAAGUACAACCCUCGAGGAGGCGGGCGAAGUCAAGGAACAUUUGCUUUCUCAACUCUUAAGAGAAUGAAUGAAAUUGAGUAUUCCUCGGUUCUCUUAUUUAUCCAAUAGAGAAGUUUUAAAUAUGUUUAAAGACUCUUCGAAGAAACUUAGUGGAAAAUAAUAGUUGUUACAUCGUUACAAAUGGUUAUUGAUUCUACCGAGAGUAGAUUGUCUAUUUCAUUUUUCAACUUAAUAUCAAUCAAAAGUAGAAGUGAUACAAACCUACUUAGAGUCGACAAUUAAGUAGAAGAGGGAUCGAUUGGCAAAUUUUUCAUAAAAAAGAUCUCAAAACCUCAAAGUCUAUGAGAUGAUGCCUGUUAAACUCUAAUAGGUAUCCACCCAGUUCAAGCAGCGCAAGACAUUUGAGAGAUUGACAUACAACAAUGGUCUUUUUCUUCAUAAGGGAUUUGUAAAAACCAACAAAGAUCAACACAACUCGAUCAACCCCACACCAGAUUCAAAGUUAUUGGUGAGUUGAAGUAGCAUUGGUGAAUCAAAGUUUAACUAUUCAACUAUAACGGCGGAGAGUAGUUUAGAGCCAAGAAGCAUGUUGCAACUAGAGUAGAAGAUUGAAUAUUUAACAAAGGUGAGAAGAUGUAGUAUCCGCAAAGGCUUCGACUAAGAUGUCGAAAGAAUAAGUGGGGGAGAAUGUUAUAGAUAAAUUUGUACAAAGAGUAUUCGAUGUAAUGUUUAUGUAUAUUCGUGUCUUUUAGUUUUGCUCAUUCUUUGCACAACAUAUAGAAAACUUAUAGUAGGCUUAGUAAUCUGGUUUUGGUUAGAUUUUAUGACCGUCAUAGUCUUAUAAAUACAUUAUAUGCGGUCAUCGCGUAGAGAUAAAAUUGCCCGAAAAUAGGCCAUCUUGGCAACCUUUUGAGAGAUUUUUUAGUGCCACAAAGUAGUGUCGAGUGUCAACCAACAUAGCACUUAUGAGCUACCCAUGUGACAUAUGAUUGCAUUAGACUUUUGGAUAAUGUUUAAGGUUGGUUUACUAUCUUAUUAUACGACAGUGUUAUGUGAGUACUUGUGGAGAUUUUUAGUUGUGAUAGAUCACUUUGGACCCUUAUUAAUGUGACAGUUCAUAACUUAUAAAGUUUAUGUUUGUAAUUUACAUUAUCGAUCAAGUAUUUACUGAAAUAUCUACUUAUUAAAUCCCAAGUUAAACGAUUUCUCUAACUUGUCUUAUCUUUUGUAAGUUCUUAAGGGAUUAUAAGAGGUUUCGAAUAGACAGACCUCUUAUGAACGAAUAUACAUGGGUAUUGCACGAGUUAGAUAAAACUAAAAAAGUUCAUGACACCUUGGUAAAAUAUAAACAGGCGGUCAUCCAAUAAAACCCUAUUAUUAGGGAUUUUUUUGUUUUUGAGUAAACUGGGAUAAAAUUAUUAUCUCUUACUAUCAAAAAUUGCACAACUAAAACUGAUCAAAUUUAUGAUUAGAGACGAGAUGUCUGAAGAAGAAGAAGAAGAAAGCUGACAGAAAGGAAUAGAAAAUGUGAUCCGCAAACAUACAAAUUCCUACAGGUUUGGAUUCCAUCAAAUCAGGCACCAAACACUACCAUUUGCCAUACACAACCAGUAGAGACAGCAAAGUUCUCGUGGAAGAAUCUUACAAAAGUCAUCUUUUGCUAAAUGGGAGAAAGGAUGAGGAGAGUGACUCGAUUGAAGUAGGAUUUGCAGCAAAGAGCAAGCAGUAAUGGAGAUUCUUGGAGGAAUGGCCUAAAGCUCUUCAUGUUAUAUAUAUACAAAGCCACCCAUGGAUAGGGAUAGUGUAAAGGGAGAGCAUUACAAACUGCUGAGAUACAAUAUUGUCUAUAUAAUAAGCCCAUUAGUUUCUUCACGCAUGAACAAGCUAACUCAAAGCAGAUCCCAGCUUCCUCACAAGAUCCUUCACCGUCAUUGAGAAUUCCUCUUCUAUCUGUGCAAGAAGAAAAGAAAAUUGCAUUCAUUCUCUUUCACAUUGAGGUCAGCGAUAUUAGAUCGAACAUGAGUUGCUCACAAGCUCAUAUACAUGAGAAAACCAGGAAAGUAAGGUCUUGCCUGUGCUGUCACUGUUACGUUGAUAGAGGAGCCAAGAAAUGGCAUGACAUUGGUAUUGAUUAUGGUGAGAUUGAUGCUCUCGAUCUCGGAUAGGAUCUUCACGAUAACCCCUUUGCGGUUCUCGCAGUGAAUUCUCAUCAGCACCGUCUUCCCGGAAACCUUGGCUUCGAUCUCAGGAAAAGGCUUCUGUGAUGGUUGUGCAUCAAAGUUCUCAUCGGAGGAGGAACCAUCAUCAUCAGCAUCAGCAUCAGCAGCAGAGGGCUGGGACUUCUUGACGAGGACCACGGAUUCCACAGUCCUCUUCACGUUCUGGUCUUCCAGGGCCUUCACCCUUGCCUCCAGUUCUUUCACGUAUCGCACUGCAUCUCCAAGAACAGAAGCCUUGUCCGCCUAGCAAAUUGAUAUAUAUAUAUAUAUGCAUACAAAUCGAGGCAAGUUAUAUGCAAUUUCUCAUCCAUAAUUCCCAUCCAUCUCUCUCUCUCUCUAUCUAUCACCGUGUAACAUAAUCAUACGUUUGUCAUCCUAUUAUUUCAUGUAAUCUCGCAUCAGAAAACAGAACGAAAACAUAUAUUUCUCCAAGUCUUCUCAGGAUUCUGAGAGUGUUCAGAAACCAUAUAUUUGUGUCCAGUCUUUGAUUGGUCUGUUUCCUACCAAUGUUAAUACCGCUAAAACCGUGGAAAAUAUUCAUGAGAUAAAAAAGUGAUGGACAGAGAGAAUAGUCUAAUAUUACUAAAGAUUAAUGUUUGACUUAUAAUCAAGUUUUUGAAUUGAAUUGACUCCAAGUCGUCAAUAUCUGAUUUCUAACAAGCCGUAAGGAAGAGAGACAUGUCUCCCAUACCAAGCAACCGAAGCUACCUUUUUAAGGCCAGGGAUUAUCGCCGAUAGUGCAAUGAACUUCUGGUUGAGCUUCUCCCGCCGGUUUCUCUCGGCGAUGAUGUGCUCUUGAGCUUGAGCGUUGACAGUCGUCGCUCCCCGGUGAAGAACAGCUUCAUGCUUGCCACCAGCAGCCGGAACCCUCAUCUCUUCCUUUGGCUUCGUAGAUACCCCGGGAACAUGUAGAAGAGGUGCUGGGAAUGAGGCAUCGGGAUCCAUGUCUUCGUUGGCCAGGAAAUUCCAGCUGAUGAUCCCUCGAGUAGUCAGUCUUGAUCCCGCAACGAGGCCUGCCGGAACAGGAUGAGAGGUUUGGCUCUCGGAAGAGAGGGACUGCCGGAAGCCUCUCCCGGGCGCCGGUGCAACCGGUGGUGUGUCUUCAUGGGUUGAUGUUAUUUCCCACCGGUGGAGAAGGUUAGACUCAUCGAUUCCCUGCAGAUUAGGCAUAGAUAGAAAACUACCACAAAGAUGUUUCUCUCGAAGAACAAGGUCUGUAGAAGAGUCUGACAUCUUUUGUUUCCGAGAUUAAACCCUAAAAGCCCAUGUAGUUCCAAGCAGCUUUGAUGCAUGGCGUACACUUACACUUUGUGCAAACCAGUCGUUCCAGGGUGCCUCCAUGUCCUUCUAUGAUCCACUUCCCUGAACAAAGAGAUCCUGGCAUAAACCACUAAGAAAUAUUGUGGAAUCCAGUUCACGGAAUAACAUGUUGUCUCGAUCGAACAUGAAGCAGUGGAAAUCCCGACAUAAACCACCAAGAAACAUCGUGGAAUCCAGUUCAUGGAAUAACAUGUUGUCCUGAUCGAACAUGAAGCAGUGGAAUUCAAGGACCAAGGAGACUCGGAACAGAACAGCCUGUUUAUAUUAUUUAUUACACCCAAACAGGAAAGGAAAAGGAAAAGAGAUUUGGAUCAAAUAGCUCAGAAGACGAGCUUCUGAGCACACACUGGAGAGCUCUUGAUUCGUAUCAAAACUUCCAGCAUGCUUCUUAGCGAGGACGAGUUCAUACUUCGUUCCAUAUAUACAAGAAAAUUAAAGAAGAUCACAAGGCACUCAGCUUUCAUGCAUGCACUUCCUAUUUAGACAAGUACUCGCUGAAGAUAUCAAAGAACACUUACCUAGCUAAAAACAUCAAGGAAGAAGAAGAAGACUCAUGUUCGGCAUCAACUUCUUCUCUCCUAGUUGAAAGCAGAACUGCUCUAUCAUCCCUUGAGUUCCCGGAGAGUCGUCUUCUUUGUGUGAACACUCCCUGGUCUUCUUGAUUUCAUGUUUUCCCUCAUGUUAUAUUGGGACAAGUCUUCUACAAGCUUGAUCAAGGAAAAUAAUGCCCACAAUUACAAAACUAUAUGACAUAAUCUAACAGAAAAGAUUUGUUUUGAUAAGAAAGAGAGCCACAACAAAAGGCAUUCAGAAAAUGUGGUCAAACAAAAGGAAAAGCAUAUGAGAAUAUCUUCACAAUAUCAUAGUCGAGGAGAUCUUUUAGUAUCUUAUUCAUGUCUAUAAUAAUCAUGUCUGGUGGUAGUGAGAGAGACCGAAUAGAAGUGAUUGCAGCAGUGGGCCCAAGCAGCACCCUCAAUUAUAUGUGGACAUAUGAACAGAUGAAAUGGCUUCUGUGAAUUGUUUUUGAGCAGAUUGAUGUGAGAUCCAGAAAGAGUAUCUUGCGGUGUCUUAGUGAUUACCCGUUUCCCACUUUCUCGGAGUACUGAACAUUCUUAUCCACCUUCAUGAAAUUACAACAGCAUGCGAGAGAAACUGGCAGCCAAACACAGACAUGAAUCCAUUUCAAGUGAUGAAACGAGUACACAGGGUAUAUAAAGUCAGCAGAAGAAGAAGAAGACGAUGAUGGAAGCUACAAGACAUGUUGAUAUAACUCCUUUAUCUGAGAUUUCAUUAUCAGUGAUUUCAUUAAAAGAAUCAUACUUACUGAUUAAGACAGAUCACCAGUGUAAUCCGUGGCAGAUCUCUUAUUUAAUCACAUCGCCCACAAACCUUUGAAAACUAAUCCAUAGCUUUAGUAACUCAUUUUAUGCUUCUUACGUGCCUUCCACCAACAAGGACAGAUUGCAUUGAUAUUUAAAACUAAGAAUUCAUAUGGUCAUCGGAUCAUUAUAGAUUACUUGUCACGGUAUCAGAGAAGAUUGCCCGCAGGCCAUUAGCAGAGGGAUCCAUGGACCAAUGAAAGUGGGAGUAGCUAGAGAAGGAGAAAGACACUUAGCUACAAUACCAGCCAACAUAAGAUCCUGUCAAUAUCUUUCUAUGGAUGAUGAUUAACAGAGCGGCAACAGUGCCAAGAAAACUAAUGAACGAUCAUCAGCAGUAGGCUAAUCCACAUCUAACCUGUUAGGGUCAUUUAUUGUCUAUAAUUUGAAUCUGUGUUUUUUGUUUGUCUUUUUUCUCUCUAAUUUUUUGGAGCUUAAAAUUUGAAGAAAAAUUGGAGUAACUUUGUACCUCUAUUAUUGUCCUCAAGCCAUAGGUGAUUGAUAGAAUAAAAGAUAAAAACAUGUCCCUCUCUUAUUUAUACAGAUCAGGAGGAAAGAUUUUCCUCAAUAGAAUAAAAAGAUUUCCUCAUAUAGUUAGAAAAAUCUUAUUUUCUAUCAAUAGAAAUUCCUACGAUAAACACAAAAAGGAACUCUUUAAAUUUAAUUCUUUAACAUGCAUUAAUUAGUGAAAGAGGAAGAAAAUGAAUGUUGAUAAUAAUAUUUGAUCAUGACCCACAUUCAACUCCUAUUGCCUAGGUUCUGCGAGCUUGAGCAACUCGAGGAUAUUUUUCGAUCCGUCAUUAUGGUAAACAUCGUCGCACUCGAUCCAGUCAUCUUCUUAUGAUGGUUGGCAAUUAUCAUCAACUCAGAUAUUUUAUUUUUCUUUCCUAAUUCCUAAGUCAACAUGUACUCGAUUUCUUUUUUCUCCCACCUUUUUUUUUUUUCUCUCCCGAGCAUAUAAAAUAAUUAAUGAUAUAUAUUAAUAUUUAAAUAUUAUGUCGAUGUGCUAAUAUUCAACCAAAGCGCCUGUAGCUCAGUGGAUAGAGCGUCUGUUUCCUAAGCAGAAAGUCGUAGGUUCGACCCCUACCUGGCGCGGUUUUUACAGUUGUUUAUAAUGGAUCUUUUUCGAACUGCUUAAUAUAAUCCUUUACUAUUGAAUUGAAUGCUUCAGUAGCAGUCAGCUUUCAGCAAAACGACAGUAGAAGAAACGAUAGAGCAUGCAAUAGAUCAAAUCUGUUCAGCUGCUCUCCAAACUUAUUGAUUGGAUCUUUGGACCGGCAGUUCUUAGAUCAAUUGAAGAAGAAAAAUACUACUCUCUAUUAAUAUAUAUUUUUUGUUUGCAUGCAUUGCGUUGUUGUUGUGGGCAUACUCAACCACCAUCCACUUUAUGAACUCGAUCUUAUCAACACACACAUGCCUGCUCUGUUGGUGGGACAUUUAAUGUGGGUUGGGACCAUCCGAACGAUCAGUAGAUCGAUCAUCUACGAUUGCAGUAGGCGAAAAAAGAUGCAAUUGUUCUUUUCUUUCUGCCUCUGUCAAAUUUUGAAGCCUUAUGUUACAUAACGUAAUUUCAUGCAGGAUUGGUCUACAACAUUACAAGAAUAAGAAUGUGAGGAUGGUUGACCAUCAUCAUCCACUCUAUCUAUUGUGUCGUUGACUUGUCGGGGAACAAGGACAGGCAACGGACUCUCUCACCAACUGCAUGAUCUCAGUAAACCGCAUACACACACACACAUCUCAGAAUCAUGUUGCACGAGUUUUGAUCACACAAACACAACUGUGACUACAAGAUGAGUGAGAGCAGGAGAAGCAUCAGAGGCACAGAGAUUAUUCCAAGGAGAUUAAAGGAUAUCAGUAGAUGACUGAGAGACGAAGAGAAGAGUGGAUGGGUUCAACUACUCUUGCGAGGCUGUUGGCUUUUUCUCCUUGUUCUGCUCUUUGGUUUCUCUUCUUCUUGUUGUUGUUGGAUUGCUUCCACUGCCUCGACUUGUUCGUUCUCAGCAGCAGCAGCAGCGGCAGACUUUUGUUCCUCCUCUUCAUUCCUUUCCACCGCCACCUCCACCACUUUGCGUGGCCGGCCUCUCUUCCUCUUCGCCUGCUGUGCAGCCACAGCCUGUUCCGAUAACGCGCCAGUGCUGGUCGGCGAAGACGAUCUCCUCUUCAUCUUGGUUGUCGUCUUCUUCUCCAUGUGCGUAUGCUGAUCAAAGUUCAGAUGAUUCCCCAACCCGACGAGAUUAAGCACAAACAAUGUAUCUAUGUCAGCAUCUGCAAUUUCCUAUCCCCGUCGAUCAUAUAUGCCUGUCAUGAAAACACAAUAUAUGUAUGUCAACAUCUGCAAUUUCCUAUCCCUGUCGAUCAUAUAUGCCGGUCAAGAAAACACUAUCCACAAAAGAAAUCUCAUCCCAACAGUCAAAAAAAGGUUCAUAGAACAGCUCACAUCUUAAGAGUGAGUCUCUUUCCAAACAAAGUGGGUGGGAGAGAAGAUGGAUGAAGAGCGCUGCAGUAGGAGUCCGCGAUGAUAGCAUAGCAGAGCAACCUAACCCAGAGGAGGGGCACUUGCGGCUCUCUCUCUCUGUCUCUGUUACAGUGGUGGAUGGAUGGAUAUAUGAGAAACAAAUCAGCCAUGGGGAUACCUGUUAGGUGCAACCCUCAUUACUCUCAGUGCUCGGCCACUGGGGACGCUUCACGUCAGCAUCAACAUGGAUCAUGUCAUCACAGAUUCAUCCGCAAAGUUGGCUUGCCGGAGGGGUGGGGAAUAGUUAGUUCAUAAAUGCCUGCAUGGAGAGUGAAUCUUUUCAACAUAAUAAUACCUACCGCUCGUGUACAGCAUAAUCCUGCAUUAUUAAGAGAGAAACUCCGGGGGGGGGGGGGGGGGGGGGGGUUAAACCAUAGCAGAUUAGCAUAACUGAUAUGUUUCUACCACUUCACUAACAUUAGGGGCAGUUAUGCGACUCAUACAAAGAUGGGAUAGAAAAUUACAUAAUGAAAGCAACGACUAGGAGAUGAGUUCAGUUGAGAAAAUUAAAAUAAAAAAUAAAAAUAAAAAGAAAUGCUGAUCACAGAUCUCAUAAGUUAUCAGCAUCUCUCUCUCUCUGACAUAAAUUACAUGGACAUUAUUUCAGUUUUUUCACUGACAGAUAAACGAGUUCUUCUCAGAGAAAGCUGAUGUUCCAUUAUUUUAACCUUAAAAACAUCUCCAGUCAGAUAAUGCUCGAAAAACAACCCAGGCAAGAAAGCAGGCAUUAGUAAACCCGUGCUUUCGGUGGGAAUGACUCCACUUCAUCAUCCAAAGUGUUCAUAUGGACAGGCCUAUAGGUUAGCUUGACUUUCCCAUUCUCCCAAUACCUGCGGCAAAAGCAAAUAAACUUCACAUUAUGAAGAAUCGAUCAAGUACAAAUACAACUAUAAAUAUUGGUCGCCCGUGUUUUGUCGGUAAGAAGUGGAGCAUCUGAUGGAGGGAACGGAAACAAAUUCAACCGUGCAGAGAAUUAUAUUAGUUCUGUAUCAGAUAUUUGUUUCAUCCUUUUCCAUGCAUAGGAUCUCUAACAGCAACGAUAAGAGCAUAGAUUUAAUCAUGAAUGUGGAUAGCUAGUAGCUCUAUGAGAACUUCUAUCAAGGUUGUCUGUUAAAGAUAUCUAUCUCCUCGAGCUUCUAAUCCAAUUUAUGCUUGAGGUUAUGAGCAUGUCAAGUAUCACAUGCUCAGACGUUCAUAUGCUCAUGCUCCUGAAGACUUUGAAACAACCCAAUUGUCAAUGUCUUCAGUUUUAACCAAAAUCAAGUUCCAUUUGGUAGAUGUUAUCAAGGAACACUGUUCGAAAAUGUUUUCGAGGCUUGGACCCUUGUAGUUCAUAUCCACGUAUCAUCACAUACAAAAAUUCAAGAAAAUAUGUACAAUCUCAAAAAUUAUAAAAAAAAUUCUCUCUUUUCUAAUGAGUAAUUUUCUAACCAGCAAUAUUUUUUGCAAAUCCAACUGAUACAUCCGAAAGCCAAAACUAAGAAAGUUUUGGUACUAAACCUAACAGUUUAAGUAUUUUAUAAAAUUGUAUCUAAAGCUCCACCAUCAUUGGCAAUUCAUACAUAUCCAUUUUCUAACGCUAACAUACAACAGAAUGACCCUGGUUUUCUUCACAAUCUUUAAUGUCCAUAGUCCCUACCACUGAUGUCCUUUCUACCAAAGAAACUAAUAAACAGAAACUGGGAUUUUGUAUUCCAUCUACUUGAACACUUGCUAAACGCAGAAACAUGCAAUGGAACUACAUUAAUAUGAUUGAGAUUUUCUUUCCAAAUGUUGAAAUUGUUAGAUGGUAUUCUAGAUAAAAAGAGUUUUUAAUAUACUAACCCUAGUGUGUGUUUCAGCCACUUCUCAUCAUCUCUUUUCUGCAACAAAAAAGAGGUGAUGUUAUACUAAGAAAUCAGCACAAAAAGGAAAUAACAUAUUCAGCAGAAAGUGAAUCUGACCGUAAAGUCUUCGCGAGCAUGAGCUCCUCGACUUUCCUUUCUUGCCUCAGCUGAGUGCAUUGUUAUACAUGCAUUUAUUAAAAGAUUUUCUAGCUCAACAGUCUCUAUUAAGUCGGAGUUCCUGCAAGCAUAAUGAGAAAUCAGAUGACUGAAAUAGAUACAAAGUAGAUGUCAUCAUCGAGGCCAUUAAGUAAAGGGCACAACCAUAUCAGACUCCGAUCAUGGAUUUUGACAUCAUGAAAGCUCUCCCAUGCUUUGUCUAUCAACUGACAACCUAAAAUAAAUUCAUGCAACAGAACAGUAAGAGCUAUAGAAAAUCCACCAGAUCACGUUUUCUACAAAUUGACACUAAUGAGUCGUAGCCAGAAAGAACCUUCUUCUAGUGUUUCUUGUGUUCGAAACACAGCAGCAUUAUUUUGCAUCACCCGUUGCAUGUUUAGACGAAUUUUUGAAGUUGGCAGUGAACCAUUUGAGUUCCUUAACUUAUCCAGCCAAGCAAUGGUCUUUUCUCCAGCAUCUUUCUCAAGUGGUUUCUGCUUCUCCCCUGUAAAUUAAAUAAAGAUGCUUGGUUAUUUACGAUAGACCUUUCGUAAGUUUUAACUUUCACAGAGAUAAAGUAAAAGCAUACCUGGCUUGCAGAUUUCCGCGACUCUGUUUGCACAGGCUCUGCCAAAAACAACAAUAUCAAGAAGUGAGUUUGCGCCAAGCCUAUUUGCUCCAUGGACAGAUGCACAAGCUGCCUCUCCAGCAGCCAUCAAACCAGGAACCACUGCAUCUGGAUCAUCACCCUCUAUAUGAACUACCUGAGAAACCAAUCAUAGGUGCAAAAAAGCAGAAUCAGCAACAGAUAUCAAAAACAGCAAGUGAUACUCUAAAAAUCAGUUCUACGACUACUACCACUUGACGUUACCUCGCCAUGGUAGUUUGUCGGUAUUCCACCCAUAUUAUAGUGCACGGUAGGCAGAACAGGGAUGGGUUCCUUAGUGACAUCAACACCAGCAAAAAUAGCAGCAGUCUCAGAUAUCCCAGGAAGUCUUUCCUUGAGAACAUCCGGAGGUAAAUGAUUCAGAUGAAGAUAAAUGUGAUCCUUAAGUGGCCCUACGAUAUUCAAAAGAACCAGAUAUCAACGAUAAGCACUUAAUUGCACUCAUAAAAUCAGCAUGAACUAGCAAGUGAUCCUUCGGCUCAUACCUACACCACGACCUUCUCUUAUUUCCAUUGUCAUAGAUCUAGAAACCACAUCGCGUGAUGCAAGAUCCUUUGCUGUAGGAGCAUAUCGUUCCAUGAAACGUUCACCUUCACUGUUCCUAAGGAUACCACCCUCGCCCCGAGAUCCUAAAAGUUAGUUUUUGAAACAAAAGGAUAAGUGAACAAAACCAUGCAUAAAAAAUAUCAAUAUGUACAGAGGCUAAAACUUCAAAGACUUUGAUAUCGAAUAAGACUAUGUAGUAAAAGAACAUAACCAAUAUUGGAAACUAUUUUAUCAGUUAGAGCACUUGAAAACAAGCGAUAACCACAACAAACCUUCAGUGAUCAGGCAUCCAGCACCAUAUAUGCCUGUAGGGUGAAAUUGAACGAACUCAAGGUCCUGCAGGAAGGAUAACCAACUAAGCACAAAAAGAAUAGGAAAUGCCUGGAAAUUAAAACCUCUUGAUAGGGCAAAAAUCAUUAUAUAAACCUCGAGAGGUAACCCAGCUCGUGCGACCAUAGCAUUGCCAUCUCCAGUACAUGUAUGAGCUGAGGUUGCAGAGAAGUAAGCUCUACCAUAGCCCUGAGUCAAACAAAUUCAAUUGUAUACAACUGAUCGAAGAAAUGACAUUUUGAAUUCCCUAUAAACUAUCAAUACCCCAGUAGCUAAAAUUGUGUUGGCUGCAUGGAAACGAUGAAGGGUCCCAUCCUCCAUAUUCAGUGCAAUCACACCUUGGCAAGUCCCUGAGUGUUGCCAAAAGACAGAUAUUAGCACAUAGAUGGACGGCAUAAACAUACAUACGAACAUAAACCUCGAUGUAUAUGUCCAUCAAGCAGAAGGAAUAGAUAGAAAAUAUCAUGGAAGAAAGUUGCAACGACUGCAAGAAGCUGGUGAACCAAAUGCGAGAAUAAAUGCAUGAUAUAGUCAAAACAGAAUUCCACUGGUUCUCUAAUAAGGCUACCACAUGAUUAGUAUGUCACAAUUUCAUUGUUUACAGAUAAACAAGUCCACCACAAGUAUAGUUUGUAGGCUAAGACAUUAUCAAACAACCAAAUCAUUUUUACACAGAAUAAGAUAUUAUCCUGCAUAAUUAAAUACAAGGAACAACAAACAAAGAAGUGAUGCAGUAAAGGAACCAAGUAUCUGGAUCAAACCAUACAGCAAAAUAAUCAUAAUUUGAAACUUAAGGAUUACACAGUCAAUGCUCCUAUAUCCACAAAACACUUUGAACCUUAUCUUCAAGAAAGUAAUUUUAAUCAUUGACCCAUCAUCAUAAUUUUAUGGACUACAGGGCACAAGAAAGCAUCAAAUUGAGUGCUACUUAAACCAGGACUACAAGCUCUGAAAGAAGAAUCUCUUAGUACUGGUAAGAGAAAGAUAACUUCAAACACUAUGCAACUGAUAUCUUCAUUCAUGGACCGUGAUUUUACCAGAAUUAGAAACUUUUUAAGUAGAUAAUUUUUUUUAGGCAUUGAAUACUUCACUCUGUCAAUCCUUUUAAAUUUCAAAAAUAUCCAGUUUGUUAAAUUUUCAUAAAACCAGUAGAACUUUUUUAGAGGUUGUCCUCAAACUUGCACGGAAAGCUCUAGUUUUAAUGACCAUGAAAUAAUCUUAAAUAUUCAAGAAUCAAAACAUUGUGAGUCACAAAAUUUCAUGGAAUUCCAUACAUAAAUUUUGUUAAACAUAAAGAAAGAUUUGAUGGUUCAUUUUUAAAACUUAAAAAUCUCAUCCCUGCUCCCUUCUCUUUGACUAUAAAUAUGUAUUUAAACUAGACACAGCAAUAAAAUACAAAAUAAAUAUGUAGGAAGAACCUUUCACCAGAGUACACACCUAAAAUGAAACCUGAACCCACACUACUAGGCAGGGAUUGCUGUACCGCCCGAAACAGUAUGGUUUUGGUGGUACAUACCGGUCCAAGCAUGGACUGAUACACGGACCACCCCGUUUCGGGCGGUCUGCAUUAAAACAAUAAAAAAAAAUCAAAAAGUUGUGGGCCUCCGUCUAUUUCAGCGUAAAAAACAAACAUAUUAGAGCUCUUCUCGUGUAUGAAGCCACAGCACUGCCUCUUCGCUGAUGCAAUGCUGCAGCGGUGCUGCCUCUUCACAGCUUCACCGCUGCAGCGACGUAACCUCUUCGCUGAUUUGCCACUGCGAUGCUGCAGCAGCGUUGCCUUUUCGUCGCUUUGCCACUGCGAUGCGGCAGCAGCACUAACUCUUUGCCGCUUCGCCACUGCGAUGCUGGCUCAUCACUGCUUCACCGUUGCAAUGCUGUAGUGGCACCGCCUCUUCGUUGCUGUGAUGCUACUGCUUCCUUUCAACGCUGUAGCUGCUUCCCAGGUAUCGCUGCAUUUCUUCUCCUCCUCUUUUUUCUUCUUCUUCCUUCUUUCUUUCUCCUUCCUCCUCUAUUCCUCCACUAAACCUUCCUCUUCAACCUUUUUUUCUUCCUCGUCAAGACAUCGGUACACAUCGAUGUACCAUGUGUUGGUACAUCGGUAUGGAACGGCACGUGCCAUGCCGUCGACUGGGCGACACACCGGCUCGGACCAGUAAGUCAAACCUUGCUACUAGGUUUUUUCCUUCAUAUUUUUUCUUUUCCAAGAAGGAUUUGAAGAUAUGAAACCCGUUUCUAUCAAAAAGUAAGACUUCAACUAAGAUCCACAUAGCCAAUUGGAAGGGCAAUUUUAGAUCUAUCAGUGAACAAUAUGUUAAGUGCAUAUAUGAAAUUGAUAGUUCCUCAUUAAAUACAGGAAUCUACCAACUAUAAACAGCCAGUGCCAAUCUAAGUUCUUGGAUAAAGAAAAGGGAAGCGAAUGAGAUACCUAGAUAUUGACAGUAGCUAGAGUUUAAAAAAGUGAAAUUAUCAAGAUCAAUGAACACUAAGAAAAUUUCAUUAUUGAUUAAGUGAAAAACAUUAGGAUUGAUGGCAUGUGAUGCUGCUUACCUUUGCUAUCCAUGAGAAGAUCCAAAGCAAAGUAUUCAACAAAAAACUGAGUAUUAUGCUUCAUCGCUUGCCCAUAAAGUGUGUGCAGCAAGGCAUGGCCAGUUCGAUCAGCAGCACAUGCACAACGAUAUGCCUGGCCACCUAAAGAUGUGAACCAAUGUGAGAGGAAUAUUUAAACACUUCAAAGCUGGAGAAACCCCAAUGACCAGAAAAAUAAUCAAAAAGCAAAGCAUCUACCUUUUCCAAAAUCCAAACUUUGACCUCCAAAAGCCCGUUGAUAUAUUUUGCCAUCUUCAGUCCUGGAAAAAGGUAAUCCGUAGUUUUCCAGUUCAAUGACUGCUUUUGGUGCUUCUCUGCACAUAUACUGAAUGGAAUCCUGAUCACCUGAUAUAAUUCAACGAGGGUUACAUGUCAGUAACACAUAUGGAAGCAAUAAGAGUACAGAAACUCAGUCAACCGAAAGACAGCAUUUUUAGAAUCUGUCAAAACAUAGAAAAUCUUGCAUUUAUGCAGAAGAAUCCUAGAGAAUGAAGCAUUUAGCAUUAUUUGUUCUUGAGAAACACAGUCAAAAACAAGCAAUCUAUGAUUCCCCUAGCAACAAAGAGCUGAUGUUCUACGUUUAACUUUGCCACCACAAAAUCAAGUGUUCAGGAAGAUCUACUUCAAUAAGUUGUAUGAAAAUAAAAGUACAAAGUAAACAGAACAAAAAUUAUUUGCAAAUUAGUUACCUAACCAGUCACUUCCUUUAACAGUAUCAUACAUGUGCCACCUCCAGUCAUCUUCGCUCAUAUUACCAAGAGCAGCAUUUAUACCACCCUGCAUGUAGUGUCCCAUCACACUUCAGCAAAAAAAUAUUCAAACAGACAGCAAUUAAAAGCUAAUUAACGACCUUUAAAUAGUCUGAACAUCCAAUCCUAUGAGAGGCACAGAACAACCCACAGGGAUUUGAAAAAGAUAAUUGACUAUUUAAACAAAUAAUCUUGCAUUCUCAUCCAGAAUUUGUUCUGUAUAAUGAUAUAGGAAGUAAAUGAGUUUUACUAAACAACAGUCAAAAUAAUGGCUCCUAGAAGUUCCUUAAUUUGUAAAAAAUCAACAAAAUAAAUUAAAAAUGAUCUUUCACAUUAAUAAGAAAAAGGAUUGACUUCCAUCUGAGGGUGCUUAUCUUAUUAGAUUAUCUAAGAAUGUCAGGAGAAGUAGUAGGGGUUGCAUUGCAAUGCGUUAUUGUGGGAAUUCCAGGGAUAUGGAAGUUAUCACUUAUCACCACUACCAGAAAUGUCCAAAAGGCUUCACAGCCACAGAGUUGUUACUUUAAUUCAUUAAUUGUACAUUUCAAGAAACCUCAUGUGAUUAUAAGUAUUAUUCACCAAGAAGCUCAUUUCUAACUAAUCUUGCUAUUCUUAUUGUUCUAAAAGAAAAGACCUUUCCAAAAUUCUUUGCAGUUAGUCAUCUCAGUGGUGCUUAAAUGUCAUAAUUCUAGCUUUAAACUUCUCCAAGCAGAUUAGUCAUCAUACAGUUUUUAUGGUAGGUCUUACUCUGGACCUGACUUCAACAUAUUUUGUGCUUUUAUUUUUGUUUCUUUCUACGUAAUUUGUGCUCUUCUUUUUUUCUCCGUGUCCUUUUCCAUCUUUUCAGAGCAUCAUAUUUGAUCUGCCGCCAAGAACAUGAAGACCUACCAAACCAAUGAUCUUGCAGUUUGCAGAAAGCUAUUUAACAAGGAUUUUCAUAUUUAAUGCAAAUAGGUAUCAAUAUCUUUACAUAUAUUAUCAUCUGAGGUUGAACCUAGUGUCAUAAAUUCUAGUCUGAUUUUUAAAAACCAAAAAGAGCCCAAGUUGUCGUACUAGAUUUCAGCACCUGUGCAGCAACCGUGUGAGAGCGAGUAGGAAAGAGCUUGGUAAUGCAAGCAGUAUUAAAGCCAUGCUCUGAGAGACCAAUGGCUGCUCUUAGCCCUGCACCUCCAGCGCCUACAACCACUGCAUCAUAUGUGUGAUCAACGAUAGUAUAUGAAGAGCGCCCAACCUUCAUCACAAGCAACAAAAGUCAGAUACUAAGUUUGCCAUUGAAGAUGAGAUGAGCUGCUGUCAUUAUAAUCAACUGGCUACAAAUUACAAAAGAUUGCAACAAAUGCCAACUAACAGAAAUUAUUCGACAUGCAAGAAUUUAAUGAUGGACAAAAGAGGGAGAAUAAAGAAAAUCAAUGAAAACUAUGUACAUGGGCAAAAUAAACUUGAAAAUCCUCUCAGAACCAGAAUUGCAAUCAAGAACAUGCGAAUGAGGAAAUGUAAUUUCAUACAGAAUCACAUAGAACAAAUAUCAAAUUCCAUGAAACAUAGGACCUAAUUGGCAACUCAUAAGUGGCAAAUAGUGUUCCUUUGAAUCAUCAUUGCGAAGGAAAUGUUGAAACGGAAAACCAAAUGAAACUAUUUAAAAAUAUAUAGUGGAAAAGUGGUAACCCAAAAGCUAUAAUAUAAAACAACUAGAUGACAAAUGAACGAAGAGGCAAAGCAGAAGACCGGGAAAAAGACACUCGAAAGUUGAUAGCGAAAUGCAACGAUCAUCCGACUAAGAACAACUAACCAAACAAAAAUGAAGAUUUAGCUUGAACGAAACAAACCCUCGUUAAAACAAAUCUAAAGAAAUUAGAGGGUUUUGAGGUUUUGAUCCUCUGACCCGCUGUCGAUCAACGUGCAGAGGACGCACGUGAUGCGAGUGGUCUGGAAAGCAAGGCGCGUUUCCAAGCUGAGAUCGGCACUAAAGAACUAGAACGACAUCAAACGGAUCGCAGAUCAAAUCGAAUACCGAGUCAGUGGAGAAGGAUCUAGGCGCCGUCCACGGCGACUGACGGAUCGGCUCGCUCCCGAUCGGCGACGCCUUCCUCGAGAAGCGGAAGUUCCGCGGCAAGCAGCGGCGCCACAUCGCCUCCAAGCCUCUCGCCGAUCUCCUUUAUCUCACACAAAGAGGAACCUGGAGGAAGACGGCAGCGAACGGAGCCAAGGCGACACCCACCGUCUCUGGUUCGCUUAAAAAGGCGUGUGGUCUGUCCAUUCUACAAGUUUAUAUUCCCUGCAAUGCUUUUUAAUUACAAGUUUGCCAUUUUAACCCGUCACGGGUGAAAACUAGGGUAAGAUUGUUCCCAUUAGAAGGUUGCUGCUGCUGCCACUGCGUAUUGAUCCUCCCCAAAUCCGAUACAAGUCUCGGUCGGUCUCCUCUCUCUUUUAUUUAUUUAUUUAUUUAUUUCCUUUGAUAAAAUUAUUAUUUUAUUCGAUUAUAAUAUCAAUGAAUAAUCUCUUGAGAUAAUCUCAAUCAAGAAGAAAACUAGACCAACCUAAGAAUCUCUUAAUAUAAAUUAAUAUUUAAAAAAUUAUUGCCAAGUAUAAAAAAUAAAAUUGUGUGUAAUUGUAAAUGAUGGAGAAAAGAUUUGUCAAAUACAUCACCACAACCCAACAACACAAUAAUGCCGCAUAAUUAAAUUGAUAAAUUCCACUUCAUGCUAGUUGAUGCAAAUGACUCAGAUUACUUACUAUGCAUCAAAUUAAGUUAUCAAACACUAGAUGAACUUAUGACACAUAUGUAAAUUAUAGCUCAUAAUAAUAAUUAUCACUAGUGUUUUUGGCCAAGGUGCUUCAUGGCACGUCAGUGAUGUAAUGAUACAAAAGUAAGGGCAAUUUGCUAAGCUUUGACCUGAAAGGGUUAACGACGGGGAAAGAGUUAGAUUACCGGUCCAACUGUAUCACCUUUUGAAGCCACUGGCGAGACCGAUAGCCACGACGAUGGACGUCCCGCUGGCCGCACCAAGCGAGACGCGGCACCACCAACACCAGGCUCCACACCUUGCCCUCACCUGUAGAAGCUUCUUCCACACGACAUGCUGCACCAAAUGGAAAUGACCUCAACAAAAUUCACCUCUGAAGAAAGAAUACAUCGUUUAUUUUCCCAUUACAUAUCUGGAUGAUUCCCUUAACAGUUUGAAUUGCAUUGGUAUAUAACACAUCUGAUAACUUCGCACAUGAUGCAUGCUAAUGGAAUUAUGAUAUGGAACAACAACCUGUUGUCAGUACAUCCAUGAAAAGGUUACUCUUACACCAAGGUAUACUUGUAUAAAAAAAACAUGAAAUAAUGAUGGAAGACAAUAUCUGGGAAAUAAUUGCAUGAAGUAUUUUCCCACGACAAAUUCAGAGAUUUUCAUGUUGUAAGAUUAGCAAAAACUGAUAACAAGUGACAUACUGAAUGGAAGACGCAGAAAGACGACAUACCAGUGGCAACCACCGGCAACCGAACCAACCUCAGCUACUGGAUUUUAUCCAGCUUCCCCUGCCAUGCUUCUACUCACUACCAUAUCCAGCUUCUUUGUCAUGUGAAUAACCAUGGUCCCUUUCAUAGCCAGCUUGAUCAUAGCCUCUCUCGUGCACCUGGUCCCUUUCAGGUUGACUAUCAUGUUCACAGUCAUUGUCACGACCACGUUCUCUUUCCUUAUCUCUGCCAUGACCCCGAUCACGACCAUGUUCUCUCUCCCUUUCUCUGCCACACUCAUUUCUCCUCUCUGUCCCUUUCUCUGUUUCUAUCUCGGUCCCAAUGGUGGUACUGUCUGUCAUCCCUUCACUCCCAUGCCCUAUCAUGGGAACGUUCACGGGGCCUCUCCCAUUCUCGAUCUCGAUCCCGUCCCCUUUCUCGAGACUUCUCCAUGUCCACCCAUUGAAAAAUGAAUAACUGAUAGAUGCUAGAAACAUGAUGUAAACUACUGAUGUCACCAGAAUCCUAAAUUUAUACUUGUACCUUCACUAGAAAAUGGAAAGUGAAGAGGCCAUCAUACCUGUCCACCUGACGAUCAUCUUGUGCUCUUGACUCCUCUGAUCUAGAAUGUCCUGAUGCACAUUUCUGCUGCUCCCUGGGAAGAAGAAAAAUUCAUGUACAAAAAGAAAAUACUCAUAAAUAUUGAUGCUCCGAACACAUCUAGGGCAGUGUCAUCCACAAAAUGAAGAUACAAAUUAAAAUGCAAUUAUUAUGCAAGAAAAUCCCAAGUUCCCUGCAACAAGUAGUACAACUACAUUAAUAGUUACUAGUUGCAAGAACGUUUAUCUACUAGUCACCAAUUUUAAGGCUCUAAUGUAGGUACAAAACAUAAGCAUGUAUACACUGGACUGACUAUUCACUAACAUCUUUCCUCUAUCUCCCACAAAGACUACAUGUAUGCAAGUAAGUUCAAACAAUUUUAACCACAAAUUCCUCUUAGAAAAUAGAAUCACAUAGUACCAAUAUGAUACAAAAUGAAUUUUGCAUCAGAGCAAGUAUCAAAACCUGUUGAAUAUUAAAUAAAAAAAGCCUCCUGUGAGGCUCAACUGGUUCAAAACUAGGAAGAAUUUUUGACUGGAAAUUUUAGCACAGUAAGUAAUUGCAAAAUGAUAAUGUUCUGAAACUGCCUUGAAGGCUCAACCAAGUUCACAAUAAUAAUUGACAUUUUACUACAGAAGGAAAGCUCAUAUGAAAAACAACACCACUGUGUAUUUAUGCUAUAUUGACAAACAACAAAGAAGGCAGCUGUUCUUACAUAGUCACAACCCGAGCAAACUAUUUACAAACUUAGACAAAAAUAAUCAACUUUGAUUUAUCUAAAAUUUGAAACAUAAUCAUCCAGAAUAUGGUACUACUUGAACCUAGUCUAAAGAGGUACAAGCAUAUUGAAGGUCAAAUUUUGGCUCAAUUACCUGCCAGAAUGCUUCUGAUUAACUUCUUCCCCUCCGGUCCUGGUUGUUCCAAGUCCACCACCCAACCUUUGAGGUCGCCAAUUUGGCACCGAUCUUCCUUGCUCAACAUCAACAAGUACUCUUUUAUUGUCUAUCUUCCGACCAUCAGCUUGCUUAUAUGCAGCUGCAUGAUGCAAAAAAAACCCAACUAUUGUAACAAUUAUGAGUACAGGUUGUUUAUGAAUACUACAAGAUAACUUUCAGCCACACUUUUCAUGUCUCAUGUAUGCAUGUAUUCAAUGAAAGCAUAUCCUCUAGGUUUUUUUGUCUCUUUGUCUGUGAUUAACCAUACCUGAGAAUCACAGAAGAAAAAUAAAUUUAUAAAGUGAAACCGGUGAGCAUGAAUGGCAUGACAAACAGGCACUACAGCUCACUAGCGGUGCUCGCCUUGAUAGGUGUAAGGCUUCACAAUGCGAGAUGAAUCAUCAGCAUACAAAUUGAGUUGGCACAAAACUGGUGUAUGUCCCAUUACCGGAAGAAUCAAAUAGUUUUACCGCCCCUUUACCAGGGAAUUUUACGAGUAGCUAAAAACAGACAUUAUAAAUAGAUUAUACCAGAAAAAUUCUAAAUAUACCAGAAACCUUCUGGAUGAUGAAAAGAUUUUCAUUUGGCCUUUAAAACCAGAAAAACAUUUCAGUAGCAAUAAAAUCACAAUAUAAUUGAACUCAAAAUAUUGAAGAUCCUGCUUACUGCAGAGGGAAUCUGAAGGGAAAUUAGAGGUUUUCACUGCCUUCGUGAAGCAACCACCAUGAUUUACUACCCUGAUCAUCCUUAUGUAACCAAGUUGACUGAUGGUUGCACUUGCAUUGACCACAAACAAACAUUGAGAAUGAAAUUACAUGAAUUCAGAGAUGAGAGAGACAGGACCUCUUCUUACCAGCAGUGUUUCUUCUUAUAAUAGCAAACCACUUGCAAGUAGCUAAUAGCUAGGAUGUGAUCUAAAUUUCCAUAUAAUGUCCACUGACCAGAACUCAAAUGAAGGAAUUAAGAAAACCUACAUACAACUUCGGAAUUUACUUGUGCUACACCCAUUUUCUUCAUGAUGUAACAAUCAUCUGGCUUCUCAAGUAUUGCUACCAACUAAAAUGAUUAAAAAAAAAACACUUAAAUACAUAUAUAUAUAUAUAUAUAUAUAUAUAUAUAUAUAUAUAUAUAUAUAUGAAUGAUAUUCAUCUUGCUAUAUAUGGCUAAUAUACCUGUGAUUAUCCCUUAUUCCUACUUUCUAGUUUAUCAAAGAUAAUCAUGGGCUUACAGAGCAAAUAAAAGAUUUAAAGAAACAGAGAAAAUAGAACAUUUUUCAGAGGUUGAAUUACAAAAACUGAUGUAUGGGAUAAGUAUUUGAAUUACAAAAGAAAAAAUAUUUAUCAUCACCAGCAAACCACCCAACAGCAACAAGAAGAUCGCAAACAGAUAAGUAUUCAACGAUGAAAACUUCUUCCUAUAGAAUCCAAAAAAUGCAAACUUUGUGGAAACUGUGAUCAAAUGAAUGAGAAACAAGAUCUACCGACAAAAAAAGGAAAAACGGCUAACAUUCCAAAAAGACAAUAGAUUAUCGAACCCUAGAAGAGGGGGACCAGAUCAAGAGGCCGUGAACCUAAGCCGGACGGUGUCCGAGUUAGGGCAACAAUGGAUCAAAGAGGUAAAUAGAGGGAGCAAAAGAGGCUUAUCGAGAUUACAUGUUUGAGCUGGAGGACAUUGGCUCAUUCUGGGCUUUGGUGCGGGACUGGACGGCGGCGUUGUUGCGAUUGAAGGCAUCGUUGUAAUCCCCCAUCCUCCACGACUCGAAGGGCGGCUAGAACGAGAGGGGAUCGAUCGCCCCCCACCGGAGGGAGGUGGAAGAAGGCGCGCGAGCUCGGAUUCCCCUCGCCACUGCUGUCCUCCGCGUGCGGCGCGAGCGAGCGGCCCGGCCCAAACAGAUGAAUGAGAUCGCAGGGGUUCGGUUUCCCUCCGUGCGAUUUUUAAUAUCGCAUUUCCCAGUGAUAAUAUUCCCAUUGUUACUCCAAGCCAUAAAUGCCACGUCGCCGUGGAUGGUUGUGUCUCAAGUCGCGACACGAUGCACACGCGUUCUAACAGGUGUUUUCCGCGUUGACUUUCAGAUGACGUUAGCAUUCGAUGAAUCAAAUGUAUCAUCACCCAAUAAACAUAUUUUUAUAUGAUAUUUAAAAGAUGAGGUUUCGAAUAGACGAAUGAGAUACAAAAUCCAUUAGCUAAACGAGAACAAUUGGAUAAAGCACAACAUCAUCCUCGAAUCCUGUUUUCCCUCUACACAUUUUUCCCUGUAAAUGACAAAUAAAUGUGCUCGAGUAGUGUACAUCAUCAACCAUUGAAGUCACAGAAGAUCUUCUUCGCCGGACAUUGUGUCGAUCUUAAAGACCAGAUACCGGGAAGCAUGAUGCUCAAGGAGCUGGGCCUCGUGUUGACCUCCUCAAAAAUGCCUUUGUUUUCCGAUAGGAUUCAAGUCGCCGGAGAAUCCUCCGCUGCUGGAUGCAGAAUGGCAAUGCUCGAAUUCUGUGAUCGGUCCGUCGUACCCAUCACUGUAUUCAGGGCUUGCGAUCAUAACCUUUCUGAGACGGUUCAUGCUGGAGGUGUACGAGUUCGAUUCAUAGUCGGAGCCUGAGCCGAAGAGCAUGCUCUGCCCGGGCCUCAUCCCCUCGUUCAAGUCUUCCAGCGAUACGUCGCCUUCCAAUGCUCUCACAAUCUGAUGUUUUCAUAAGUUUAAACACACAGGUCAUGGAUUUGAGGCGAACACAGCAACGGUGAAGUUUGCAGUGAUCAAACCUGGCUCAUCUUCGGUCGUCUUCUCGCAGAGUGGCGAACGCUGGCAGCGGCACAAGCCACCAUGCGUGCCAUCUCCAUGGGAUCGUAGUUGCCAUCUAAGCGUGGAUCAGCUAUCUCAUCGUAGUCUCCGUCAGCCAAAGCACGCGACAACACAGGCCUUGCCUGUUGAGAUCAAGCCAAUGUGUCAGUCGGUUUUGACAGCUGAAACCAUAGCACGCAUGGCGGAAGAACACUUACCCAGUCCACCAAGCUAUCUUCCAUGAAUGUGUGUGUAUCGACCGGUCGUCGUCCUGUUAUCAGCUCCAGAAGCAUCACUCCAUAGGAAAAGACAUCAGAUUUCUCUGUCAGCUUCCCGCUCGAUGCGUACUCAGGAGCCAAAUACCUGGUCACCAAAGGAGGAGGGGGGGGGGGGGAACAACAGACGAUGAUGUCUUAGAAACAGUGACGAUAGAGACUGGAAUUUGCUGUAGUGAGAAGCUGGCAAUUCAUCAAACAUCUUGCUCACCCGAACGUUCCCAUAACACGUGUGGAAACAUGAGUGUGGUUGUCGGACGACAGUUUGGCCAACCCGAAAUCUGCCACCUACAUACAUGUUUUUACAUAAACUAAAGAUUUUAGGAUACAUUGCGCAUGUAAUAUGCAAAAGUUCAUCAACUGACAUUUGCAUUUCUCUCCAAUUUUUUGUUUUUUCUUUGCAAUCUGAAGCACUUCGUACUGCAACAACAAAACGAACUGUCUUACCAUGGCUUCGAAUUUUAAAUCCAGGAGGAUGUUGGCAGACUUGAUGUCACGGUGAAUGAUUCGAGGGUGACCUUCGAGGAGAUGAUUUCAAUCAAAUAAGCUAGAGAUCAUAACACAGAUUCCUCGAGAAGAUGUGCAAUUUACUCACAGUCCUCAUGCAGGUAAGCGAGUCCUCUGGCUGAUCCUAACGCAAUUUUGAGUCUGGUCGACCAAUCCAUCGCCGAGAGUCCUUUUCCUGCAGCAGAUGGCGGAAAAGAUUGAGAUUGGUUCGACAAGCAUCUUCGAUGCAGGCUGCGGAAACAAUGGAGUCAAGUGCUGACCAUGGAGGUGGUACUCGAGAGUCUUGUUGGGGACGAACUCGUACACCAGCAUUCUCUGUGAACCAGAGAUGCAGUAUCCGACGAGGGACACGAGGUGGCGAUGGUGAACGCGGCUAAUGAUGUCGACCUCAGCCUGGAACUCCCGCUCUCCCUGUCCGCUCCCCGACUUGAGUUGCUUUACUGCGAUCUCCUUCCCAUUGGGGAGAACUCCUUUGUGCACGUACCCAAAUCCUCCCUGCCCCAACAGGUUAGCAUGCGAGAACCCGUUGGUAGCAGUCGCGAGCUCUUCGUAGCAGAAGGUGCUCUUGUUGAAGGCGAGGGCGAUGACAGGGGAGGGGGGUGGCAGUGGAGGACCAUGAGGCGCUGAGUAGGCUGAGGUUGCGUCUUCGCUGUUCAUCAUGGGCGGAGGAUGGUGAGCAUGCCACCCUCCUCCGUGCAAGGGUCCCGGAGGUGGUGGUACCUUCACGUCAUGGCCUUCGUUGUGCCACUUUUGGGGCGGUCCACCGCCGUAAUAGUCGCUGUCUACAAUCACAGACAAGUUGUCGGUUGCACUACUUCUUGGUUAAGUAAUCUGCACUUGAGACUCGUAGUUUUGUCCGUAAGAUUUAAGCCAAGAGAUUGCUUCGUGUACCUUUGUAUCCCGAAGGAUCGGAAUAGUACUGCAUAGCGUUGUGGCCCUUGUCCUUGUCCUUCUUCUUCUUCUUCGUGGAGCAACAGACGCAUGCAAUUACCAUGAGGACAAAGAAUAGCCCUAAGCCUGCCGCCACUCCGAUGAUAAGCGGCAAGUUCAUAUCAGAAUGGUGAACUUCACUUGACUUGGAGAAUGAGUCUGCCGGUGUUGACCCCCCUGAAUCAUUCGUGGAAUCAGCAUGCACCAACGACUUGGAGUAGGGAGUGACCGGCGACGACGAUGUCCGAGAGGGCCGCCGCAGCGAGGUGGGCAGUGGAGAUGGCGAGGGAACUGAAGAAGAGCCAUCGUCUGACUCCAGCGAUGGCGAGGAGUCUUUCGAGGAUGAAGGAGGCGAGGGCGGUGAUUUAUCGGGCGGUGUUGGGCUAGCGGUCGGAGGUGGGGAAGCGUCCGGCGACUUCAAUGGAGGAGGAGAUACUGACGACGACGAAAACGAAGACGAAGACGAAGAAUUGAUUGAGGUUGAUGAGGAAACACCCGGCGGCCGAGCGGAAGUCAUAUUCCGGACUCGCCGCCCUCCCUCUCAACUGUUGUUUCGGACAAUGCCGUGGUAGUAUACUAAGAACCCCUACAAAGAGCUCCAUGAUCAGAAGACAUCAAACAAACGCCAUGAAAACAUGAAUCUUCGAUUCCUACAAAUACCUUUUCUGCUAUCUUCUCAUGAUCCAAGGGGAGGGACGAGGAUGGUACUCAGAGAAGGGCGAGGGAGGAGACGGUGCGUGAAGGCGCAGCGUCGUCCUUCUCCAAACACCAGCACUCCGAUCCUUGGAGUGAUAUAUAGAUUUACUAUUUCUAUGUGGGCAUGCCAUCAGAGGAGCCAUCAAGCAGGCUGGAAUUAAGGGGAGAAAAGGAUGGGAGUAACAAGAAACAGAAGAGAAAGAGGAAGGAAGAGAAGACGCUCCGUCGUCCUCCAUUCUUAGCCAACCUGCUGUCUAUUCUUGGGCUGGCGGUUGACUGUUUCCCGCGCCACCGCUCGAUAUUACUUGUCCUUGGCACGCGUGCGAAAGCGGCCACAACCGUGUUUCGCACGCAGGGGUUGGUCCUGACGACACAGUGUGGUGGUGUUGCACCUUUGAACUGUGCAUGCAUACGUCGAAGAGAACUGAGAAGAAGAUAGCUUUCUUUCUGUAGAUCACAGAAUCCAGGAAGUCCUUUAAACCUGCUUGUUCUUCAUGGAACUCGAAGACUAGAAGAUCAAAAGAAUGUGUUCUGUACAGGAACAUAAUGUCAAACAGAUGUCAAUUCUCAGCAAAACCAAUUCAAUACAAGCCAUGCUGCUGCGGAUGCAUGUUGAUGAACAAAUAUUGGAAUUGGAUUUCAUUGAAAGCUAGAUCAGAUACUGAACAAAUCGACAUGAUGUGAUAGAUAUCGGACCAGAAAAAUCGAAUCAUUAGGUACUCAUGUGGAACUGUUUGCCUAUCGAAUCAGGUCUUUUGCAGUUAUUAUCCAAAUCUCGAUGAUUUAGAUAAGCAGGGAUCCUGUCAGUGUCGAUGGGAAACAGACAGAACAUAUCCUGUCUUCGUAGCAUAGUUUUCCGUAUAAUGUAGCAUAUAUGUGUGUUCCUAUUCUCCACGUAUAUGUACUCUCAAUUAUACAUGUCGAAGACAUAAAACGAAUACUAGUUAUAUUCUUAAUCGUUGUAUCAUCACAACAAUCAAUUCUUAGUUCUGCCAGUCUAAUAAUAAUAAAUAGGGAAAAGAAAUGGAGGAGAUGAGAGAGGGGCGAGAUAAGGGGAGGGAUGUGAGCACAAGACACAGCGAGUGCCGCCAUUACUCUCGCGGAGUUAGUUUCCGAAACCCUAAGCAACAGCCUGGCUUCUGGUCUUCCACCACAACUUACACCACCCCCUUCUCCUUAAUCUUUGCAAUUUCGAACUUCAAACCGACCGCUCCAUCUCAUCCUCGUCAGCUCUAUCACCACCGAUCUCGGCCCUCCCCUUCCUGUAUAUAUCUCCCCCCGACAGAAGCAGAUGUCGAAGAAGAAGAAGAAGAAGAAGAAGAAGGCCAAAGGCGGAUCAAGAUGAACAGCAAGAGUACUGUGGAGAACUCCUUGUGCAGAUCCGACGAUCUCAACGUCGAACUCACCCUCGGAGUCUCUCCGUCACGUCACGUGUCGAACCCUCCCUCCUCCUCCUCUUCUUUGCUGCCGCCGCCGCCGCCUACACUGCAGCAACAGCCGCACCAGUAUUCGCAGACUAACUUGCCGCCGCCUUUCCCUCCCGUCUUGCAUGUUCCUCGUCGUUACACGGUCAUCCCUCCUCCCACCAAUCCUGCCGCUGCUGUUGCUUCUUCAUCUUCUGCUUCUGCUUCGCCUCGGUCGGGCGGGGGACGCACACGGCGCAACCCCACCCAGGGGCCGAGGAGCGGCAAGAGCGACUCCAUCAAACCAAUCUUUCCAUGGUCCACCGAUCGUCGGGCCACCGUCCACAGCCUGAGUUACUUGCUCUCCCAUGACCUCAAGGAGGUAUACGGGGAUGCGCAGUGCAAGCGGUGCGAGGCGCGGAGGAUAAUCAGGUACGACCUGGAGUCCAAGUUCCGGGAGGUGGCGUGUCGCAUCGCGGCGACGAGGCACCUCAUGCACGACCGGGCGCCGGCGGAGUGGAUGAACCCGACGUUCCCGGACUGCGACGCCUGCGGGCAGCCCAACUGCAUGCGGCCGGUGGUGGACGGGAAGAAACGCAACAUCAACUGGCUGUUCAUGCUGCUGGGGCAGACGUUGGGAUACUGCACGCUGGAACAGCUCAAGUAUUUCUGCAAGCAUACCAAGAACCACCGCACCGGCGCCAAGGACCGAGUGCUCUACCUGACUUACCUCGGCCUUUGCAAGCAGCUGGAUCCGAACGGCCCAUUCGAUCUCUGACAGCUCGCUCUUCACAGAAGCCUCAUGAGGCUGCUUCAGAGCGAGUAGGGAAAAGGUAUGAAGAAAUAAAGGAAGUUGGUGGAAUCGUGAUCGUAUUUUAUGUUAUGUGGUUUGUGCUUUUCUUGUUCCUCAUCUAUCUAUGUAAAUUUUGUUUUACUUUUUUUUUUAUUUUCUUUGACGUAGAAUGUAAUAUGUUGUAUUUUCUUGUUUGUUUAAGUUAUGGUAUGAUUUAUGAAUUAUGUCUAUUUAUUUAAGAAUAUGAUUAUUUUGGUUUUAUUCUAUGUCUUAAAUAUUAAAAAUGUUAAACAUCUAUUUUUUCUAAUCGUAUUAAUAUAUAUGAAAUAUAUGUAUAUGUAUAUAUAUAUAUAUUUAUUUAUUUAUUUAUUAAUAAUAGUGGAAGGAGCGCAAGACAUUUCGUAGUGUACUGUUUGAGGCUUGGGCACUGCAAUGCACACACAAUAAAGGGUGUGGCCUAAAAGUCUUUAGAUGGAGAGGAAGAUGCGACCCCCAUUUCUACUCCCCUAGUUUUGGGGGUAGAUGAUCGUCGAAAGACCAAGUAGAAUGGCCUACCUCACUUGAAGAGAAGAGAUUGGGUGGAUCAAUGGAAGGAACUGGUUUGCAUUUCAUGAAUCAUCAACAAUAUCUACAAACACUCCAAUAAAUUCAAUUUGGUUGAAAGAACAGACCAGAAGGACUCCAAAGUAUCUAUCAGAUGCAUAUAGUGGUGCUCUGUUGUUGUUGAAUUCAAGACAUGUUUAUGCACACACUACCACUCUUGCUGCAUUGGCAGACGGGGCAUGCGUCCACGGCCGGGCCGCACGCCGCGCAAAGGCACAAAUGCCGGCACGGCAGCAGCAACACUGACGGUUCGCCGUCGUGGCAGCUCCGGCAAGCUCUCCUCCACUCCCUCCUCACGCCGGCCUCCUCCUCCCCGUCGCCUACGCAGCAGCAGGAUUCGGCGUCGUCGGCGGUCGCUGCCUCCUCCUCUGCCCUCGCCUGCGCCGCGAGGAACUGUUCGAGGUUGGCCCUCAGCGCGUUGGCCGUUGCCUCGUUGCUCUGCGCCAUGUCGCGCCACAUCUGGUUCUCCACGCACAGGCUCUUGAUGCGCUCCUCCAAUGCCCAGUUCAUCUUCCCUAACCUUGCGACCUCUUCUUGGCUCGCCCUAAGCCGCUUCGACAUGCCUUCCUCCAGCGCAGCGAGGAUCUGCGUCGUAAACCGCUUCCGCCGCUCCGUCAGCUCCGCCCGCGCCCUCUCCGCCUGCCAUUUCCAAUGCCAAGGCUCAGAAACCGCUAAUUCCUUCGAUCCAGAGAAGCCAUCAACUACGGAACCCGGAGAAUUACGUGUUGCAGGAUGAGGCGAUCGAUGUCGAGCACCUGCUGCUGCAGGUGGGAGGACAUGUCAUCGCCAAGAAGCGAGACCUGGCGCAACCGCUUCCUUGGCGCUAGCACUGCGGCGGAGGCGACGUUGUUGAAGCCGAGCACACUGCCGGGGGCGGCAGCAGCACCGGAUACCGGCGAGAGGAAUCCCAUUUGCAUGGUGUGCAAGCUUGGUUGAUUCCCUGUACAGCACAGUAAGAAACAGCAAUACAGUUCGAGAGCCACGACUGCCACUACAAUAAGAGAAGACAUGAGCAUGCAUGCAUGGAGAAGAAACAAAUGGUGAUGAGAAGUUGGAACCUGCUUCUUAGGAGGUGUUGAGAGGAGAAGAGGUGAAGGUUGUGGGCUUCUACUGCCAUGAGAAAGGGGUGUUUCAUGAUGCUGUAUAUAUACGGGGAGAGAGAGAGAGAGAGAGAGAGAGAGAGAGAGAGAGAGAGAGAGAGAGAGCGAGGGUGCAUUGGAGGGGAUUUAGUUAAGUCUUGGUUCACAAAGAGAGGAGAAAGAAGAAAGUUAAAAGAAAGCAAGCUAACAAGUAAAGGAUCAAGAAAGAAAGAGAGAUUUGGUCCUUUGUUUUGUCCCUUAAAUUUAGAUCAAACUCUCAAUUCCACAGCCAAAGAAAGGACUCUAAACUUCAAACUUUGGCUGAAAUGCUCCAUAUGAUAUCAUCCUUAUACUGAUUGGCAACCUGAAUAGUGAUAAUUUCUAAUCUACACUAAACUAAAGCAAAGAUAGUAUAAUCCAAAAUUAUCUCAUAUAUUUACCUUCCAAACAUUAUUGCUUACCUUUUAUCUGAUUAAUCCCAGAAGAACUUUGGAUAUAUAGCAACAACAUAAAAGGAGAAUCAUAAUGCAUUGAACAAUUCUUUUAUGUUCUAGAUAAAGAGGUUGCUCAUGUAUUUGAUUUGUGGUCCUCAAAUAAAGUGUUUUGAGUAUUAUAAUUUAGCUCAGACUAGAUAGCCACAGUUACUGGUGGAUAUGUUCAGCUACUAAAAAGCAGUGCUCAUAGUUAUUGAUGCACUUUUGUCCAUAAACAGUGAGAUCCUCUCUCUCUCUCUUUCUUGCCUCAUGACUGCUGCCAGGGAUGAUGAAGAAUGGGGAAAGAGAAUGCCCAUCAAAUGGCAUGUGAUCUCUCUCCAUCAACUCUCCCAAGACUCCAUUAUUGUUUCCAUCACCCCAAUCAAAUCAAUCCCCACAUUGCUUCAAGUAUUAGAGACCUUAAAAAGGUGAAGACCAGAAAAAGUGGGACACAUAAAUCCUACAUAUCACUCCUAAAAUUGCAAGGACUUGCCUCAACUCUCACUUUUUCUACCCAACUUAAAAGGUGAAUCCUCAAGAAAACACAGCUGCCCUACCCUUUGUUCUAUCUACCCCUAUUCCGUGAGAAUCUCUCUGGCCACUCUUCUUCUUCUUCGUUCCCUACCUUCCUUUCCUCUUUGUUUUCUGAUCUUUCUUUGCUUCUUUGAAUGUGGUGGUUGCUCCCCACGUUAGCUUUGAUAUAUUCAAAGCAAAGGUUGUCCCCAUAUCCUGAACAAGAGGCACAAGAAAGCUCAGUUCCAAGGCAACUUCCCUGCCGCCACCAGUAUACUGUCAUUUGGAUGUUUGGUCUCCCACUUUUGCUUGGAAUGCAUGACCUACAGUGACCUUUGGCCACCAAACAAAUGGAUGCUACAGUCCCAUCGAAGGUGCUGUAGGUGUCACAUGUGGAUCACAGACCAGGUCUGAAGUCUCCACCAUGGUGGUACCAAUGACUUGGGAACAACAUUCAUGGAGGGCAAGCAAAUCUGGGGUGGAUAGGAAAGAAAAUUCCAAAGAACCUAUCUAUGAUGUUAGACAUCAAAAGUUAGGCAAACCAAUAAAAACUAGUUUUUGUAUGGUUGCCCAAUGAAAAGAGCUACAGAAUCUUUGCAUAAUCCAUUCUCCAUGGAUUCACCUUGUGGCCAUUAUCAUUCAACUUAAUAUUCAGUAGCACCAUGAUCCAAUGAAGGGUGAAAGUGAAGGAUUUGGGAACAUGUAGUCUCAGAUGUAAUAAACUACACAGUAUUUUAAUAGCAUGGGUGGAGUCAAUGGAUCCAUGCAUGCAUCAGAUUUGUGUCAGGGUGUACAACACUAGCCCUGAAAGGCACAUCUUUAAUUUGAUCUCCUCCUCCACUUGUGAAAAAGGAAACAACCAAUCUCACAAAGAACAGUUUUGCUUCCUCAGCUUAACAAGACAGAUUCUGGGUAGCUUUGGUAGAUGCAAGAGAAGGAAUUUAAGGUCUCUUUACAUUUGAUUCAAUGUUAAUCAUUUUAAUUAUUCUGGCUUCUGUCUUGAUAUGUCACAUUUUUUAUACUUCUAUUUAUAUUUAUAUAUAUAUAUAUAUAUAUAUAGCCUUAACUAAAACUACUACNNNNNNNNNNNNNNNNNNNNNNNNNNNNNNNNNNNNNNNNNNNNNNNNNNNNNNNNNNNNNNNNNNNNNNNNNNNNNNNNNNNNNNNNNNNNNNNNNNNNNNNNNNNNNNNNNNNNNNNNNNNNNNNNNNNNNNNNNNNNNNNNNNNNNNNNNNNNNNNNNNNNNNNNNNNNNNNNNNNNNNNNNNNNNNNNNNNNNNNNNNNNNNNNNNNNNNNNNNNNNNNNNNNNNNNNNNNNNNNNNNNNNNNNNNNNNNNNNNNNNNNNNNNNNNNNNNNNNNNNNNNNNNNNNNNNNNNNNNNNNNNNNNNNNNNNNNNNNNNNNNNNNNNNNNNNNNNNNNNNNNNNNNNNNNNNNNNNNNNNNNNNNNNNNNNNNNNNNNNNNNNNNNNNNNNNNNNNNNNNNNNNNNNNNNNNNNNNNNNNNNNNNNNNNNNNNNNNNNNNNNNNNNNNNNNNNNNNNNNNNNNNNNNNNNNNNNNNNNNNNNNNNNNNNNNNNNNNNNNNNNNNNNNNNNNNNNNNNNNNNNNNNNNNNNNNNNNNNNNNNNNNNNNNNNNNNNNNNNNNNNNNNNNNNNNNNNNNNNNNNNNNNNNNNNNNNNNNNNNNNNNNNNNNNNNNNNNNNNNNNNNNNNNNNNNNNNNNNNNNNNNNNNNNNNNNNNNNNNNNNNNNNNNNNNNNNNNNNNNNNNNNNNNNNNNNNNNNNNNNNNNNNNNNNNNNNNNNNNNNNNGAGAGAGAGAGAGAGAGAGAGAGAGAGAGAUACAAUAUUCGAACUCAUCACCUAAUAUGACAUAAUGAAUUUGAUUGGAUUAUCAAAGGGACCCACUUGCAUUAAUGCUGCUGAUGAAGUGGCAUAAAACAAUGACACAAACAGUCAAACCAGUUGACUUUUUUAGUUGUUGUUGUGUCUACUGUCUCGUUUGACGGAGUUAUUCUUUCGAUGCCGACAAAUUUAGUGAACUUACCCGAAUCCUAAUUAAUUUUGAUCCAUCGGAGAGCUGAGUUCGGAAAUUAAUAUUCUGCCGCCGUCGAAACAGCAGGAAUUCAAUUAUCUCAUACCGUUCCUUCUUGUUCUAAUUUCCAAGGCAUGUGGAACGCGACUUGGGCUAAAUACAAUUAAAAUACUAGUAGAGCACAUGCUCGAUCGAUCUCAUCCCACCAAACGAAACGAUGGGCUCUCUUCGUUCUUGCUUAUGAGACACAAUGGAAAAUAUAAGGUUUGACUGAGUUGGUGUGGAAUCUCCUGCAUCUAAAACUUUGUUUGCGUUCGAAACGUAGAAUCUUUUGCGAUGUUAGCGCAAGGGAUGACGAUAACAUUUUUUAAAUAAGGAAAAUCCAAUGAUAGGUUGAUGAAUCGUCUUAUUCUCAUUCAUGCAUCAAAAAAUUAAUCAUGUAUUUAUUCAUUUUAAUCUAAAUCUUUAUUUUUUUUAAUUACAUCUAAUCAUAAUUAUUUGAAUUAAUUUUAUCCCAUCAUUUUAAUUUAAAAUAAUUGUAACUUGAAAUUAUCUUAAAAAUAUAUAUUUUUUCAUCAAAGAUUUUAUUAAAAUGUUGACAAAUAAUAGUCUGGUUGAUGAUGCAUUUGUUUAACGAUGUAAGAAUAGAUUUAAUGUAAUAUUCGAAGUGAAAUUAAGCAUAUUUAUUAGCUCGGUUGAGAUAUUUGAUUCAUAUGUAUAUUAAAAUAGAGGAGAUAGAAAAGCGAGAUAGAUCAUACAGAGGGGUUGGUGGUGGUGUUAACGGUGAGGAGGGAGAUCUCGUCUUAGGGUGGAAGACGACGAGUUGAGCAUUGCGAGAGGAGAGGGAGAGACGACUAUCGGAAGGGGACAAUUGCAAUUUCUAGUUGAGGACGAACGAGUCCCAGCCAGAGAAGGUGAUCCCGAAGGUGAGGCUGUCCCACUACUAGACCUUGGCAUCGGCGUAUGGCUGGAACAUUGAGUUCUUGUCGGACCGAUUCUGAAGCGGAGACGCACAUGUAGCAACCUUCUCUGACGACAAUGAAACCGUCGUCGGCCAGGGUGGGGAUGACAGAACAGCGGGCGAGUUGGAUCCGGUGCGACGAUGGCGAGCGGUGCAAGUGCGGUAGUCGAGUGGGUAUGGUGUAGGGUGUAGGAGCGACGAUGGUCGAGCGGGUUCGGUGCGAUGGGGUUAAGCGGUCCAGGAGAGGCAAUGGUCAAGUGGUGUAGGAGCGACGACGACGAGUAGUAUAGGUGCAGUAGUGGCGAGCAUUGCAAGUGCGACAAUGGUCGAGCAGUGUAGGAGCGAUCGAGCAAAUGUGGUGUGUGAGAAGUACAUAUAAAUUUAAUAAUUUAAAAAAUAAUAAAAUUAUGUUUUUAUUCUUUUCAUUUACACUCAACGAAGUUAAUGAUGUAAGAAAAAUUAUGGUUAAAUAUUUUACCUUCGUAAGUUUACGAACUCUCGGGAUGUUAACCGUAGUUAACUACAGAAGGUAAUAUAUAAUUAUUUCAAAUUUUUAGGAGAUGGAGCAUUUGACCAUUUGACCAAGUCCCAAGCAAAGGAUGUCUGUGGUGAAGCCUGAGCUCUCAGCUUCCCAAGUCCAAUAUAUUAUGCUUUUAUUACAAUAUUGUCUGCAUUAUAUCAGCUGAUAGUUGUGCAUCAAGAAACUGUACAUCUCCCAGCAAGCCGUCACCAAAUUAGUGUUAGUGUCAUGUGUCUGCUUGUUAGGAAGAAGUCAUUUGAGGUGGAGGAUACAUAAGGAGGGAGAAGGUGGGAGGAAGCUUCAGCUGUUGUGACUUGACCGAGCCCACGGCCACGGCGACCACCUUUUAUAGCUAGCUCUCACUCACGAGGGAGAGUAGCAGGGGUAAAGAGAGAGAGAGAGAUCAUGGAGGAGAGGAUGGGCAAGAGGGGAGAGCUGGGAGCCGUGGAGGACGAAGACGAUGUUCUUCUUCCGGGAUUCCGGUUCCGUCCCACCGACGAAGAGCUCGUGGGGUUUUAUCUCCGGCGGAAGGUGGCCAAGAAGCGUCUCAGCAUGGAGAUCAUCAAAGAGAUAGAUAUCUACAAAUAUGAUCCGUGGGAUCUACCAAGUAAGUAGGAUCUACGUGAUGGAAACAUCGUGUUGGACUCAGCUCGAUCGUGCUCAUUUGUUGCUGGAUAUAUUUGCAGAAGCGAGCACUGGUGGCGACGAGGAGUACUUCUUCUGCCUCAGAGGGAGGAAGUACCGAAACAGCAUCAGGCCAAAUAGGGUGACCGGGUCAGGUUUCUGGAAGGCGACCGGCAUCGACAGGCCCAUAUACUCCGCAGGCAACUCCGGCGACUGCAUCGGCCUCAAGAAAUCCCUGGUUUACUACCGAGGGAGUGCAGGAAAGGGUACCAAAACGGAAUGGAUGAUGCAUGAGUUCCGCCUUCCCAACAUCACCGACAGCAACUCUCCGUGCAAGCGUGAAGCUGUGAGAUUACGUGCUGUACGAAUCCUUCGUUUGCAGUAUCCUCAAAUGCUGAUCAAACUCUGCUGCAUCGCUUUGUGUAGGAAAUCUGGACGAUCUGCCGAAUCUUCAAGAAGAGUGCCUCCCACAGGAAGACACCAAAUGCGCCAACCGAGUCAAGCACUGCAGGGAACGACUGCUGGUGCAUCGCCUCCUCGGGCUAUUCCAAUGGAGAGAACGGCCAAGGAUGCGCAGGCCACUGGGAGUUGAUGAAGCAAGCUCCCUUGGCCUUGUGUCCCGACAUGGUUCAGAGUCCAGGCAUGGAUGAUUUCUUCAGCGGAGAUGGUAAAUGGGAUGAACUCGGAAGGAUUAUGGACUUCAUAACAGAUUGAAGCAGUUGCCUCCGAGGGAAAAAAGAAGAGUCCUGCUACCAAACUUCCCUCCCGAGAAUCUAUCAUGUUUGGGUUGAAGAGAUGGUGAUCGGGAACUUUUUGGGACACAGGGCAGCAGUUCACUUCCCGGAAAGAUAAUUUAUGCUGCAAGAGCUUCACGGUGCAGUCUCCUGACAUAGUCAUCACGCUGACAUUAGCUACAAUAAUGCAGCAAACUGAGAUGCUGUCUGUGGAGUUUUUACAUGCAUAGAAUAGAGAAAAUAGAGGCGUUGCUCAUUACUUACAGCUCAAUCCUGUAUGUAAACCUACGCUAUUAAGAUUAUAAUAAAUAGUAGAAGAUGUCACAAUUACAAAUACAUACAGAAAGACCUUCUCAAAAGGAGUUCUGUUUCUCGUUUGAUGAGACUCUCAGGAAAGAUAAGAGGUCGUCGUCAUAGAGAUAAGAUACUCGAUUCAAACAUGACACGUGCCUGGUUUGAAUAUAAUGAUCGGUGUCUCGUCUCUGUCGUUUCGAUCUGAUGCGGUGGACUUUGAUCUACCGUAGUAAGUGCUUGUUUCGUGAACCGGAAAUCCACCGGGGCCCAUCGAAAUGGGAUGACCUCAGGACCUUCUAUUUCUUCUGCGUUUCCCCAAAUCUGGGCCCCUCCUGUGUCGUCAGUACAAACCCUGAAUCCUGCCUCUGACCUGACAGUUGAGCCCUACAUGGACACUGUUCCGAUGACCGCAAGCCCCUCCACCUUCUUCACAGGGAAAUCCCCGAUGAUGAAGAGAGGCGCGGCGGGCCGUGGGCGGCUCCUAAGGUCCGAGCGUCCACUCCUCCGGCGCCGGCCUCGGUUGGUGCUUCCCGGGGCUCGGACAUCAACCCGCCGGGCCGCGCCCGGUGCUGCAGUCCUUCGCCUUCGGGCUCAUGGUCCGCCUCGGCUGCCUUCAGUUUUCUCCUCGCCAUAUUCGACCGCACCUGGGUCUCUUGGGACCCUAAUCGCUCUCAAUUGAUCGUGAGCUCCCUUGUACCCCCAAAAAGAUCGUUCUUUUCCUUUUGUCUUCGGCCUUUCUCUUGUCAAACAAUAUUUGCGUUAGCAUCGUUGAUCGGUAGACGGCGGAAAUUCUAAUCUAUGAACUGGUCUACGAUCGAAGAACAUCUGAGAAGAAAGAUUCCAGUGCCAUCAGAAAACAAGACGCUAGUGUUGAAAGAUAUGCAUAUUUUUUCUUGGAUGGAUAGUCUUUUCUGGAUCAUUGACUGCUUACUGUAGACGCAGGAUAUCUUGACCUUGCUUGUUAUUUUUUUCUAUGCAAGUAUAUUAAUGGAUUAGUCAAUGAUACAAAGGACCCUGAAAUCAAUUAUGAUCAAUGUGAUGUGUAGUGAUGUCAACUUCUUUUUAGGGGAUCAUUGUGAUUUCAACUUGGACAACAGAUGAAUCAGAUGAACAGAAAUCAGGAAAUAUGUCUUGUGUCUUUUAUGUCAAUGAUAAUUUAUCAUAGCACAUCAUGUGAAAGUGUGAUUGGCUUUAUGAUUUCCUCUUUCUACCCUGCCUGCGAAAUUUGUCAAAAAUCUAACAUUAAAUCCUAUUCACAUUUGUACCCAUUUUGAUAUUUGCUUUGUAGGUUUAUGCUCUUUGGAUGAUUGCUUUACUAAAGAUCCAUUUUUCUGAUAUCAUCUUCGUGAGAUUUCGAAGUACUUCACCAAAAGUUCUGAAUUUUUACAAUUUUUUUGCUGGCUUUGUUCCAGAUAUCCAGAGGAUAUAUAUUUCCAUUUCCUUUUAAGUUAAAUUGAAGACAAAAAAGUUUAUCAUAUUAUGAUCUGAAAAUUCUUUUGUCUAUUUCAAACCUAUAAAUCGUAAGGCGAAUGAUAUUAUUGUACUCAUGCUUAAUUUUGUGUAGGCUGAAUGGAGUACAGGAGAAAUAAACAUUGCCUAUAACCGAGGAUCAUUCAUUCGGUCCAUGAAAUCUUACCUUUUGACAUCCCAAGUAUCAGCUUAUGGAUGGAAUUGCUCUAUAUGUUACACCAGAUACUAUCAUGAAGGUACUUCUUUCAUGUCUUCAUUAACAUGGUUCUUUUUAAAUGUUAAAUAUCAUAGAUUUUGAGUCAAAAAUCCAACCAUCUAAAAUUUGACCUGAUGAUUGUCCUUUUUUCCUAAAACAAGAGUCAAGUUCAAUAUGGUAACAUUUCACCUGGUAAUUCAUUCUGUUCUCCUAAAGAAGGUCCACUCUGUACAGCAUUGUGCUAGCCUCUGUCGAUCAGAUAAGAACAAGAAAAAGAAAAAGAUUUCCAUGGAUAUUGGUUUUAGGACUUUCUCAAUUCUACACCUGCUGCAGCUCUGUUUGCCCUUUUUCCACAUCUUAUAAUUAAAACAAAGGAAAGUGCACCAGUAUUCCACUGACAACUCCUAACACAUAUUUAUUAAUACAUAUAACUCGAGUGCCCUUGCAUGAGGCCAUAAAGUAUGCUGCAUGUGACAAAAAAAAAUUCCUCCUUGACUUUUCAAUGGCUAUAAAGAAUAUACAAUACUUCACUCAGUUUCAUCCUUCUGAGGCUUUAAACUUGUAUAUGGCUUGUCUUAUUAAAAAUAUUGUCAUCUUUAGCUUCUCUAUUAAUGCUUGUACAUGAUCCUGGACUCUAGUGCUGAGUCACCAUAUUUGCUAGUGUUUCAUGGUAGAUGGCCCAUGAAUGCUAGGGCAAUAUAUCUCAUAUAUUUUACCCAUAUGGGUUUGUUACCCUGCUCAUUUAGCCUUGUCAACUUAUAAAAGUUGAGUUUUAGGAUCCCUGGUGGCAAAAUGGAAGGGGAAAAUAGAAGAAAAGAGGCUUUUGGUCCAAACCACUGGUAGAGUAAUUAGGUUGAAAUCUGUUGUACUGAUGGAAGAAUUUGAAGUCCUAAAGGUAAACAGAUAUUUCUUGAAACAAUUUGAAUUUGCUUUCUUGAGAAACUUCAAUGUGAUAACAUCUGAAACAGUCAUAAGGAUCAUAUUGGCUUUGCUUUCUUCAGAUACUUAAUAGCGUUAACAUCUGAAAGUUACUGUCCUGCAAGCCUAAGGUAACUUUCUGGCAAAUGGUAGUGGAACCACUGAAACAUCAAACUUAGUUUCACCACCAAACAGCUAUGUUAUUUGGCCUUAAAUUUCAAGAACUAAGACAUGGCUUACAUGACGUUUGACAAUCUUGUCAAUGGUCACAAAAGAUCAAUCAUUAGACAGGUAGGCUUGGAUUCGUGGAUGCGUAAGAUGAACAUACGCUCAUGCCAAAUGUUCAUCUUACUAGUUAGAUUAAUAAUAGUUGAAAAGAUUGACUUUGACUUGCAUCCUAUACUGGAGAGCCAAGUUUGGCAUUUUCCAAGAAUUGAUACGCUGGCUAUAUGAGAAUUUCAAAGUAUACAGCAAAUACAACGACUUCAAGAAGUUUAGCUACCGUUCAUUUGUCAAAGGAUUCUUUAUUGUGGAUGGUAAGUCUUAGUAGAUGUGAGGUUGGACAGAAUGGUAUUCUGUUGUAUCUUCAAUCACAUAUUCAAAACCAGAAGUUUUCAUGGGACAUCUGCUGUCUUGUUGUUGGUAAAAAGAUCACUACGACCUGUCUUACUGAUCUUAAGCAAUCCACAGUUUUUGUGUCAAGAAAUUUGAAGCGUAAAAGAUCACCAGAGCAUGUUUCGGAGGUAAGUAACUGCUGCUAUCAUCAUCAGGGAAGUGUUGCAUGGCUCUUUGAUGUUUACUAUGGGUCUUAAGCUGCUGAAGACGGUAGCAGAAGAGUGGGAGAUCAUAUCGAUAUUGAUGCUUUAAAUGCAAUCCAAAGCAGAGCCGCAAAGAGUUGGGUAUCUGAUAAACCUUAUAACAAAGAUAAUUGCUUAUCUGAGAUCAGUAAGCUUUUAGUUGAUUCCAGAAGCAUGAGAUUAAUCAACAUGAUGCCAUUUUCAUGGUGGAUUAGUUGAACAUCUUGGAACCGGAAGGGAUUUUCAUCGCUGCAUACUUUACUAUUUUUUGUUUACCCGUAUGAUACAUUGUCGCGAGUAUAUCUGCAAAAUUAAUUUCAAUUUAAUUUUUUAGCUGCGAUAUAUAUUUGCAGGAUAAAUCAGAUUGAUCCAGCAAUUGUAUUGGCGAACCAUGAGAGGCCUCCAUUGUACUGUUUUCUCGAAGCUCCAUGGUUCAACUUCACCAGAGACAGGGAUUAGAUUACCAGUUACAACAUAUGUAUCCCUCAAAAUUACAGGCAUGUAAACUCAUUGAGCUAUCGGCAAUUCUCCAGGCUUCUUCAACACAUUAUAUCCAGUUCUAUUUCCAGAAAAUUUCAUCCUACAAAUGAGAUGGCAGACUGUGGCUGACAGACCUCAGAUUAUUUUAAGUUCAUGCAACUUGAUGAUGGAGCCCGGAAACAGUUUGUAAAGGUUAGUACUAAUCCUUAAUCAUUAUCUAGUCAUUUGCCACUAAAUCUUAAUCUAUCAUCAAAUUAUGAGAUUUGUGGGAAUACAAUUGUCUUGUAAUAAAGGAAGUUUCUCGGUGGUUUGAGACUUAGCAAGUCUAAUCAUUUUGUUCGUUUGACAUGCAUGCAGGCCAUCAUUUUCCACUAUUUCAGAGAUACUUGUUAUGAUUCAACUCCCCACGCAUCUCUUCCUUCUUGCAAUCGGCAUCAACCAUGGCGAACUCUUAACAGAGAUUUGGAGGAAGAAGAUGGCGAGAACUUCAGACAUAAGCUUGGAUUAGGAGGCAGCCCCGAGGGAACAAACAAAGGAAUCUCUAAUUAUAUGUGUUCAUGCUGGAAGAGCUGCUUCCGAGUCUCGAUUACUUCUACUUCAGCCCCAUCACUGCGCAUGCUUCACCCCCCUCACGCAAGCUCUGCUUUUCCAUGGCAAAAGUAGCAGCACCUUUUGCUGCACAGCUUGUUGUCCAUUGAGGUACUUUUUCUCAUCCCAUCAAUCUCUUUUCUACUGCCAUUUUUAUUGCCUCCAUCAGCAAGUUUUUUUGUUUUCCUUAUCAUCCUAAAAAUGAACUUGUACAGAGCUUUUACCUGACAAGAAGACCUGAUAAGACUGGUUUUAUUCACUCCAUGCUUGAGUUCUCCCCAUCUCUGAGACAGCCUGCAACAGGAAAAUCAUUGUCAUCCAUGGAUGACACACACACGCAUAGCCUACUGAGAGUAAAGAAACAACUUAGAUCGAGUUGAACCAGCAGUUACAAGUUCUGAAAUCUCAUGGGGAAAACCCUUCUUUCCUGCUAGCCAUUGUCCUUGCACACUGCAACUUACUCCAUUGGCAUAUCAGAGUUCAGGCAACUUGUAGUCGUUCAGUCAUAUGGGGAAUGCAUCCAAUGACAGAGGAAGAAGAAGAGACUGUUAUUGUUCAGUCCUAGGGAGUACUCUGAUGUGAUCCUUUUCUGCUUGCCUAUUUACACAAGACACAUGAGAGCCUGACAAUUUUACCCAAAGCCGCCUACCUCUGCUUGGCUUCAGUCCACUGAAAGCUUUUUUGCACCUUAUGACAGCCAUUCUGCUGUUGUUUGAUCACGUGUCAGUCGUAGGGUAAUGCCAGGCAGGGACAGUGGAGAGGGCCCCAUGUGGAUGAGAAUCUAAUUAAGCUUCUCAUGUUAAUUAAGACCAUCGAUGCAUGAUGGCCUUCCAAACAAAUUAACUCACCUUUGAAAAAGAAGAUUCUUCAAAACCCAGAUAGCUCAAGCAAGUCAAAGGAGGAUUGUUGCAGUGGAGGUCUCACUCGAUGGAUCUCUCUUCCGGUGUGCUCCUCCAAAAUCUACAUCAUCAUUCCUGUCUUAUACUGAAAGAACUGGGAGGGAAAGAGUGACAGUAAAUAGCAUGGGUAUACAUGAACAGGAAGUAGAUGUAUGAGAGAGACUCUGCGGAGAUUGCCUGGCUUGGCUCUUCUCUCGUGCCCCAUCAUCUCAAGAUGUCACUAAAUAGUUUGAUGUGCCUCUGUCGCUGUUCAAAGUGUGACCUUUUCUUCACAGUGUUGGCAUGAGAAGUCACUGUUUUCUACGGCAGGAAUGAGGUUAAAGUAUGCAUGGUUUUGGUAGUGUUAGGGCAUGCAGAACUAAGCAUGAUGGUGAUGAUGAGGCCAUCGCUCGCUUUGCUACAUUUGAAUCCCGAGGAAGCCACACGGGGUACAAGGCUCCAUGGCGGCCACUCUCUCUCUCUCUCUACGCGUACUAAUCUGCAACUGUGACCUCGAAAGCCCAGACAAGGGCACGAGAAGCGACAAGGAAAACAUGGUCGAAGAUAAGAUCCAAGAGUUAAAAUCUCUUCUUCACCAUGGACGCACACACACACAUUGACUGUUGGAUACCGUAAACAAACAUCUUGUCAACCGAGAUGUUCUUGCCUUGCCAAAUCUGCACGACUUCGCCCCCCAGUGGGGCCUCUCUGAGAAUAUCCUCACGCUUCAAAUACCCACACCGUCUCCGCCUCCGUCACACUCACCAUUCCCCUCUACCUUUACUGUCUCCUUGUUCGUCCUCCUCCUCAUCGCUCGCCUUUUCUCUUCCCCCAAAGGAUUGCGACAUGGGCGCUAAAAGUUAGGCUGCUGGGCUUGUGGAGAGGAGGCCGAAGGUCGCCCAACUCAGCUCGGAAAGCGGUGUGCGCAAGGAUGAAGGAGGUGGCUAGGAAGCACAACACGGUUUCGCCAUGCGCAGCAUGCAAGCUCCUCAGGCGGCGGUGCACGCAGGAUUGCAUCUUUGCUCCUCACUUCCCUGCCGACGAGCCCCACAAGUUCGCCAACGUGCACAAGGUGUUCGGCGCCAGCAACGUCAGCAAGCUCUUGCAGGUCUCUCUCUCUCUCUCUCUCUCUCUCUCUCUCGUGUGUGGUGGUGGUGGUGGUGUGUGUGUGUGUAGUAGUAGUNNNNNNNNNNNNNNNNNNNNNNNNNNNNNNNNNNNNNNNNNNNNNNNNNNNNNNNNNNNNNNNNNNNNNNNNNNNNNNNNNNNNNNNNNNNNNNNNNNNNCAACGUCAGCAAGCUCUUGUCAGGUCUCUCUCUCUCUCUCUCUCUCUCUCUCUCUGUGGGUGUGGGUGUGGGUGUCGGUCUGUGUGUGUGUGUAAAAUGUGCUUGUAAGAUUGCGAUCACCAAAAGACAUUACAUUACAUUACAUGAAAAGAAUGGCUUCAUAACUCACCAUGCGACUCAAAUUGUCUGUGUGAUCAAAGGAGAUAGCAGUGCAGCACCGAGGAGACGCAGUGAGCAGCCUGGUGUACGAGGCCAACGCCCGGGUGCGCGACCCAGUGUACGGGUGCGUCGCAGCCAUCUCCACCCUCCAUCGCCAAAUCCAGGCACUCCAGGCGCAGCUGGCCAUGGCACAAGCACAAAUGGUGCACUUGCGGAUGAGCCACGCCGCCUCCCUCGCCCACGCUGGCCUUGGCCACAGCCCCAUGGGCGCAGGGAGCACCAGCACGGGCUCUUCCUCCAUGUCCCCCACUCACAACCAGCUGAUGGAGCCUGACACCGUCAAUGCCAAGCCUGUCUUCGCCCUGGACAUGGUGGUGCUGGACCAGACUAACCUGGGAUCAGAACCACCAAUUUGGUCAUUUUAGCACCAUCAGCCAGUGCUGUUCUCGUGUCUUAUAAAGAUAGCUUUUGAUAUCUAGAUGGCAAUAUUGCAGCUCUUUUUCUUUUGGAUACAGAGGCUGCAUGUGAUGCAGACAUCGUCUUAUAACAAGAAUUGAAGUGCUUGUGUGUAGAACUGUACUGUUGGUGUCAUUUACUCCCUAACAUAAUGUCUAUAAUUAUUCUGCUAUCACUACACUGUUCAUUCUGUAGUUAGCAUCACUGAUAAGCAAGCAGAGGCUCAGCACCACAGCAAUAAAAGAUAAGAUGCGAGUGAGCUAUGCAUUAAGCCGACCAGAAGAACAACAUUUGAUGUAUAUUAAAUUGUAUCACGACAGAAGAAAAUACCGAUAUGUGAGAUUUGCUACAAGUUCCACAAAUCUGCAAACAAGCAGCAGAAUCCAUCACUCACGGCUCUUAGUUCCCCCAUUAUAUAACUGUAAAGUGGGUAACAGGAACGUGUCAGCGCCACCAGACCGCUGGCGGUGGAGGAGGAGAAGGUGGUCUGUAACCAGAAGCUCGUGUUCUGUGAGUACCGGGGCUCAAGAGGUGAGUUCUUGUGAUUGGAACUGCGAUCAUCUUCUGUAAAUGAGAUCUUGGACUAGAAAGGAAGAAACUUUUACCGAGAUCAGAGUCUCUUGUGGUGUUUGGAUCAGAAAUCAUCACAAAUCUUUUCAAUUUUAUGGAUCAAAAGUUACACCGAAUCAAAACACAAACAUGAAUCCACACGCAGAGAAGGCUGCCGAGAACAAUAUGGGCCUUCCUAACUCUGCUGCAAGCCGACGCGGGCGCGCGCGUCCUGCCGCCCCUUCAGCCUCCCCAGGUAGUAGCAGCUGAAGCCCAGCAGCAUCGAAAAGAGAAGCAGAGGGAGGGAGAUGGCCAUGACAAAAUCCAUCACAGCUGCUGAUUGCAUCGUCAAAUUCUGAUGGAUGAGACGUUGUUAUAGAGAGUAUAGAUGGAACAAAAAGAUCAAAUGUUCCCGUCAGACCCAACUGGAGUGAAAGAUACUCCAGAACUAAAAGCCCAAGCGUAAGAUUCAAUCAGACAUGGGAGCUUCUGCUUUUGUGCAGCGCAGAAGAUGUCCGGUGGUGCUCUAAGUCGCACAUAAAAGAAUUUAAGAUCAGGAAGAAUGGAUCAGCUGAGCUCAAAUUUUCUAGUAGUCAAAACAUGAUUAAAGAGUUCUUUUUUAUUUAGGACAAAUUAUUCUAUUAAGACAGAUUAAGGCGAUUAUUUGUGAUACCUACUGCGUUGACAUUUCAUCGUCAUAUAUCAUGAGAGAAUCCAAACUUCCUUUUCGUACGAUUUGUGCUUUUAACGCUAAUCAUCUUUUUGGUCUUGCAUUAUAUAUAUAUAUAUAAGCAAUAAGGAAGAUCUUAAUUUAUUUUGUCGGCCCAAUUUUUUUUCAAGCAAUAAAUGACGUUUGGGAAAUACUUUUUUAACGGGGUAAAUUCUUAUAUAAGCAAUUAUUCUCAUUUAAGGGCAAAAAAAAAAGACAAAGACUAUAAUUGUUCAUAUUAAGCAUAAUACACUCGUAUUUACAAUAGAUAUAGUGCAUACACUCGAUGAUUAGAAACACAAAAUUCCACAACUACCCUUCUCCUUUGAGCGCACCGGGCGGUUCAUCUGCGGUAGGAUUGCAAGGGCAAAACCGGGAAUCGAGAAACCGUGGGGCGCGAGAGGACGAGCGAUUCGAAACGCCUGGUCAACUCCGGUCGGAGGAACCGAGGAGCAACUCGGGGAAGGAUCGCAGGAGUUCCUUCUCCUUCUCCUUCUUCUCCUCCUCCUCCUCCGUGGAGGAAGCGGCGGCGAGGAGGCGGCGGAAGAGCGGGACGGGGCAGGGGAUGCGUAGGACGCCGCGCUGCUCGUAGCCGUACUCGUCGGCGGAGAGGCGCAGCAACCGGACGAAGGCCGGGCGGCCGAGGAGCUCUGUUCGGACCUCGAACCGCUCCAUCUCCUCCCCCACGUACACUGGGAAGUGCCCCUGCGCCGGCUCCCCGUGCCGCCUCCCCUUGCCGGACCAACGCAGCGACUCGUACUGGGCGCAGUCGACCACCCUCGACAGCCGCCGGAUCAUUCUCUGUUGCCGUGGGAGGAUGGCGAACGAGGAGAGCCGAGGUGGCCUCCGCCGCUGUGGGUGGGUACGUAUUUAUAGUGGAAAAUGGAGGACUUUUAAAUCCAUUAUUUAUAUAUAUGUAUACGAAUUUAGCUGUUCUUCGUACAACAGCGAGCGGCUCUUUCAACGCGUGGGGGCCGUUUUAGCGUCACGAGUUGCGUAGUGAUCCACACACAACGCGGUUCUUGAUGUGUGCCGCGCUGGCGAUUCCUGUCUUAAUUCGGCGGUAGAGUUGCGGCACGCAUAGGAUCCAAAUCAACGUGGAGUCAACGCAAAAGCCAACGACGAAACCAAUGUAUUAUCAGUCCACACCACCAGAGAAAGCUUUAAUAAACAAAUUAAUCUUAAUAACCAUUAAUUCUUGUGAAGAUAUAUAAUAUGGAAGUGGAGUAGGUAAAGUGGAUGAUAUGGUUUCCGUAGUCCAUUUGGUACGGUGACCGUGACACACUGUUCCAUGACACCAUAGUUAGAGAGUAUAAAACCCACCACCUUGUGCACCACAACACCCAUUUCAAUUAAUUAAGCUGCACUUAACCUCGAUAAAUCUCCACCCCCCCACACACAAAUGGCCUCCAUCGCUAGCAUAAAUCACUGCAAUGCUCGAGGUAGUAGGAGUACUAGAUGGACUUACAUGAAAUUUAUAUGUGGAAUUAUUUGAAGAAUACGAUUGCUCUAAUUCAACUUGUAGGAUGAUGGCCGAUUUUUGUUCGGUGAUUCAUCCAACUUCAAGUCAGUCGCCUUUUCCUCCCUCUAAAUGCCUAUAAGCGAGAGAUCACACGAACCCAAGUUGUCAUUGGAUUGGGAGCCACUUCUCCGCCAUCUUUAUAACGACGACAAUAGUAAUAACUAAUAGAAAGUGGCUUUCCUCCACAAAUUCCAUCACGCGCGUUCACGACGAUGAUCGUCGGUUCCGCAUCUCCACGUAGAUCGGACGGUGCUGAUGCAUCUGUUGGGUUUAGAAUACUACCGAGUGCGCCCAUGACGUACACCGUACAUUACUGAUCACGGCCGGACCUUUGGUGAGUCGAUCAUGCGUUCUUUAAGCAUUUAUGGUAACUUAGUUUAAUGUAUCCUAAAGCCAAAAAGCUGCACGAAGACGAGACUUCCCCUCGUGCUUCUGCCCAAUCCCCAUGCAAGUCACGUAAACUAUCCACCUUCAGUUGGGUGUUUGGCGAGUGAUGACGACGAUGAUGCUUUUGUGUUUGGGAGUUCCUACACCCAUUAAAGAAUGAAGGUGUUUUCUAUUUUAUUCUUCUGAAUAUUUGGGGAGGUCAUGAUGAUGUCCAAUUUGGCAUGGCAUGCAUGAAUUUACAAUUGCAUGUCAGGAAAAGAAUUUUCUUUUACAUCUACGAUUCCAUGAACCUACGAUUUACUAUCCUUGCGAGCUUGAAAUUAGUAUAUUUGCUUUCCAUAUGUUAUUGUCAAUCCGGCGCCUACCUACGUUGAUGAUCGAUCAGCCAUAUACGUCGACAUCGAGCGGAGAGUAAUUUCCUCCUACUAAGUAUAAUAAUAAUUACCAAGAAUUGUUUGGAGACUCUCCACAUUGUCGACAAAACUACUCAUCCAUAAGUAAUUACAUAGUAAAUAUGACAAUCACAAAGAAUUAUCUAUGAAGAGACCAAGUAUGUUCAUCGGACCAAUCGACAUUGUCCAUUAGCAUCUACUCUAGCGAGAUUGUUUGCGAUUAUGCCAAAAAUAAAAAAAAUAAUUACCAAGGAUCAUUUAAUCAAGGGUGAUGAUCAAUCUAAUGAUUAUAAAUUGCAUAUUCAAAAAAAGUAUGAAGCUGGUUAUCCAAUUAUGUGUGCUUAAUGAUCAAUAAGAACAGGUUAUUGAGAAUAUAUUUAUCUUGGGGAGAAAGAAAGAUUGUUGCAACACUGAAUUGGUGUCAUUGGAUUGCUUCUCUUGAUUGCUAUCCUAUUAUUCAAGAAACAAAGUUUCUUAACUCAUUUCUCAUAAUUAUACAUAAAAUGAAAUCCCUCGAUCAAUAAAAUGACAAGAAAUGAGCAAGAUUUGGUACACGCACAAAAAUUUAAUUCACAAGUCCAUUGUGUCUAGCAAUUGUUGCUCUAUCUGUCAUUUGUAUGCACCCAAUUGUUUCUGUAGGAAUAUUUGCACAUUCACCAAGGUGAUUAUAUAUAUAUAAACUAACCAUGAUUGGGGUUGAUUAGGGGCUCGUUAACCUUGGAAUUGAUUUGAGAAUUGAAGUGAAAAAUUAGGCCUCACACAAAGAUAAAAAGUGGAUAAGUUUGGUAUCAUUCCUUCUUGUUGGCCCAUUGAUGUGACAAGGACAUGCUAUGAUUCAUAUCUACUCAAACUAUGACAAAGCCAAGGGAUGAAUGUGGUACCUGAUCUAGUAUGGUUAGGUACCAUCUAGUAUAGUUAGGUACCAUCUCUUGUCCCAUACGAAAUGUUUUCGUGAUAUGUGUCGACUAAACUCUCGGUUAAUUUCACUAUGUCACUAUAGCCUAAAUAUAGAGUUCAUCAUAUUAAAAUUGGAUGUCGGAUUUUAUAAGAGAUUUGGGUUUUAUGUUUUAUAUUUUUCACCUAAAGAUAUAGAAUAAAUAUCACUUGCUUUGUGUUAAAAUAGAUUUUAAUUGUCGAACAUAUGGGCUAGAUUCUGAGUUAACCGAGAUCUAAUUCUUAGCCCAUCUUAUGUUGAUGUGUCGGAAAGUUAAGAAAGGUCAUGCAAAAAUUAUGCCAAAGAUAUAUGCUAUAAAACUUAAUUGGUAUAGAUUUGUUUGUAUAAUAUUAAUAAGUAUUUGGAGGGAUUUUUAUGUGAUGAGGAAUUAUUAGGUUAGAUGAUGGUAAAUGAUAUGAAUGAUUACAUGCAUUAUUUGAUCAUUGAUGGACUAUGAGAUCAUGCAUUGAAUCAUUAGGUUACAAUUAUGAGGUAACAACUUGGUUGAGUUAGCUUUCUAACAAUGUUGCAUUAUCAACCUUAUGGGCCUAAUUUAACAUUUUUUACUUGUGCCACAUCGUUAAUCUCAUAUGAUCAAAUCUCAUUAUUGGUCAAACAAGUAUAAUGUAUCGAUGACUACCUAUACGUAUGCUUCAAAAAAAAAAAAGUCAUACAUUAUUAUUUGAUGAGAGAAAAAGUUGUUGAUGUCUUAAUCAGCCCAACAUAGCCGGACCCAUUUGCAUAGGGUUAUUCGAGGUGCUUCUAAGAUGGAAAUAUCGAGCUCCUGAGAUGCCACAUGCAUAAAAACUAAGGUAAGGAGAGGUUUCUCGACCUAAUCCUAGGUCCCUCUAACGCCCAAGUUAAUAACAUAAGAUUAUGAGUGUUGGAGAUGAGCUUUUAUAAACUAUUCUAGGUGUCGCCUAGGUGAAAAAUAUCGAGCUCCUGAGGUACCACCUACAUGAAGAUCGAGAUCGGAAGAGGUUUCUUGAUUCGAUCAUUCCAAUACCCAAGUUAGUAACCCGAAUUAUAUGAGUGCAGACAUGAGUGACCAAAAAAAGUAAAUCUCUUUUUUCAUUAUGUUGGAGACGAGCCUUUAUACUAAAGGGUCAGAACAUUAUAUGAGAUAUUCUAUGGAGAAGUAGCUUCUAACUAUCUCCAAUAGUCUCUCUUAGUCUCUCUUUGAUAUCUUAUUCACAUGCGUGAUAACGAGGAUAACACAUAAUCAUCUAUCUUGAAUCAUUGUCCAUAUAAGUAGAUAAGUAAAGAAUGACUUUCAUCUUUUCUUUUUCUAGACAUGAUUACCUAUCGAAUUAAUUGAUGAGGACAUGUCAUUGUCUUACUCUUUGCGGUUCUUCUUAUCACUUCCCCGAGAGAUAAAAUCCAAGAACAUAUAAUCACAUAUGAUACAUCGUCGUAGCAUCAGCAACUUUGUUUGACCCAAUUUCCACUAUUGACCAACAAAUACGAUGCAAUUUGAUGACGAAUGUCCACAUCACAUGCUCCAUAGUUUUCACAUUAGGCUCCAAGCGUUCGAUGUCGGCACUCGACAUUGAUGUCUGUGCAUGAUGACUUCUUUAGCUUUAUCCGUUUCCUCUUCUGCCUUGUUGACUUUAACGUCGGAGUAAUCAAACGAAAUAAAAUGGUUGAAUUCUUAGACAAGCUUGAAGUCUUAUAGGAAUCAAUCAUUAACUAACUCUAUCGUGGAUAAGAUCAAUAUGUAUUAAAUUAGUAAUUUUUUUUUGGGACAAUCAUACCGAUUUAAUCGAUCUAAUUAUGAGAACUCUUUCCACUUCGACACCAUCAUGAUAAUAUAUUUAUUAUGUUAUGAUUGAAAUGAGAUAAUUAAUUUAUCAAUUUAAUCGAUCUAAAUUACUAUCCUAAAAAUAAUAAUUUUUUUUCUUCUAUUUGAUCAUUUUGAUACCAUUUGUGAUGAUCAAUCUGAUGUGAUAAUUAACUUGGCCAGAUAUUGGAUGCGUCUCUAUAUAUUCUAAAUAUAUUGGCCCAAAAAUUUCCAUCAAAAACCAGCAGCAUUUGAGAGAGAACAUGAAAGAUUCUGUUCUCGUUUUCCACGCUCUUAAAAGGGGCUUCACAUGGCCAGAUCAGGUCCAAUUCAACGAAGACCACCAUACCAUCUGCAUCGCCCACCGUUUCAAUCCGAGGAACUCACAUGUCGUUUUGAGUACCGUCCUGAAACUCUCAUCUCACCGUCACACACGCAUCGAUGUCAUGGUGGGACAUCUUCUUUUCUUGUGCUGACUCCCAUCUUCCAUGGAGGAAUGAGCAACCGAGAGAGCUGAAUGCUACUGUGAGUAUGAGCUUAAAGCGGUGAAAGAGUCCGCAGGCUUCACCUGCAUGCAUGCAUGUAACAAUCAUAGGAAAACACCCAGAAGAAAGAUGGUUUUUGUGAGAUCUGAAGCCGUGUUUUUCUUCAUCAACAAUGCAAGUCAAACAAAUAUUCCCAUCCUCCAUCCAAGACAUGCAUUUGAAGGUUCCAUGGAGCCCCUAAGCAGACAAGAACAGUCCCCCAUUCUCCCGGUUUCACACCUCCCUUUCUUCAUGUUACGUUCAUCGAGUGUAGACCAGACAAAGAAGUACUAUAAGCUAUCUAACUGCAUGCCAGUGGCUUGAAAAGCUUCCGUACAACGUGACGUUCGAGUCAAACAUGCCAAGCUUUCCUCUCCGGGACUCGAUAUGUAUAUAUAUACACACAUAUUAGAGGGAGAGAGAUGUGCAGCUCGAUCACUCGAUCGGAAGGAGAAUGGGGAAGCCAGCCGAGGAACGCGGAGUAGAUCGAGCGCCUAAAGGACAUGUUCCGGUGAUGGUGGGCACAGGGAAGGAGUUGCAGAGGUUCGUGGUGAGCGUGAAGGCCUUCGACCAUCCAUGCUUUGUGAGCUUGCUGGAGUUGGCAGCUCAGGAGUUUGGCUACCGGCAGAAGGGCGUCCUUAGAAUACCAUGUGAUGCACAGCAUUUUGAGCAAGUGUUGAAGAUGACAGCCAAGUGAUGCACAGCACGAAGAGGACUCCUCCGUUUCUUCCCCGAAGAGAAGAAGCUCUCUGUUGUUGAUACUUAGGUCUCAUGUUACUUACUGCACCACAUUUUUCUCAAGCUAAAUUUGGUGCUUUUUCGGGUUGUAUUGCUUUUUCUUCUUUUGCCUUUUGUUCAAGAAAAAGAAAAAGCAUCUUUCAUACGAUCAAAGAUCUGAUCAAACGAAUGUGGCAUUUGAUUUGUGAAGUUUCAAUUCUCAUGUGCAUCGACUGAAUACAGAAAUGCAAUUAUGUUUCAUAUCUGUCCAUCCAAAGAAAGAAAUAAUUUUCUUAAUUAUUUUGAAAUUUCAGAAGGAUAGAUAUGUAGAAGGUUGCUUAGCAGUUAAUCAAAUCAUAUUGUAUUUAUUAUGUGCAGAUCAUUAAUGCUCUAAUGGAAUGUAAACCGAAAAAAGGAAAAUAGAUAGAUAGGUUGGUCGUAUCUAAUGCGUAACAAAGUACUCAAGCCAUCAACUUGUGGUCAAGGAUGACUCUACUGGACUUGUAGUCCUUGAUGUGGGUGGGUGGGAUAUGAUAUGAUUUCCGGGAGAGAAAAAUGCAAUACAAGUCACCGGCACUGAAUGCCCAGUACUUGGACAAGACAAAGCUGAUGAGCUAAUGUUAACGCGGAUGUGAUCUGGCGGCUUCCUUUCCAGGAAGACAACAACGACCAAGACUUUGACUUUGGCCCUUUCAUAUUUUGAUAUAAAAUACCCCUUCAAAAUAUGUCAUUGCGAGUAAUAUCUCUUGAGAAACUAACUUCAUCUUAACCACUUUUAACCAUAAUAAAAAUUUAUUUUAAUUGACCCUGAAUGAAACAAUAGAAUAAAAAAUUAAAGCUCCUCAUAAACAAAUUAGUUUCAGUUGAUUUACAUGAGUAGCAAGUCUAUUUCUAUUUCCUUGUCUUUCUAUUUCAUGAGUAGCAAGUAUUUCUAUUUCCUCAUAAACAAAGGUCUUUCUAUUUCCUUGUCUUUCACUAACAUGAAUUCAAUUCAUUGUCUGGGAUCCAAGACAAAUGCAGAUUGGCUCUUUGUAGCCAUGUACCAACUGGGGCUAAGCCAUUGGGAUAUUUCUCUGCAGCAUCUAUUCCACCUUUUGAGACGGCAUUGGAGAAACCCAAAACAGAUGGCAUCUUUAGCUGCCGUGUUUUCCUUCUGCUUAAAGAUCUUUUUUUGUUUGAGCUCAUUCAGCAACUCAAACAGAGAAAGAAAUAUCUGGACAAGGAAACCUUGGAAAAGACAUGCAGUUUACUUGAUGCAUGCAUCGAUGUGUUCUUGUUCUUUUACGGCUACAAGUGGUAUAUAUAGGAUUUCCUCAAAUUCAAAAUAAAAAAGAAAAAAGAUAUGUUUACUAAAGAUGUUUUACAGGUCACCUUUCUUUUUCAUUCCAUCUAAUUCAGUAUAUGAGAAUUUUAGUUUAAACACAAGCAAGAACCAGAAAUUAUAAAUGAAGAUGAAGAACUUGAUUUAGAAGAAUUAUACCAAGGCCUAAUACUGUUUUCAACUUUGUAUGGGCAAGAGCUGAGUUCCACUUUUGAUCACAAUCUUGCAAUCAGUGUGAUAUUUAAUAGCAAAAUGUAAAGCUGACAUCUCAGGACCAAGGAGUCAUAUGAAAUCUUUAGAUUAGAAUUCCUUUCUUCCAUCUCUCCACCCAUUCAAUUCAAAAGAAUCAUUUUGUUUUUCGCUUUCCUUGGAGCUCGAAGUCCAUGUUCAUCAUUGAUACAUUUGCUGAGAAUUAUUCUGCAGACCUCUAACAUACUUGGUCAUGGAAUUUGAUAUGUUUCUGCCAAUCAUGCAUUUGCUCUCUUCUAUUAUACACAUUUUUAUCGACCCCGAAUGAAGACUAUAUUUUCUGGUCUACGAUUCCAAUGUCUCAAUCAGCCUUGAAUAGUUCCACACACAAAAGAUAAGGUGACAAUCCAAUUAAAGCAAUCCCUUUCAGCAAAACCAGUUACUUGUUGACUUAAAACUAAGCAUACAGCUGUAUCUCAAGCACAAUGACAGUGAAACAAACCAGCAAUGCUGUCUAAGAACAGGAAAUUAUUACAUAGAUAGACUACAGUAGAAACCCUAUGAAGCAUACUCGGCGAAGAUAAUAAUGUUGACAAAUCUACCAGUUUUAUUUUCAUCUUUCAAUCUCAUUGCUGCUUUGACCCUUCUUUGUUGGUGCUUGGGACAUCUGAUGAAGCCAAACACCCACCUUAGAUAAACAUUAGGUAGGAAUAGUUCUGUCAUCGUAAAGUUUCAGCAAUUCUGGUUUGGAUUCUGCAAUACAAACACCAACUUCAGAAAUAACAUUCUUAGACAGGAUGUGGAAGCAACCUGCAUCUCCAUGGGCACUGGGAUGCGCACCAAUGUUCUUUCUCAUGCGUCCAUGUUUCCUCGUGUUGCUUGAACUGGCAGCACUAGAUUUUGGUUGCUGUCAGCAAGGGGUGCUUAGAAUUAAUUCCAUGUGAUGUUCAACAUUUUCUGUGUAGUCAACAUGAUGUGGUUACUGAAGAACUCCAUGUUUUGUUCUCUUCUUCCUGCUACGAUUGCUAUAAUUUGGAAAUGUUCAAUGCGGCCAUUACUGUUUGAUACAAGUGCAUGAGUUACACCUGUUUAUAUUAUAGGAUUGUUUAGCACUCAGAUUAAUUUAUAUGGUACAAUUAAAGCAUUUAUUUGGUCACUCCACAAAGUUAAUGAUUCUUGAAAAUGUCUUCUUCUAUCAUGAUUUCGCUGCAGUUGAAUUCGGAAUAAUAAUUUAAUUUAUCAAAAGGCAUUCCUAUUCCUAUACUCUUUUGAUGAUGAUGCCUUUUGGAUCUGGAUCCUUCAUUCAUUAGGGGUUGCCACAGCUAGUUGGAUUCAAGGAAUUUAAUUUCGAAUGUAACCGGUUGGAUUCAUAUCAUAAUCUCUAGCUUACCAAGCUGGAAACAAUUUUGCAGCCAGAAGUGGACAAACAGCAGCAGACCUCAUGCAUACCACCUUGUUCCCGUUAAUCUUACGAUCGAAGGCAAUCUCUCUGUAGAGUGACCAAGGUAGCUACUCUGCUGUUGAUCAUGACCAGAACUUUGCAAUUGAGGUCAUUGAAUUACCCAAGACUGUCGACAUGUUGAAUGUAUGCAUCCACCAUAAUGGAUUAGUUGUGUUAGGUGGAAUUUAGGAUAUGGAGUGAGGCAAUUGGGACCGAGAAGUUGAAUGUAUUUUCUUCUACUUCCUCUGGGAUACUUAAUCCUUCCUUCUCCCAUGUCAGAGUUUGCUGUUCGACGACUCUCUCUCUCUAUCCAUAGAUAUAAUCCUCGAAAGAAACCAACCUCCAUCCUGGAAAACAGAGAGAGAAAGUAAUCAAGUCAAGGAUAGAUAGAUAGUCAUGAAUUCUUGGAGGUCAAUUUCUGCUUCAAGCAUUCAUUCACCGAGAGAGAUGCUUUGUUAUUUAUUUAAAUCAAACCCUGCAAUUUUUUGUUGUCCCAAUAAAAGCUCGAAAGAGAGAAGGAAAGUGAUGUUAUUAAAUGAUGGGGAAUGGAGGCAUAAGAACCCAAUAAUAAAUGGUGUGAAUGGUUUGUCAUGUUGACUCUUCCGACCGUCUGCUGUUGCCAUCGCAUUCAUCAGCAGCAGCGGCAUUAAUGGCGGGCGCGGACGAGGCUCCCAUCACGCGCGCGGUGGCAACAAUACAAUGGAGAUGCAGGCAGCGGUGGUGGCGAUGCGUGGACCUCAGCAACCUUAAAUGGACGUACCACACUGGGGGAGACGCGCAUUAAAUGCGAGGUGGAGGGGAAGUCGCGCUCGCCCUUGAACGGUGACGGAGACCGUGCCGGAGGAGACGUCACACGCCAUCUAACCAUUCUUGCACAUUUACCCACGCCCCCAUUCAUCUCAUCUCAGGAGGAAGAUGAGAGUGAGUGCAUGAGGACGAAACCCGUUAUGACUCGGUUCUUCUUCCCGUACGUCAUGUCUCAGGGUCACUGAUUGAAUCUGAUAAAUAGUGGAUCCAAGUCGGACCUUAGAUCUCUUUAGAAAAUAUAAAUUAUAUUUUACAUUUUUAUUAUUUUAAUAAUAAAAAAAUAUAUUUUUCAAUAAUAAUAAUAAUAAUAAUAAUAAUAAUAAUAAUAAUAAUAAUAAUAUCUUGUUAAAUCAUCUUAACCUUGAUUCCAAGGCUUCUUGGAUUAACUCGGAACAUCUUACACGUCGUCGUCGGACAAUUAUAAUUUACGAUAACAAAUAUUUUGGAUCAAAAUAUUCUAAAAAUAAGUAUAAAUACAUAAAAAAAUAUCGUAUUGUCAAUCAUCAUCGAUCAAAAGCGAUCCGAUUAGAAAUCAAGAGCUCAACUAUUGAUAAUUAAUUUAAGUAUGGUUGCAGAAAAUGAAUGAAAUGUGUACAACCGACCGAUGAACCACUCGGUAUCUUCUUGGGUGCAACUGAUGCAGCUAAACCGACGAACGAAAUGGACAAGAAGAAAUUGUGGAAGAAGGGGAUUCGGAGGGAGAAGAUGGGAUGGUCAUGUUUGUCUCUGCAGUCGGGAUGAGACAUGACAGAUCGAUCAGUAUGAGCGCAUUAAUUUGGAGCCUCUCUCUCUCUCUCUCUCUCUCUCUCUCUCUCUGUUAGAAACAACAAGUCAAGCUUUCCUUCCAACACACCACCCACCCCUGCAGCAUCCCUUUCAUGCACAUUAACGACGAAAGCGAGUCGCCAACUCAUUUUUGUCGAAGCUGACUUGCGGAGUGCUGCAACCCCCCCCCCAUCGCCUCCUCCGUUGAAUGAGUAUAUGGAAUUGUAUGAGAAGAACAAGUUGGACUGGGCUACUUUACUUGUGGUGUAGCUGUGUGCAUCAAAAUAUUAGGAAAAAAAAAUCUAUUCAAUCAAAAACCUUAGGUGAAUUAAAACUAAAUUAUACGAUGAUGAUUGAUAAGCGGUGCACCUUAUUAUCGAAGGUAUAAUGUGUCACUAGAUUAUUAUUUUUGAUACCAUAACAAUAGAGAGAAAAAUAAUAUUAGAUUAGAUGUACGAUGAUCAACAGCUUAACGCAUAGCCUCUCCAACACUUACAACUAUAAAUAAAUUUGAUGAUUUAAUCUACCAGGGAAUGGGAUAAAGCAGUAAAGAGAUAAAAAUGAUAUGAAUUCCACAAGCAUCAAAACAAUAAUAAUAAUAAUAAUAAUAAUAAUAAUAAUAAUAAUAAUAAUAAUAAUAAUAAUAAUAACAACAAUAAUAAUAAUAAUAAUAAUAAUAAAAUGAUGGCGAGGACUUGGAAAUUAAUAAUACUGUUUUAUACUGCUCUUGCCUGUAUAUUUUUAUAUACAUACAUAAUUAAGUAAUUUUACAGGGGGAAAAGCGCAAAAUUGAGGUCGAUGCGGGGCCGCUUCUGCGGAGGCGGAGGAGCCGCCGCCGCCGCCGCCAAGGGCGGUGCCACCUGCGAGUCGCAGCGUGGGCACCGCGGGUUCAUCCUCGAUAUCAGCACAUAGGAAAGGCAGCUAGGGCAGCCCGCCGCCACCAGGCUGCCGCCUGCGGAGUCGCAGCCGGCGCACCCCUCCUCCCCGUCACCCCGCCGCUUGAUCGACGCCGUCGUGAUGGACGACGAAGAGGAGGGCGAGGGUGAGGGCGAGGGCGAAGGCGAGGGGGAGGAGCAGCCGUCCGAUGCCUCAUGACUCCUCCUCCUCCUCCUCCUCCUCCUCUCCUCCCCCUCCUNNNNNNNNNNNNNNNNNNNNNNNNNNNNNNNNNNNNNNNNNNNNNNNNNNNNNNNNNNNNNNNNNNNNNNNNNNNNNNNNNNNNNNNNNNNNNNNNNNNNNNNNNNNNNNNNNNNNNNNNNNNNNNNNNNNNNNNNNNNNNNNNNNNNNNNNNNNNNNNNNNNNNNNNNNNNNNNNNNNNNNNNNNNNNNNNNNNNNNNNNNNNNNNNNNNNNNNNNNNNNNNNNNNNNNNNNNNNNNNNNNNNNNNNNNNNNNNNNNNNNNNNNNNNNNNNNNNNNNNNNNNNNNNNNNNNNNNNNNNNNNNNNNNNNNNNNNNNNNNNNNNNNNNNNNNNNNNNNNNNNNNNNNNNNNNNNNNNNNNNNNNNNNNNNNNNNNNNNNNNNNNNNNNNNNNNNNNNNNNNNNNNNNNNNNNNNNNNNNNNNNNNNNNNNNNNNNNNNNNNNNNNNNNNNNNNNNNNNNNNNNNNNNNNNNNNNNNNNNNNNNNNNNNNNNNNNNNNNNNNNNNNNNNNNNNNNNNNNNNNNNNNNNNNNNNNNNNNNNNNNNNNNNNNNNNNNNNNNNNNNNNNNNNNNNNNNNNNNNNNNNNNNNNNNNNNNNNNNNNNNNNNNNNNNNNNNNNNNNNNNNNNNNNNNNNNNNNNNNNNNNNNNNNNNNNNNNNNNNNNNNNNNNNNNNNNNNNNNNNNNNNNNNNNNNNNNNNNNNNNNNNNNNNNNNNNNNNNNNNNNNNNNNNNNNNNNNNNNNNNNNNNNNNNNNNNNNNNNNNNNNNNNNNNNNNNNNNNNNNNNNNNNNNNNNNNNNNNNNNNNNNNNNNNNNNNNNNNNNNNNNNNNNNNNNNNNNNNNNNNNNNNNNNNNNNNNNNNNNNNNNNNNNNNNNNNNNNNNNNNNNNNNNNNNNNNNNNNNNNNNNNNNNNNNNNNNNNNNNNNNNNNNNNNNNNNNNNNNNNNNNNNNNNNNNNNNNNNNNNNNNNNNNNNNNNNNNNNNNNNNNNNNNNNNNNNNNNNNNNNNNNNNNNNNNNNNNNNNNNNNNNNNNNNNNNNNNNNNNNNNNNNNNNNNNNNNNNNNNNNNNNNNNNNNNNNNNNNNNNNNNNNNNNNNNNNNNNNNNNNNNNNNNNNNNNNNNNNNNNNNNNNNNNNNNNNNNNNNNNNNNNNNNNNNNNNNNNNNNNNNNNNNNNNNNNNNNNNNNNNNNNNNNNNNNNNNNNNNNNNNNNNNNNNNNNNNNNNNNNNNNNNNNNNNNNNNNNNNNNNNNNNNNNNNNNNNNNNNNNNNNNNNNNNNNNNNNNNNNNNNNNNNNNNNNNNNNNNNNNNNNNNNNNNNNNNNNNNNNNNNNNNNNNNNNNNNNNNNNNNNNNNNNNNNNNNNNNNNNNNNNNNNNNNNNNNNNNNNNNNNNNNNNNNNNNNNNNNNNNNNNNNNNNNNNNNNNNNNNNNNNNNNNNNNNNNNNNNNNNNNNNNNNNNNNNNNNNNNNNNNNNNNNNNNNNNNNNNNNNNNNNNNNNNNNNNNNNNNNNNNNNNNNNNNNNNNNNNNNNNNNNNNNNNNNNNNNNNNNNNNNNNNNNNNNNNNNNNNNNNNNNNNNNNNNNNNNNNNNNNNNNNNNNNNNNNNNNNNNNNNNNNNNNNNNNNNNNNNNNNNNNNNNNNNNNNNNNNNNNNNNNNNNNNNNNNNNNNNNNNNNNNNNNNNNNNNNNNNNNNNNNNNNNNNNNNNNNNNNNNNNNNNNNNNNNNNNNNNNNNNNNNNNNNNNNNNNNNNNNNNNNNNNNNNNNNNNNNNNNNNNNNNNNNNNNNNNNNNNNNNNNNNNNNNNNNNNNNNNNNNNNNNNNNNNNNNNNNNNNNNNNNNNNNNNNNNNNNNNNNNNNNNNNNNNNNNNNNNNNNNNNNNNNNNNNNNNNNNNNNNNNNNNNNNNNNNNNNNNNNNNNNNNNNNNNNNNNNNNNNNNNNNNNNNNNNNNNNNNNNNNNNNNNNNNNNNNNNNNNNNNNNNNNNNNNNNNNNNNNNNNNNNNNNNNNNNNNNNNNNNNNNNNNNNNNNNNNNNNNNNNNNNNNNNNNNNNNNNNNNNNNNNNNNNNNNNNNNNNNNNNNNNNNNNNNNNNNNNNNNNNNNNNNNNNNNNNNNNNNNNNNNNNNNNNNNNNNNNNNNNNNNNNNNNNNNNNNNNNNNNNNNNNNNNNNNNNNNNNNNNNNNNNNNNNNNNNNNNNNNNNNNNNNNNNNNNNNNNNNNNNNNNNNNNNNNNNNNNNNNNNNNNNNNNNNNNNNNNNNNNNNNNNNNNNNNNNNNNNNNNNNNNNNNNNNNNNNNNNNNNNNNNNNNNNNNNNNNNNNNNNNNNNNNNNNNNNNNNNNNNNNNNNNNNNNNNNNNNNNNNNNNNNNNNNNNNNNNNNNNNNNNNNNNNNNNNNNNNNNNNNNNNNNNNNNNNNNNNNNNNNNNNNNNNNNNNNNNNNNNNNNNNNNNNNNNNNNNNNNNNNNNNNNNNNNNNNNNNNNNUCCCUCCCUCCCUCCCUCCUCCCUCCCUCCCUCUCCCAUCCCCCAUCCUCCGCCGCCGCCGCCGCUGCCGCUGCUGCUCCUCCUCCAUCUCCCUGCCGCGCGACUCGCGCUCCGCCCGCUCCAGCGCCCACUUCACUUUCUCGAUGGUGCACACGCUCUGGCUCCCGGCGAGCGCCGCGGCUACCGGCUUCGGGCCGUCGUCCGGCAGCCGGUUAAGGUCCUGCGAGUACGAGGAAACAUCGACGUGAGCCCAAGACGAGGCGAAGGCGAGAACCACCCACGAAGAACGGGAACCGAGUGCGAACCAGCGGACGGAGGUCGCCACGACAGCCAAAGGACGGCUUCGAGCCAGCAUCAACGUCUUUGGGUGCCACCGACGUGCAGCCGCCGAGGAGAUCGAGGGUUAUCGGACCCCGCUCCCCCUCCCUCGAGCUCACCUCAACCAACAUCGUUCGACAGCAAGAACUCCGGUACUUGGAGACGUAAGAGAAGGGGAGGAGGUGCCAAGAAGAAGGAAGCGGAGUAGAUGAAGGAUGCGAUUGAUUGAUGUGCUGGGGGAGCGAGGUAGUUAAUGAGAGCUGGUGGCAGGGCACUGUCAGACAAGGUUAGGGAGCAUUAAUGGAGGGUUGGAAGGACAUGCACGGGAGGAGGGAGGGGGAAGAGACGGCAUUAAAUGCUGGGGUUUGGCGGCAAGCAGCGGAGGCAUCUGCUGCGCCCCAUUUGGUCGCCCACUUGAGGUGGCGAUGGAUGCCAACACUCUCCUCCUCCAUGAGUUAUGUGCAGGCGGUGUCUGCAAACGCUUGGAUUCACUUCCCACUGCCAUCUUCUUCCUUCUAUCUAUCUAUCUAUCUAUCUAUCUAUCUAUCUAUCAUCAUCAUCUUCAUCCUGUGGUCCUCCUCAUCUCCUCCACCCCCAUUCACAAUUACUCCUCCACUUCAAAUUAAAUCAUAAUAAAAUGAUUGCUUAUAAGUUGCUUCAAAAGAAUUACUUCUCAUCCAUAAUAAGAAUAGAGACAAAAAAUUAAUUAAUUAUUAUUCAUAAAUAGUAUGUGUGUGAGAUGAAAAAAAAAUAAUGAAGGAUUCGAAAUAUGUGUUUUUUAAAUAAUUAAAAAAAAUAAAUAUUAUAUUAAAUAACGUAUAAGAUGUUCACAUAUAAACUCAAACCUAUAAUUUAUUACUUAUUAAUAAUACAAUAACUAAUUAGAUACUAUAAGAGUUUAAUGAUAUAUAAUUGAUUUGACAAAAUUUAAUAGCAUAAGAUUUUAUGCUGUAUUAAUAUCUCAUCUUCAUAGAUGACUCAAAUUUUUGAAAGUUUCAUUAUGGUAUUCAAAUCAGGUGAAUAAAUUUUAGAUGAACCAUAUCAUGUGAUAAUUGAUAGUGAGAGAUAAGUGAAUCAUUUAAUAACACGUUAAUUGAUAUUUAAUAUGUACAUGUAUGUUUGUAUGUAUGUACAUAUAUAGGAGCCCUAACUCACUGCAAAAUGCCAACAGUUAUAGAUGUCACAUCAACACCACAUGAAUGUGUGUCCAACAUGCAUGCUCACGUAAAAAUAUAAUAAAAUCAUUUAGUGCUUUAUAAACUUCCACGUUGUAAAAUAAAAUAGCCAUCAGCAUGAGUUUUCACUUAUAUAUAUAUAUAUAUAUAUAUAUAUAUAUAUAUAUAUAUAUAUAUAUAUGUUCACUUUUUUCGCCGAUUUGUGCAUGUGAAUGACACUGCAUUAAUGAAUCAAAUGUUAGGUGUCUCUUUGGGGCCCGUGAUGGUGCAUGUCCUUGUCUUUGCAAUUUAAGGCCAAGUAACGUAGUAAAAGGGCCAUAUGAGAGAGAAAGAGAAAGAGGUCAUCCCAAGACUUAAUAAUAAUAAUAAUUAUUAAGUAGCUCUACUCCCAUAACUACAUGAUAUAUCCAUACAACUCUCUCUCUCUCUCUCUCUCUCAAUAAAUUGAAUUCACUCUCAACUUUAUGUGAGCCGUGAUGAUAGCCUUGACUCGAGGAGAGUAUUCCGUUGGAUUUGUCCUCCCCACCUUCUCUCUCUCUCUCUCUCUCACACACACACACACACACACACACACACACUAAUAGAGAUCCUUGGUUUAAGGCAAAUGUGACUUGGGGAAUGAAUGCAAAGGGUUGCCGUCAUUGAAUGCAUGAGAGAACUUCGAAGAUGGGACUUCCAUGUCCACUACAUCCCAUUCUCUCUCAAUAAGAAAAAAAAUAAAAAAUCUUCUUCUUUCCUUGUUCCUAUUUCUUGCUAAUUUAUUAUUUUCUUUUUGUCAUUUUAACGCUUCAACCCAAAAAUAAAAAAAAUAAAUAAACACAAACAACCAAUGAUUAAAAUAACGAUUCUUUUCUUACAACUGAUAUAUGAUAAAUCAUCUAAAUCUUUACUAGCUAAUUACUGUCCUUAAAAACUUAUCGAAAAUAUUUUUUUGUAAUAUUUAACUUAAUAAUCAGACAAGGUAGACAUAAGAUUUAAUUCUCAAUUUUUCCGGGUGGGACCAACCAAUUUAGUCUACCAUCCACCUACUACUUGGCCACACGAAAUGACAUGAGCUCGUGGCAGUAGAACUAACUCCAUGAUUCGUGAUCUAUCGAUGAGCAGCUCCCAUCUGCAUUAACGUUCGGUCCCACAGUGUUUAGACCAAGAGAAGAAGCUCCACUGCUUAAUGACCCUUAAAACUCGAUCCAUUAUGUUAACGCAUACGGAUUCUCAAGAUUAGACCCGCUAAGUAGAAUCUUAAGCCGUCUCGAUUGGUACUCGGUCUAAAUCCAUGUUCUAUCUGAAUCCGACCCGAUAACCGCACAUUAAUGUUUCGGUGUGGACGUAUGUCUCGACAGUCAAACAAAUGUCGAUGAUGCGAAGCCAUAAUUACAACCACGUAAUGACAUUGUACCACAUAACUGCUAUAUUAAUUGGCAACGACCAACAUCGAGGUGUUCCAUGGAGACAAAAAAAUGAUGGAAUAAAUAUUACCACAAAUAUAUCUUAUUACGACCGAGAUCAUAACCCACGUGCGGAUCUUAAUGCGCGAAUCUGAUCCUCCCACACAUUUUGAACUUACGUGAUGGACAUAAAUCAAAGAUAGUAAGUACUAUUUAGAGUCUCUUUUUUACUAUUUAUAAUUUUUAAAAAUCAUAAAAAAAAUAAUAAUAAUUUACUAUUCACAAUGGCAGCCUCCUCUUGCUAUUGACUCUCUUUACGGCUCGCACACCCUAUCCCCCCACUGUUACUAUCGUCGACUCUCCUCAUCGUCGUUUGCUACAGAUCAUUGCUCAUGGCUACCACCGUUGUAGCCACCAAUUCUCCCAUCGCUCGUUGUCAUCGAUCCCCGCUGAAGCCUGACCCCUCCACUCCUUGUUGCUGUGCAUGCUUAUGCCGCAGACUCUCCCCACUACCCAUUGCCAUCGAUCGUCGACCCCAACCAACCUACCUUUGCACUUGGCAGACUCUCCCCACCGCUCGCCAUCUCCUACCACUAAUGCUUCCCUUUCCAUCGUCGUAGACACCUUUGCCCCGUCAUUCAAAUUCUCUCAAAAGGAUUGAUUCCAAGAGAAAGACAUGACCCAUAAUAUGCAUCUUAUGAUCCUCUUUUUUGAUACUCGAAGCACUCAUAUUCCAAACAUCAUCAAGACCACCUAGAAUGUGUAUCCUUUGGGCUCUUUCAACAUUAUCCGAAAUAUAUAUCUUUCGAAUGCUUUUAACACUGCAUUCUCGAAGAGUUAUUAAUAUAAAACGAGAGAAUGGAGAAUAAAAUUGUAAAGUUAAAGAGAAAAGUAUAUUCCAAUUAGUAUAACAUGAAGUCUAUUUAUACAUGGUGAAAGAGAAGAUUUCUUUUACUAAGCAGAGAGAUUUCUUCGUGCAAUUGAGGAAAUCUCAUCUGCUAUGUAGUUGAGGAAAUCUUUCUAUUAUCAUGCCCCCGCAAGAUCGAGCUCCUGUCAAGGAUACCAAUUUUGGACUGAUGCAACAAAAAGUGAGUGAGUCUGCUAGUUGAUUAGCCGUAUGGACAUGAGAGACACGAAGUUGAUGUCUGACAACUUGAUCUCACACGAAGUGAAAGUCGAUGACAAUAUGUUUCAUGCGUGAGUGGAACACUGGAUUGACACAUAAGUAGGUAGCUCCAACAUUGUCACGAUAUAUUGUAGGAGUAUGGGUAGAGCUAACUUUAAGUUCCUUGAGGAGAUUUAUGACCCAAUUGAGUUCAACAGCAACGGUAGCAAUAGCACGAUAUUCAAUUUCAGUUGUAGACCGGGCCAUUGUCUUUUGCUUCUUAGAACUUCAACUGAUUGGAUUAGACCCAAGAAAGACGAUAUAUCCUGACGUGGAGGUUCUAUCAUUAAAGUUUCCCACCCAAUCAGCAUCAGCAAAGGCAUGGAGAUGAAGUGGAGUGGUUUUAUGGAGAAAGAGACCAUGAUUAAGGGUCCCUUUAAGAUACCGUAAAAUUCGUUUAAUCGUAGACCAAUGCAUAGCAGAAGGCUGGUGCAUGUAUUGAGAUAAUUUAUUGACUAUAAAUGAGAUAUCUGGACGGGUGAGAGCCAAGUACUUGUCGGUAUUGAGUUGAGUCCGUGGUAGGGCUGCCAUCACAUAAUUUGAGUGAUUCACGAGUAGAGAGAAGAGUAGCAACUUCUUUUGCAUCAUGCAUAUUUGUCUUUGAUAACAAGUCUUGAAUAUACUUUCUCUAUGAGAGGAGGAGACUUGAGGAUGUAAAUGUUACUUCCAUUCCUAGAAAAUAGCACAAGGGCCUUAAAUCUUUGAGAGAGAAUCGAUCAGCCAAUUGCUUUAAAAAUGUUUGAAUCUCCAAGGGAUCAUUGCCUGUAACAAUAAUAUCAUCUAUAUAUACUAGAAGAUAUAUUGUAUUUUCAUGUUGUUAUCGUAGGAAUAAAAAGGUAUCAUACUUGUAAUUGAUGAAGCCAAUUAAUAUUAGAAACGAUCCAAGUUUAGUAUACCAAGCUCUUGGAGCUUGACGGAGUCCAUAAAUGACUUUUUAAAAUUUGCAGACAUGUCUCGGAUACUGGUGAUGAACAAAGCCAGGGGGUUGCUGUAUAAAGACAUCUUCAAUUAGAGUCCCAUGUAAAAAGGCAUUGUUAACAUCCAAUUAUCGUAAGUGCUAGCCUCUAGAGACGACCAAGCUUAGAAUAAGCCGAAUUAUUAUGGGUUUAACUACAGGACUAAAAGUCUUUGUGAAGUCAACUCCAAGUCAUUGAUGAAACCCUUUGGCUAUUAAUCAUGCUUUAUAUCGAGCAACGGACCCGUCGGAGUUUCGCUUAAGAAGACUCAUUUACACCCUAUGAUGUUUUGUGUAGGAUGAAAAUGUACAAGAGUCCAUGUGGAGUUAUGGAAUAGAGCAUUAUAUUCUUCACACAUGGCUUUACGCUAGUGAGGAGAUUUUUGGGCUUGAUUAAUUGUGGUGGGUUCACUGGUCUCGAGAGAGGAUUUGGUGAUAGCGUGCAGGUCAAAAACCUGACGUGAUUUAAAUAUACCACUUUUUGAGCAUGUUGUCAUUGGAUGUCCAGGAACUAGAAGUUAUGUUAUUGGUAUGGGUAGUGGAGAGGCAUCGACAGGGGUCGGGAUAGGUUGAGAUAUAUCAGUGGCACUAGAUAAAGAAGGUUAUUGUAUUUCUAAGGAUAUUACUUUAGUAGUAGGGGAGGCUUGUGAAGAAGGAAGAGGAGAAGAAAUGGAGGGAGUGGGGAGCUAUUGAACCAGAAGAACAAAAGAGUGUGAAUCUUGAAGAAAAGGACUGGAUGGUGUGUGAAGAAGUUCGUUUCACGGGAUCGAUGAAAUACUCCAAUGAUAUAUAUUUGUUGGAGUAGCCUACAUGAAAGAAGACUAAUGGUUUUAAAAUGAAAAGGUAGACUCCACAAAAACAACAUGACGUGUUAAAGACUUUUUGAGUUUUUGGUUCGUAGCACCGAAAGACAUUAUGUUCAAGAGAAUAUCCUAUGAAGAUGCAAGGUUUAGAUCUUGGUGCUAUUUUGUAUGGGGCAUAGGGACAUAGCCAUGGAUAACAUAAACAAUCAAAUAUUCUAAGUUUUUGAAGGUUUGAAGAUUUAGAAAAUAAUUUUUCAAAUGGAGACUGGUAUUGGAGAAUUGGAGUAAAUAGACGAUUAAUAAGGUAGACAACAGCUUGAAAGGCGGCGGACCAAAAGGUUGCUGGCAUGUGAUGUAGAAGUGUGAGACCAGUUUCUACGAUAUAUCGAUGUUUACGUUCAACAGAGCCAACUAGUUGAGGAGUGUGUGGAGGUGACUUAAGGUGUUGGAUGCCACAGGUAGAGAGAUAGAGAGAUAGGAUGUGAGAGCUUGAUAUUCACCUCCACCAUCAGAGUAGACUGAAAGAAUUUGGAACCAACUUUUUAAAGUUAGUGAAGAUUAUUGAAACUUCUGAUUUAUGACGAAAAGGGUAUAUCUAUGUGUACUUAGUAAAAUAGUCUAAAAAAUAACAUAAAAUUUAAAUUUAUCAAAAGAUGUGAAGGGGGCAUGAUAAUAAAGAAAUUUCCUCUGAUAACAAAAAGAUUUCCUUAACUCUAUAGCAGAUGAGAUUUCCUUGAGGAAAUCUCUCUUCUCAGUUAAAGAAAUAUUCUCUUUCACCAUGUAUAAAUAGAGUUCAUGUGAUACUAAUUAGAAUGUGCUUUUCUCUUUACCUUUACAAUUUCAUUCUUCAUUCUCUCAUUUUAUCGUGGUAUCAGAGUAGUAGAUCAGUAGCGUAAAUAGAAGUUCUAAUAAUCACUAAUACAUACCUCAGGAGCCGUCUUGGACACGUGAUUCAUGAUGAUCAACCUACGAUCAUCACCACAUUGAUGCAUUAAUGAUAUACGAUAUAUCUAUGCACUAUAUUAUGGGAUCAAUUUCAAGAUUGACUCCGACAAAUAUAUCAUAUUGAUAUAUAGACACGUAAAAUCGAGGCCCCGAUCCACCACCCGUGGAUACCCAUCGUUCAUUUUGAUGGUAGAACCAAGUAUAUCUACAUAUAUGAUUAUUUAAUUUAUUUAAAUAUUAAAAUUUAAAUUAUAUAUAAAAUAAUCUAAUAAUUUAAAUAAUUUUUUAUAGAUAAUUUAAUAUUAAUGGAGGGACGAUCCGAAACAAACUGAAAUUAUGAACCUUGCACAACACUACUUAAAGCCCGAAAAAGAUACAAUAUUAUUUUUACCUAAUUUAUAUUAGUUUUGCUAAAACUAUACUAAAGGUAUAUUUAUUUUUAAAAUAUUUAUUUCUAACUUAAAAACUCUAUCUUAAAUUUUUUUGUAAUAUUUUUAAAAGAUUUUAUGCCUAUUUUAAGCAUACUGCUUGAUCCAUAUGGCGUAUCGACUUACUAUAUCGAGCAAGACUCGAUAUCCGAAAUUACGAACCUUGAUCAAUAUAACUUUUUAAAAUGUAAAGAUUGAAAUGAUAAACAUAAACUACAUGGGAUAAUCUAUAAUUAGACUACAUCUUUUACAUCUUUUUUAUUAGUAUCUAAUUGACAAAACUAAAAAAAUGUCUAAGAGCUAUGGAGAGAAAGUUAUGACUGAAAAUAAAGUUCACAAGUGAAUGAACUGAUUACAAGUAUAUUACUCUCGAGGGUAAGGAACAUCUGUAGAACAUGCUUAAUUGUGAACCGCACAAAGAUUUACAGGAAACCAAAUUGACAAUCACAAAUAAGUAGAACAUCAACAUAAACACCCACAAUAGCAAUCAUACAAUCAUGCCUUCAGAGGUUGUAUCAGUUUACAAGCCUUCUAUAUUGUCCAUGUACAAGUGUCCAAUGACACUUGAUUAAUACAAUCAAGCAGCAUAAUCUGAAGAUUGCACAACCCAUGAGCAUUUGGCAGAGAGCACGAAGUCAAGCAGGCCUCUGAUGAGGCUCCCAUGACCCUAAGCCUUCACUCUAAUGUGCCCGCUCCCUAAGAUUAUCAAGGUCCAGCUCUGACGGGUCAGUAGCUUGAAUCUCAUAGUGAACACCAUCCAGCUCUCUCCUGAAUCGAUCCUUAGAAGCUGCGUACAGCAUCUUAGCUCGGAUUCGGGAAAUGGAAGGGGACCUGUCAUGAAGAAGAAAGAACCGAAUUUUCAUCAGUACUCCCAAGGCAUGUGAUACAAGAAACUGAACAAUGAAAGAACAACAUCACAGCAUAAGCAAAGGUUACAGAUGAGUUGGGUACUCAGUUGGAAUACCGAUGAAUAGAAGUACAGUGUUAAACUUGAAACUUUGAACACUGGAGCUGACACCGGUAAAGCUGUCUAAACCAAAAUUGAAAUUUUGCAAAUCGAUUCAAAUGAUCAUCAUUAAAGGCUGCAAAUAACUUAACUAUAUACGUCAAUCUGUCAUAAGUGAUUAAUAUGUCAAUGAAAUACCAAAGCACAAAUAAAAUUGUACAUUUUCCUAGGCAAGUUUAUUCACUUAUUUGUCAUGAACAUCCUUUCAAUUUAAAGUUGAUUCAGUCCCUUAUGCAACUCUGAGAAAAGUAAGUCAGAUUCUGAAAGAAACUUUACACUAGCGAAUGAGGUAAGGUUAAGUUGGGAGCUCUAAAAACUAUUCCAAAAGCUGAAAACAAUCUCUUCUUGACAGAUUUUCAAAGCAAACCAUGCUUGAUCCAACUUUAAUUCAGAAUUAAAUUAAUGCAUAAAUCUUGGUCUCCGCCAUCAGAGUUACAAACACAUCAGUUCUAUAAGUUAUGCAACAUUUGCCAACCAACUACAACAGAAAUUAACAGCGUCACUUGUGCAAGUUAUGUUGAUUCUAUCACAGCCCAAUAGAAAAAACUACAAAUAUAUGAACUGACCUUUUCUUACAAGAAAGGGUCAAAAUGAACUAUGAAGGUAAAAAAGCUGCGCAGAGAAAGCCUACCAGGCAAUGAAGAAAAUCUUGCUUUUCUGACAGUUUUCUUCAGUAACAAAGUCAAAAUCAUAGACAGCAUAACGGCAAUCAUUUUCAGGCAAAGAAGCCACGAAAUCAUCAUAGCUCUCUGUUGCACCUCCAAUCUUUUCAACAAUAACCUCCUUUUGCUUCUCAUUGAUUUUGAAAAUCACAUAUCUGUGUGUCUUCUUCCUCUGAAGCUCUAAGAAUAUAUCCUUGCAAUCAUCAGCAACACCCAUUCCAGAGGAAGCAUUUGACUGAAAUCAGUGAAUGUAUAUAUAUCAGUUAAUAAUACAGAAGAACCCGUAAAUAAAACAAGUAAUAUGUUCUUAAAGUGCCUUAGAAUAUAUCAAUAUAACUUCAACAAGAUGUUAGAGAAUGGAAAUCAUUCACACAGUAUCAGGAUUGACAUGAAUGUGUCACAAAUAUCCAUCAAUCACAUAUAAACAAAGAGCUUACCCUUGGUAAGAUAUGCAGUAGUAAGUACAACAACAACAAAACCAUAAGUCUCAACUAUUUGAGAUCGGUUGCAUAGAUCUUUUAUCGCCAUUGAGAUCUGUAAAAAGCCAUAUGUUUAGUCAAGGUAUGCAAAACCAUACCGUACCACCCGGUACGGUGGUACGUACAGAUCCGCCAACACCGACAUGCAGACCGCCCGCUACCGGGCGAUAUUAGGCUUUGGGCCCCGUAUCGGACGAUACGGGACUGUGCUAGGCAUUAACGGUCGAAAUUUCGAUUGUUACCGACCUGUACCGACUGAAACCGAUCGUUACCGAAUGGUAACAGUGCUCCAACGACCAAUUUAACCAUUGGAGCACUCCUCAAGGAUUUUUAAACCAUUUUCUCCCUCUAAUUUCAAUCCAUUUCACUCUCACACUCUCUUAUACUCUCUCAAACUCAUUUUUUCUCACAUUCUCUCUCUUAUUCUCACAUUUGUGGAUUGAAUCAAAUUUAGGAGACUAAUUUGAGAGGAUUAAGAGGAAGAACUUUUUAAUAAAAAGAUAUGCAUUCUCUUUCUAGAUUUUUAUUGAUUUAUGAGAUGAUUAAGCCUAUUCUAUGUGAUGUAUGACUUAAUGUUUGUUUGAUAUGAUUUUGAUGAUAAAAUAAUAUUAAAAGGCUAAAUGUUUAUAUUUGACCUUAAAAGGUCCAAUGUUUAUAUUUCAUACAUAUUAAGUAUUGGAUCAUGUGUUUGUGAUGGUAAAAUAGAUUUAAUUAUGUUUUAAUAAAAUUAUUUAAUGAUGCGAUUAGUGAUUUUAAUGAUGAUUUAAUCGAAAUUUGAUCGAUAUUGGGUCAAUUCAAUGUAUUUAAUACUUAGUGUAUUUGACAUGUUUAUAGUGUUGAAAAAGAAGUAAUUAGUGGGUCAUUAACUAUAUUAAUAGUGUAAUUAGUGUAUCUAAUAAUGAUUUCAUCAAAAUUUGACGUAUUGGAUCAAAAUAACAUAUUUAAUGCUUCUUUUAUGUGUUUAACAUAUUNNNNNNNNNNNNNNNNNNNNNNNNNNNNNNNNNNNNNNNNNNNNNNNNNNNNNNNNNNNNNNNNNNNNNNNNNNNNNNNNNNNNNNNNNNNNNNNNNNNNNNNNNNNNNNNNNNNNNNNNNNNNNNNNNNNNNNNNNNNNNNNNNNNNNNNNNNNNNNNNNNNNNNNNNNNNNNNNNNNNNNNNNNNNNNNNNNNNNNNNNNNNNNNNNNNNNNNNNNNNNNNNNNNNNNNNNNNNNNNNNNNNNNNNNNNNNNNNNNNNNNNNNNNNNNNNNNNNNNNNNNNNNNNNNNNNNNNNNNNNNNNNNNNNNNNNNNNNNNNNNNNNNNNNNNNNNNNNNNNNNNNNNNNNNNNNNNNNNNNNNNNNNNNNNNNNNNNNNNNNNNNNNNNNNNNNNNNNNNNNNNNNNNNNNNNNNNNNNNNNNNNNNNNNNNNNNNNNNNNNNNNNNNNNNNNNNNNNNNNNNNNNNNNNNNNNNNNNNNNNNNNNNNNNNNNNNNNNNNNNNNNNNNNNNNNNNNNNNNNNNNNNNUUAGUGAUUUUAAUGAUGAUUUAAUCGAAAUUUGAUCGAUAUUGGGUCAAUUCAAUGUAUUUAAUACUUAGUGUAUUUGACAUGUUUAUAGUGUUGAAAAAGAAGUAAUUAGUGGGUCAUUAACUAUAUUAAUAGUGUAAUUAGUGUAUCUAAUAAUGAUUUCAUCAAAAUUUGACGUAUUGGAUCAAAAUAACAUAUUUAAUGCUUCUUUUAUGUGUUUAACAUAUUUAUGAUGGUAAAAUAGGUUUAAUUAUGUUUUAAUAAAAUUAUUUAAUACUGCGAUUAGUGAUUUUAAUAAUGAUUUAAUCAAAAUUUGAUCGAUAUCGAGUUAAUUCAAUAUCUUUAAUACAUAUUAGGGUGUUUGAUAUGAUGUUUAUAGUGUUGAAAGAGAAAUAAUUAGUGAGUAAUUAAGUAUGUUAAUAGUGUGAUUAAUGCAUCUAAUGAUGAUUUCAUCAUAAUUUAACAUCAAAAUAAUGUAUUUAAUGAUUCUUUUAUGUGCUUAACAUGUUUAUGAUGAUAAAAUAGGUUUAAUCAAGCUUUAAUCAAGUUAUUUAAUUGUGCUUUAAUAGGUUUAAUUUGAUCGAUAUUAGAUCAAUUCAAUAUCUUUAAUACCUAUUAAGGUGUUUGACAUGUUUAUAGUGUUGAAAGAAAAAUAAUUAGUGGGUAAUUAAUUAUGUUAAUAGUAUAAUUAGUGUAUCUAAUGAUGAUUUUAUCAUAAUUUGGCCUGGAUCAAAAUUAUGUAUUUAAUGCAUAUUUUAUGUGUUAACAUGUUUAUGAUGAUAAAAUAAAUUUAAUUAAGUUUUAAUAAAGUUAUUUAAUGAUGUGAUUAGUGGUUUUAAUAAUAAUUUAAUUAAAAUUUGAUAGAUAUUGGAUCAAUUCAAUGUCUUUAAUACCUGGUGCUUUAUAUGUUUAUAGUUUAUUUGAUUUAAAUUUGACAGGAACAUAAACAGUCAUAUGAUGAAGCAUAGAGUCAUGCUUUAAAGGUAGAUGAAAACUGUCAUAAUUGAUAAUGUAUUUAUUGUGACUACAUUAACAAGAGUGGAGAAAUCACUUUAGUGAAAAUGCAUUUGGUUGGUGGGUAUCUCGAUAUUGUAAAAUGUAAGGAAAUUCUGACGGAGGUCCGUAAAUUAUUUCAAAACAAAUUACAAUAAGCAAGAGAAGAUACAAUAAAAAAGAAGACGAGUUGAGGAAGAAUACUACAAGGCUACGCGGGAACCAGUUUAUGACAAGUAUGAGGGUCGUAGCAAUGAAGUCGACGUGGAUCUCACAGUUGGUAUUGGUGCAUUAGUAUAUAUACGACAAAACAACGAGGCAUCGACGACUUGACUCACAAAAGGAGCAUUACAGUGUUAGUGGAAUCCAAAGAUCGAUCAGCAUUUAGUAGCCAACUGCCCCUCAUAAGUUAGGAUGAACUAGUAGCAUGAGGCAUGAUGGACUCCGUGGUUUUAUGAGAGAUUUUGGUAGGAGAUCCGCAUCAUAUAUUGUUGAUAUCAAUCCACAAGCCUAUCCUUCACAAACAGCGAAACAAACAUGAAUUGACGAUGCAUAUACAAAAGAAAAGAAACGGGAUAUUGAAAAGACAAUUUCAAAAUGGUUCAACUUCCACAGGUUUCUAGCAAACAUACAAUAAGCAUUCUGUGGUAUGUAACAUACAAUCACCUCGAAGUAGCAGGCAAGUAAAUCAAAUCAACGAUUCUUAAUUUCAUCCCAACCUGUAUGUUCUGGUGGUAUAAGCAGAACCAGCACGUAGACCAGGCUUUUUGCUAGCUCUAGGCAUGGUAACUUGCAGCAAGUAGGUGAUUUCAUCCACCUGCCCGAUACUUCUUCUCUUCUUCCUCCUCCUACUCCGCCCCUCUCUCUCUUGCAUCUCUCUUAUCUUCUUCUUCUCUCCCUCCUCAUCCCCCAUUCCCUGUUCUCAGUGCGGACCAGCAUGGUGACAGACAGUAGGUCAGUAUGCCACCGUAUCUGAUCCAUACUGGUCCACCCAGCCCAGGGAACCAAAAUUUUGAACCAUGAUCAAAUCAUUUAGAUACCUUAUAUCUAUCCAUCUGCUCAAGAUUCCCAGACCCUAAAUUGCUGAGGCUUCAUCGAAACCCCAAACACAAUCCAGUCUACCACAACAUCUAAUCGGAGACCGACAACCAAGAAGCACAAGACAGAUCUGAUCAAACUAAACAAAAACAGAAGAAUCCACAGAAUCAAGGAACAUCAAAAAAAUUGACCAUGGAGUAUCAGAAUGGACCGAUCCAAGACGACAAACGCAAACAAAAAAGCACUCGAUUUUGGCAUAAACACUCAUGCGAUCAAACGAAAUGAGGAGCACUCACGUGGGAUCGGAGGAACGCCAUACUAGUAGCAAAGGGUGCCACUCCACUGUUCACAAUCCCUAUUAGACGCUUUAGAGCGAGAAUGGAACGGAAGAGAAAGAUGUGGUGGCGAAAGAAGUUGGACUGCAUACCAAAGAAUAUAUCUGUAUAUAUACGUAAGAGAAAGAUGUGGCGGCGAAAGAAGUUGGACUGCACACCAAAGCAUAUAUAUAUAUAUAUAUAUAUAUAUAUAUAUAUAUAUAUAUAUAUAUAUAUAUAUAUAUAUAUAUAUAUAUAUAUAUAUAUAUAUNNNNNNNNNNNNNNNNNNNNNNNNNNNNNNNNNNNNNNNNNNNNNNNNNNNNNNNNNNNNNNNNNNNNNNNNNNNNNNNNNNNNNNNNNNNNNNNNNNNNNNNNNNNNNNNNNNNNNNNNNNNNNNNNNNNNNNNNNNNNNNNNNNNNNNNNNNNNNNNNNNNNNNNNNNNNNNNNNNNNNNNNNNNNNNNNNNNNNNNNNNNNNNNNNNNNNNNNNNNNNNNNNNNNNNNNNNNNNNNNNNNNNNNNNNNNNNNNNNNNNNNNNNNNNNNNNNNNNNNNNNNNNNNNNNNNNNNNNNNNNNNNNNNNNNNNNNNNNNNNNNNNNNNNNNNNNNNNNNNNNNNNNNNNNNNNNNNNNNNNNNNNNNNNNNNNNNNNNNNNNNNNNNNNNNNNNNNNNNNNNNNNNNNNNNNNNNNNNNNNNNNNNNNNNNNNNNNNNNNNNNNNNNNNNNNNNNNNNNNNNNNNNNNNNNNNNNNNNNNNNNNNNNNNNNNNNNNNNNNNNNNNNNNNNNNNNNNNNNNNNNNNNNNNNNNNNNNNNNNNNNNNNNNNNNNNNNNNNNNNNNNNNNNNNNNNNNNNNNNNNNNNNNNNNNNNNNNNNNNNNNNNNNNNNNNNNNNNNNNNNNNNNNNNNNNNNNNNNNNNNNNNNNNNNNNNNNNNNNNNNNNNNNNNNNNNNNNNNNNNNNNNNNNNNNNNNNNNNNNNNNNNNNNNNNNNNNNNNNNNNNNNNNNNNNNNNNNNNNNNNNNNNNNNNNNNNNNNNNNNNNNNNNNNNNNNNNNNNNNNNNNNNNNNNNNNNNNNNNNNNNNNNNNNNNNNNNNNNNNNNNNNNNNNNNNNNNNNNNNNNNNNNNNNNNNNNNNNNNNNNNNNNNNNNNNNNNNNNNNNNNNNNNNNNNNNNNNNNNNNNNNNNNNNNNNNNNNNNNNNNNNNNNNNNNNNNNNNNNNNNNNNNNNNNNNNNNNNNNNNNNNNNNNNNNNNNNNNNNNNNNNNNNNNNNNNNNNNNNNNNNNNNNNNNNNNNNNNNNNNNNNNNNNNNNNNNNNNNNNNNNNNNNNNNNNNNNNNNNNNNNNNNNNNNNNNNNNNNNNNNNNNNNNNNNNNNNNNNNNNNNNNNNNNNNNNNNNNNNNNNNNNNNNNNNNNNNNNNNNNNNNNNNNNNNNNNNNNNNNNNNNNNNNNNNNNNNNNNNNNNNNNNNNNNNNNNNNNNNNNNNNNNNNNNNNNNNNNNNNNNNNNNNNNNNNNNNNNNNNNNNNNNNNNNNNNNNNNNNNNNNNNAUAUAUAUAUAUAUAUAUAUAUAUAUAUAUAUAUAUAUAUAUAAAGUUUGGUAAACCUAUUAUUUAAUGCGAAAAUAUAGUAAAGAUUAUUUUUUUUUAGCAAAGGAAAAGAUUAAUACAACAUGAACUUAAAUAUUAAUGCUUAAUCUGACUAAUAAUGUUACUUUAAAUAGAAUUUAUCUAAUCGAUCGAAAUAGUUGGACCAUUAUAAUUUAUUGCUAUUAUUGUUGUGGUCCAAAAUUCGAUAAAAAUCCAAACAUGCAUCCGUAUAAAUAUGCAUAUUAGUUUCACGAUAGAAAAAAUAUCGAUCCAACAAGUCUUAUUCUAUGUUAUUAUAUAGUUCACAAUUAAUUUAAUAUGCUAUAUGGCAAAUUUGCUUGAAUAAUUUACGAAUGAAUUCAUGGACUAUUCAUAGGUUAGCCAUGGAAAAGUCAACCAUUUUACAAUUAUUGUUAUAGCUGAAGACAAGGACAGAAUAAGCAUAAUAUUAUUCCAUUUGGUGCCAGGAACAGAAACAAUGAUGCCAAGCAUCCAUCCAUGCUUCAAGAUUAAGCAUCCAUCCUCUGCAUGACAGUUUGAUAGUGGUUUGUCAUGUGUCAAUUUGUGUUAAAAAAUCUAAGAAAUUUUCUGAAACAUUCAUACUUUGUGAUCUAACCGGUUAGUAUAUUACUUCUACGGCAAGAAAUUGUUAAUAAUAAUAUUUAAGAAGAACCAGAAAAUGUGCUGAUAUGAGAUACAUGAAGAAGACAUGCUAAACCGGUUAGUAUGACUACUUUUUGUAUGACUACUUUUUGUGAUCUCAGAUUGAUUACACACACAUGUAUAUAUUCCACACAGAUAUGUAUAUAUUCCACAGGUCCAAUAUCAAUGAUGCAUUAUUGUUGCCAGACUCAUUGACGAUCUGACACUUGCAAUACUUAAAAUGCUUCAAAUUUAGUUUACCUUCAUUCACAAUGUGCCAUGCAACUCUAAGAAGGGCAAGUACACAAAAGCUUUAUGAUUAUAAAAGAAGGGUUUGUUAGGCCCAAACAUAUCCUCCACUAAUUUUUGCUGCAACAGUGGUCCUCAUGCACCUUCUCAGUUGAAGGUGUCAUAAUAGACCAUGAAUUGCCUCAACUCCUUGAGUUGCUCCCUUCAGGGCAUGCAAGUUUUAAACCUGUGCAAACACCUCAAUUAUUUGGUUGUCAAUCAACUUUUAUGUCGUAUUUAAGAAUACUAUGGCAUUCAAAAGACCAAACAAAUGAAAACAGUGCACGUGACACAUGCUCAAUGUACAUAGUUACCAACAAUAUUCGAGGUGAUAAUGGCAUGUAACAAUUUACUAGGAGAAAAUAUAGAUCAUGGAAUGACUGGACAUGACAAUCCAGCCAACAUCCUUUUUCUCAUAUCAGGGGCGAAGUGAAAUCUUGAAGCCAAUGAAAGACUUUCGCACCAAAUGCUAAUGAAGCACUUUUUACCAUGGAAUCAUAGAUUCUGAUCACUGGCUUUUCCUCAUUGUCCAGAAGGCUGUGCAGUAUCGAUUCUGCAUUUUAAACACAAAAGUGAGAUGUCUGUUUGCUUCACUGUAGCACUACAGAAUUUAACCACAAAAUCUAACUUUAUCCUUUAAAUGCUCAAGAAGAUGCAAUGACUGUAAAAGCACGAGGGAAAUUUGUCUUUAUCCAGGUACAUCGAAUGUGUUAGUUAAAAAAACUCCUUUUAAAAUGAGAACCACAUGUGAGUGUGCUGCUGACCCAAAGAUAUCUUGAAUAAUGGAUUUCAGGGAUGCAAGUUUUCCUUCAGCAUUUUAAAACAUAAAUAAACCUGAGAAAUGAACUAAAAGAUUGCAAGCUUACUUGCAUCAUGGAGCGAGGAUUUGCAGUGUAUGUUGUCUCAAUUACUUUCUCCUUCUGUGAUCAUCAAACAAGGUCAUUAAAGCACAAGAAUAACUGAACUUUUGCAAAGAUAUAGAGACGUAGACUAGAAAAUUAGUGUUCACCUCCAUUACAAAUCCAAAAUGAAAAGCAAUCUUUUUCACAUCUUCCAAACUAAGUUCAAUGGACAUCUCCUGAAUAUAAGAAUGUAACAAUUGACAUCUUCGAGAAAAGGGAAUAAAUUAAAAAGAACAUUCAGAUUGGCUCUUAUGGAAAAAGAUAGUGAAACAGUACACAUACAUCUUCAGGUCCAUACGAGUCUGCAAAAUGAUAUAGUAGAGGGCCCAAGUUUAUCCACACCUGUAAUUUUAGCAUGGCACAUGAUCAAAUUAAAUAAAUAAAUAAUAUUUAGUGUAACAAGUUUCAGAACAGAAUUCAUUAAUCAAAUCAGAUCAAGAAACCAUUGGCUCAACAAUAAUAUUCGGGAAUGUCCUAAAAAGAACAGUGUAGAUCGUAAUUGAAUGGUAAAAAGUAUAAAACUCAUUCCAGAAGACAUACUCCUCCAGUUUUCAGAAGUUUUGAUAUAGUUUCAAUAUAUUCAACAAUGUUAUGUGCCGUAUCCAGGAAGAAGCAAGUGACAACAGCAUCCCAGUAACCUGCAGAUAGAUUCAAUAAUGCAAUGAGAAUGUGCAAAAAUUAAGCACAACUCGAAUCCCACAAUUAAAGCAUUAAUAGAUCCGACAGAGAUCCUGUCUCAAGCACUCAGAGCAAAAGAAAU
RNAcentral lists this long non-coding RNA (111318 nucleotides) under Musa acuminata (dwarf banana). RNAcentral's name for it is "long non-coding RNA (MACU_LNC003693)". The stretch from base 42605 to 42677 matches the Rfam family "tRNA". The record is from RNAcentral. Lineage: Eukaryota; Viridiplantae; Streptophyta; Magnoliopsida; Zingiberales; Musaceae.